CAUUAAAGAAUAUGGGGUCCAUGUGAUCGCAGGGAAGUCAGAUUCAUUUGAAGAGUCGGCAGUGGGAAGAGAUGCAGUGAUGCCUUCACCACCGCUGUAUCAUCUGCUUCCUCAUCCCCAUUGUGGUUCGAUUACAGCGUCUACACCUAAGCAAUGGAGUGACUAUUUAUCUGCGAAGCUAGAAGGACAUAGCCUCGAUUUAAGACUUGAUGGUGAGAACAAAUAUUUCAUUUAGUUAUUUUUAUUCUAUUAUAUUUAAUUUAUGAGAUUAAAUAUUAUCUUUAAUGAUUUUAUUAUUAUUAUUUAAUCUAAAAAAUUAAAUAUCAUCUUUAAUAAAAAAAUAUUAAAUAUUUAAGGCUUUUUGGUAAGAAUACAUAUUUCCUUUAGUUAUUUCUAUUUUAUUCUAUUUAAUUUAAGAGAUUAAAUAUCAUCUUUAAUUCUUACAUUUUUCUUAUUUAAUCUAAAAAAUUAAAUAUUAUCUUUAACAAUAUUUUUUAUUAAAUAUUUAGAGUUUGCUUGGUUUUAUUUCUUUUCUUGAUUUUAUAAUAAUAUUUUUCUUAUUUAAUAUAAAAAAUAAAUAUUAUCUUUAACAAUUAGAUCUAUCGAAUAUCACUUAAAAAUAAAUUAUAACUUUAAUAAUUAUUUUUUGAAAAACAAAAGGCCAACAAUCACUAACAUAUUUUAUUAAAAUCACUUUAGUUUAUAUAGAAAAUAUUGAAAACUGAUUUUUGUUUUUUUACAUUAAAAUAAAAAAUUGAAUAAUGUUUUUAUAUUUUAUUUCAAACUCGAUAUUUUAAAACAAAAAUGAAAAAGAUGUGAUAUUAACAUUUUUUAUUAUAAAGUAAGUUUUUUAAUUAAAAGUGAUGGGAAUUUGUUUUUAUUGCAUGUACAAUCAUGCACAUUUAACUUUCUUUUUAAAUUUGAUGGUUUUUUAGGACGGAAAUGGCUUGAAGGUGGUGAAGGCUUUGAUUGACAUGAGAGUACAAGAUUAGUUUACAUAGAGAUGCUUGAAGUUGCUCCAAAUCAGUACGAUACUUUCAUCUGACAUGUUGAUAUGUAUUUGUUGGCUUGAAGAUUAUUUUCCAAGCUUGGAAGUUUUAUUGAAUUCUCUUUGAAAUCUUUUCCAUCCGCUGGACAACUUAUAUUAUUAUGCAUGAUGUAAUUUAUAUUUUCAAGUUACAAAUUUUGAUGAAUAUUGUUUCAUUUUUUUCCUCAUUUCAAAAGAUGAAAAUCCUUGAUCUUAGUUAGAAAUAAAUUGGUUUUCUAGGAAGAGAUUAUUGAUUGGAAUAUAGUAUUUGAAUUGGUUCUUCAUCAUUUACUGUUAUAUAUAAUUUAAAAUAAUUGAUGAAAAUACAUAGAAAAGUUUUGAGAGCAUCCUUAAUUAGUCUAGUAAGUAAAGUGUUGUUAGUUUUGACUAUAAGAUCUUGCUAUGUAUUAUUGCAUGGUUUUUACUAUUUUUUUGCAUUUCUUCUUUUUGUAUAUACAACUUUUGUUUUUCUUGCCGCUUGUCAUUAGCUUUAUGGCACCAACACCAAUUAAUAAUAAAUCUUGAACUAUUAUUAAAUAAAGAAAAAAUAUAAAUAUCGUUAAAAUACCAAACUUGAAUUGCUCAAUCCUAAAGAAACCCUAUGACAAUAAUCUAAUUUAGAAAAUAAUUAAUUUAUCCUUGUAGUCUAAGAAAAUAGUAUUUAAUUCUUAUGUUUUCAUAUACAUCUAUGAUUUAAUAUGUUGAUUGAAAUUGGCAAGUGAGUUUACUCACGUAUUGUUAUAUUGGUUUUGAGUUCAAAUAAAUGUUUAAAAAGGGAGUUUUUUCAUGAAUGUAACCCUUCAAUAUAUGAAUGUUUAAAAUUGUAUUCAAUAUGAAUGAUGGAUGAUUUUGCUAAGAAUUGGUUGGUAAAAAACUUAAUUUCGAUAUAUAAAAACUUAAGAGACAACAAUAAAUAGAGAGACUAGUAAAGAUUUUAUGUGCUUUCUUGUUUUUUUUUUUUAAUUGGAUUACCUUUGUCUUUUGUUUCAAGUAAAAUUCUAGUAUAUAUCACUAAAUUAAGAAUUAAAGGUCUAAUUAUAUGAAACACAAUUUUAAAGACUACAUCAACUACAUUUCAUAUGCUCAACUCUAAGCAAAUUGAAAUUUCAAGGCCAUUUGUAUCUUGAAAACACAAUCUCAAUAAUCUUAAUAUUGAAUUAUUAUUUGUUGAGUUGGAAAAUAGCACUAAGGAACACAAAAGCCGUACUGUUUAUCUUCUUGGCAUUGUUCAAAGGAACGCAAAAAGAUACUCCAAUUGUGAAAGAUUAUUAUUGUCAUAAAGUAAAACUUUCAAUAUAGAGAGUGAAAUAAAGAGCAAGAGCAAAAAAAUAAUUCGUGUGUGUAUUAGCUAAAUGAAAUGAAGAUUAGAGUAAAAAGGAUAAAAAAAAAAAAAAAAAAUAGAGAGAGAGACUCGUUAAGAUUUUAUGUUGGUGCUCAACAUGUUCUUUCUUAUUUUUUUUUUUUUUUUAAUUUUAUCUUAACGAGUGAAAUAAAGAAACACUCCCCCCAUCUUUCUUGUUCCCUUUCCCUUCUUUACAUGGCUUACUCAGUGAAAAAGCAAUUAAACACCCCAUUUGAUUUUCAAUCAGUAUGAGAGUGAGAGAGAGAGAGGCCAAGGUGGUCCUUGAAUAUUUUCUUCUUUUUUGUCUCGCUCACUGGGGCAAACCAUUUUUUCCAAAAUUUUGAAUAGCAUGCGAUCAAAAAGAAUUUUGAAUAGCAUGCCAUCAAAAGGAAUUUUGUUCAAUCCCAAUCCCACAUUGUCUGUAGAAGUAUUUACUUUUGACUGUACACUUUGUUAUUUUCCAAUCCCUCCCCAGUUCUGCAACCAUUUCUCUACUUUCUAUGCUCUUGGCUUGCUAAAAACUAAAGAAAACACAUUGCUCUACUUGCCUGCCUUCACUCUUCAGAUUGCUCAACAAAUCCCUUGAGACCUUCUCCAUAGUUAACACAUCACAUAAUGGCUACUCUAAAAAAUUUAGCCAUAAACAUUGAACACCUUGAGCAAUCAACGUGCCUUCCUUCACAAUAUCCAUCACCCAUAAAUCUUUCUUUUGGGAUGUCGCCGGGAGUUUAAUUUCCGUGUAAAAAUUAUGUAUAAAUUUCCAUUCUUUCCUUCCAUCCAUUACUUGUCCUCUAUGAAGAUUCUAUGUAUGAAAUCUCGGAAUCUUUUCGAGUAUAACUUGGGAUCAACAGCUGAGAUAGACGUGGGAUCCACUUCUAAGGACUUGUAUGCAUGCUCUAGCUUUUUGCUGAUAUCAUAAUCCUAGAGAUACCAAAGUGAAGAACUACAUCUCACAAUCACCAAAAUUCAAAGUAAAGUAACGGAGAAGAAAAUCUGAUAACAAUGAAUGAUCACUCAUUAACCACAGCGAAUCUUACGCUUUGAAAACACUUUUCACCAUCAAUUUUCCUUUUCUCAUUGAUUUUAAAUCUUCCAGGCAGAUAAAAUAGCAUUGGUUUUAUUCAUCAGCUUAGGCAUCAACAACAUGUUGCAUCCACAAUCUUACUACUACAUUAUAAUUAUAAACAAAGCUAAAAAAAUAUAUAUAUGAGGACAGAGUUAACAGACAUGCACUAAGAGUUAACAGACAUGCACUAACACACACUGUGCAAAUCAGUGUACAGCUGUUAUAACAAACAAGUGUACAAUCUGUUUUCUCCAACCUUCCAGCAUUAUUCUCCCGAGCAUAUUCUGUCAGCUCAAGAUUAGGCAAUUCUGUUAACCAUUCUGUUAGCUCUGUUCUCUUUUGUUGUAUAUAUACUUGAUUGAUUGAUUGAUUCAAUAACAUUAUCUUUCUCUCUUCUCACCUGCCCCCUUUUUCUUCUCCUUUUACCUCUAGCUUCCAAUGCCUAUCAACACCACCAUCCUUAACACAAAUGAAUCUCACAGCAUGUUGAUUACCAUCAAUGUAGCAGCCCAAACUCCAUUAAAACUUAUCUCCACCAGGCACCAACUAUCUAGCCUGGAAACUUUGUUGGGGAUUCCGGCUCCCCCAUGCGCGGACCGGGGGUGUACUGAUAGUUGCUCAACGGAGGGUAAAGCACACUGAUACAAUAUUUUACGUGGUUCGGCAAAACCGCCUACAUCCACGGGAGAGUCCAUAUUAUUAGAGAUAUAUAGAGAAAGGAUUACAACAUACAUGGAGGAGGAGGAUCACUUCACUCAAACUCAAUUCCCAGCUCUUUUGCUACACUUACAGCUGCUGCAAUGGCAGCAGCCAUUGCAGCUCUCUCUUUCUCUCCACUCUCUUGCACACACUCACGUUCUCUCUCUCUCAUUUUUCUCUCAAAUAUAAGCCUCCUUUAUAGGCAUUUCAUGGUCAACAUGGAGGGGCCAAUAGCCUUAAAGCAUGGCAUGAAUUGUGGCACAAUUCAUGCUUCCACUUGCUUAGUGGUGGGGUAUUGCCACAAAUGGCAAUAUCCUAACAAUCACCCCCUUUGCCAUUUGUGUGGGCAAUUGUCCUCUUGCUUCUUCAGCACAGGCUUGCAUCUUGCAGCUCUUCCAAGCUUACCAUUCUGAGAGCGUCUUCAACACAACAUUCCCUUUCGAGUGUAUCAAUCAUGCUCGGUCCGGAAUGAUUUUUCAAGCCUUACACCAAGGCUUACAACACCCCCUCAAAUAGAUAUUUCUAAGUGCGACAGUCAUUUAGUAUUUCAAUGUGAUCACAAGCUCACCACUCUUCCAAGAGUCUACUCAUCCAAGAGUUGUGCCUGCCCUCUGUUCCACCCUAGGAACCACGUCUUACUUCUCCGUGAGUCUCUCGCUCUUAGUCGUAAGAGUCCAGGUAGCUCUCCACCUUUAACCAUAGGGGCAGCCCAUUAAAGGUUGAUUCAUAUCUGUCUUCAUACUCUGAGUAUUACAAUGCCAUUACCGAGCUCACCACCUUAACAAGAGUCAACUCGUUCUCGGAACCUGCGCAUGCCCUUCUGCUUCUUCAUAGCAGCCGCGUCUUAAUGCUCCACAAGUCACACACUUAUUGUCCAAGGCAAAUGUCUUCUAGCUCAUUGAUCUUUAGCAUGGGGGCAAUAUCCAUGAAAGUCAAUCCUGCAUUUGUCUCCAUACUCAUCAUAGCCACUUCAUUGGCUAUCUAUACACUUGUCCACUUGUAUCUAGCCAUCACAUCGGCUUUGGAGCGUUCUGAACUGGGCUCAUAUCAUGGCCCUCACACCUUCUCCUCAGGUGUCUCCGCUCGUCAUCAUGCGACGGUCUGAACUGGGGCUCCUCUCAUAGCCCUCACACCUUCUCUACGGUGUCUUCGCCCGUUGUCAUGGGGCGGUCGCAUCCUUCUUCAGCUGGGAUGCUUCAAAGUGGCUCCAAAAUUCUCUACCACCAUGUGCACUAUGGGAGAGAUUAUAACCACUGAUUACAUAGAAAGAGAAACUUGCGGUAUACUCCUCGCAAUCCUCCACCUCGAUUUCUAUGUUUGGAGCUUUUGUGUCUUUCUACUUGAUAGCUCCACCUACACCAACUCUCUUUGGUGUCUUCGCCUUUCAUCAUAGGCGGUCGCCUUUUAUCACAGGCGUUUGCACCCCCUCAAUUAGGUGCUUCUACAACAGCUCUCUUUCCAUCCUUGCAUGCAUUGGAAAGGUCUUCGCCUGUUGUCUUCAUCAAGAGCAUAAGAGACUUCCUGUUGUACAAACUUUAACAGUCUCUGCUCUGAGCUUCAUCUGGGAACACUUCUUCUCCUUGCACCUAUUGUCUCAUUACAGUACCUCGUUGGAUCCUACGGGUACUCCUGCACAAUCUCCGUGUGCCCUCGUGCAAUUUCUGUUCUCCAGAUUUCUCCCUAUUUCUUGCUUAUGUUUGACAGCAGCUCAUCCUGUCACAACACCUGUCCAAGUCAAAAAUAUGGUGCCAAUCUUUAUCCCCUUGCUGUAUUCCUCUUCCAUUAUCAGGGUCUUCAUCAGUUCUCCCCUCGAGAAAUCACAGUCACCGAAUCUAACUUCUUUGGAGAAAUCACCACUCCAUCAGAUCCUUGAACCUUUGGAACCCAACUAUUCCCUUGUGCCGUCAUCCUGCUAGCCUUCAACUGUUUCAUUACAAACUGCUAUAUAUACAAAAAUAGUACCGUAUGGAUAAUCCUUCCACUAAGCAAGUUCCCAGGAAAGAUUGGAGGGGUCACACUGGUCCCGCUUAAAACCCAAUCUCCUAGACAGAACUUCUUAGGACAUAUCUAUCCAUCGUACUGUCUUUUUGUAUAUACAACCAUUUGCUAGCUUUGUUGCGGCUUUCCUUUACAAGUGAUCUGGGGUAUCCCGAUUUUAUACCUGAUUUCUCAACAUCUGGCGAGACUACCAGUUCUUAGAUUCGUCAAGAUUGGUCUUUAUCAAUUUUCACUCUACACCUCUAAUUGUCCACUUGAUCGGGUGUCUAGAGUGUCCCAAUUUUGCCUUCCCUCAAGGCAGUUAAAUUUCUCCCAACUUAGCAGCUCAGCACAUGUAAUUGGGUAAACAUGUGCACCUUCUUCUUCUUCUCUUCAACGACCACCAUGAUAACCUUCAGAUGCCUCCUGAUCGGGCAAUCUCUUUUGUUAAUUCAUCACUACCACUUUCGGUCUCAAAUCUCAACGAUCGGACCAUACCAUUGCAUCCGAAACGAUCAAAUUAGCUGGAAACAAGUCUGAAAUCGUCCAAAUCGCACUUCAGACGGCUAAGAUUUGAUCAAAACAAUUCUGGCCUGAUCAAUGGCUCAGAUUCAAUCUCAGAUCCGGUUGCACGUAGGAUCAGCUACACUGGAUCCUGUCCCUCGGCUCGCGGCUCGGCUCCAAUUAGGCUCGGCUCGGCUUGGCUCGGCUCGUGGCUAAUGACGUGGUUGGUGGGUCCCACUUUGCUGACGUGUCAGUGACUGUACGCUGACAUGGCAUGCCAACUGUGCAUGCUGACAUCACACUUACAUCAGGCUGAUGUCAUCCCUGGCAUGCCUACUAUGCAUGUUGACAUCACAAUUAUGUCAUACUGACGUCAUUCAUAUCCGGGUCAGCCAUGUGGGUCGGGUCAACUGGUAUUUGGGUCGGGUCAGCCCAUCCGGGCGAAGAAGACGCGUGGGGUGCGUCUGCGCGCGUGGGCAGACGCCUUGCCGGAGAGUGAUGGAGAGUACGGCCAUGUCCGACGUCCGAUUUUGACGCCGUUUUCACCAGUGGCUUCGUCUCGGCCUCCUCUACACGGUGGUAUAGUCAAAACACCAUUUUGAGAACUUUCAUUUUUGAGCAAAAAUCAAACACCCCUUUAAACCAUGUGCUCUGAUACCAGUUGUUGGGGAUUCCGGCUCCCCCAUGCGCGGACCGGGGGUGUACUGAUAGUUGCUCAACGGAGGGUAAAGCACACUGAUACAAUAUUUUACGUGGUUCGGCAAAACCGCCUACAUCCACGGGAGAGUCCAUAUUAUUAGAGAUAUAUAGAGAAAGGAUUACAACAUACAUGGAGGAGGAGGAUCACUUCACUCAAACUCAAUUCCCAGCUCUUUUGCUACACUUACAGCUGCUGCAAUGGCAGCAGCCAUUGCAGCUCUCUCUUUCUCUCCACUCUCUUGCACACACUCACGUUCUCUCUCUCUCAUUUUUCUCUCAAAUAUAAGCCUCCUUUAUAGGCAUUUCAUGGUCAACAUGGAGGGGCCAAUAGCCUUAAAGCAUGGCAUGAAUUGUGGCACAAUUCAUGCUUCCACUUGCUUAGUGGUGGGGUAUUGCCACAAAUGACAAUAUCCUAACAAACUUCAAUUCCAGACUCUAUUCAUAGGACAUUUGAUUGAGGUCUCCACAAACAUUGAAACACCGCAAUUUUUCAUGAUAAAAUCCAAAGGAUUGGUACUUUGGUGUUUGAGGGGCUGGUAAAUGAAAGAACAGAUCAAGAGAUGACAUCCCUCUAUACCGCUGUUAUUCCUUUCAAGGUGCGUAUCAGGUGUUUGAAAAACUUCCUCAACUUAAAAAUAAAAAGGUCCUGUUUACAAUGUUUUUUAGUCCUUUACAAAUCUUCCAAUGUGUUGCGUUUACUGAAUAUGAUAGUGGGAACUUAUUUAUCAAGAAUUAACUACUCAGAAGAAAAUGUAAAGACGCAAUAAUGAUUUUUUUAUUUUAGAUUCCAUAGUCUACAAACUUGGAAGCAUACGGACCAGUCAGAAGACAACAUGUUUAUUGUAUAUGAUAAACAAUAAUAAACAUCUCAUUCUUAAAAUGAUGGUAAAUCAGAAACAACCAUCCAAUACUUGAAGAUCUGUUGAAGAUAUUUGGCCUUUGGAAAUUUUGAAGAGAACUGGAGCAGUUGCAUAUGGAUUAGCUCUUCCAUCCAAUCUUUUCAUCUAACCAUCCAGUUUUCUAUGUAUCCAUGCUUUAAAAGUAUCUUCGUGCUCCAUCACAUGUAUUGGAGCCAUAAACAGUAGCAUUUCAAGGAGAUAUGUCAUGUGAAAUCCGUUCUAAUGAGAUUGCUUCAGUGAAAGUAAUGUGAGAAGGUCAUCCAAGUGAUGAAGCAACACGAGAACCUGAGAAGAUGAUACGUAAUAAAUAUCGUUAUUUCUUCAUUCAAUCAAGCUAACAAGUUUUCUACUUAAAUUCGAGGAUGAAUUUAUUUUAACAGGGGAGGUGGAAAUGUAAACCCACCCCAUAAUAUAUAACUCAUUAUUGUUUUAUAUGUUGGCCCGUUAAUUCAAGUCAUUUUCUUCUAUCUCUCUUAUAGGAAUGUUCCUCCUUCUCCCUUUUACUGCAAAUAUUCCCCCACGAUCCCAAACCAUCAAUUGACCCUAUAACUCUCUUGUUUUGAGUAGGUUUACUUCAACUUUAUCAAGUGUUUAUAAUAUUGUUUUAUGUUUAUUUAUUUAUAUAAAAUUGUUGAAUUCUAGGCGUUAUAUGAUAUUAGUUGAUGUUAUAUGGAAUUAUUUAAAUUAAUUUGUGUGUGGGUAGUAAUAAGUGUAUAUGAAUAUGAAUUGGAGUAAGGUCAUAGAUGGGUUGGUGUGAAGCUUUGAUUAAUUGAUAUAUUUUGAUGUAAUGAGUAAAUACCUUAAGAAAUUUGAAUAUUUGAAAGAUAAUAGGUAAAUAUUGAAGAAUUGUAUAGAAAGAAUCAUAUUGAAAUUAUGAAAAAUAUGUUUUGGGGUUGAUGAUGGAAGAAUUACAGUUUGGUCCUUGCUUUUGAGAAAUUAAGAUUUUGUCCCUAAAUUCUAAAACAAUUAUAGUUUAGUCACUGGUUGUAAAUAACAAUUUUUAAGAUAUUUUCCUGAUAAAUAUCUGAGAAAUAAUGAUCAUCUAUUAUCAAUUUUUAUUGUUAUCAUUUAAAUUUAAAAUUAAUUGUAUUAUCUACGAGCACAAGUGGUACAGUUAUCAAUCGAAUUUUAGCAAAAUCAAGGAUCCAAGAAUUGGCCUCUGUAACAUAUUAGGAAACUGGCAUGCAAACCCGACAAGAUAAAAGGCAAGGGACAAGAUAAAAUGAGAAAUAAGACACAAGAAUUUACGUGGUUCACCCAAUUUGGCUACGUCCACGGGCAAGUAUAGAAGGAUUUUACUAAGUAAUGUGGGAAUUACAACCUCUCUCUACUAAUAGGAGAACAACUGAAAUCUCUCUAUUAAUAGGAGAAAACACCUCACUUACUCUCUCACAAAUACCUCACAAUUUUGUGGGAUUACUUUCCCUCUCUCACUCUUCUCUUCCUCUCUUAUGAUGUGCAAAAUAAGCUUGGAUGCACUGCCUAUUUAUAGGCAAGCAUCCAAGCAAAGGACAAAAAGGCACCAAUUGGUGCUGCAAGUGGCACCGAAUUGGUGCCCAACAUUGUUGAAUUUGCAGCACAAAUUUGGUGCCUAACAUUGUUGACUUUGCCAACAAUGCAGCUGGCUUCACAUUCUCCCACUUGAAGACUUUGAUGAGUGAAUCAAGUCUUCACACUUAAUCAUCUGUGAUUCUUCUAUCCUUUCUAUACUUGUCAUCUUCAUGCUGCUUACAUUUCUGUUAGGCCAUAAGAGGAUCUGCACCAUAUGUACUUGUCAGUGUUGACUGGUUUGGUUAAAGCAUCUGCUGGGUUUUCCUUCGUGUGAACCUUUUGAAAAUCUACACUUCCAUCUUCCACUACUUCGCGAACAAAGUGAUACUAAACAUCUAUGUGUUUUGUUCUUGAAUGAAACGCGGGAUUCCUUGCAAUAUGCAAAGCACUCUGACUAUCACAAUACAAAAGAAUGUUCUCUUGUUUGUGCCCGAGCUCCUCCAUAAGUUUCUUCAUCCAUAUUGCUUCUUUACAAGCUUGUGUAGCUGCCAUGUACUCAGCUUCUGUUGUGGAUAAAGCUACAACAGUCUGAAGUUUAGAGACCCAGCUCACAGCUCCUCCUGCAAUUAUGAACACAUAGCCUGUAGUGGAUUUUCUUUUCUCAAGGUCGCCAGCAAAAUCUGAAUCAACAUAACCUCUGACGGUAAAUUCUGAUCCUCCAUAUCAUAAUGCAACAUCUGAGGUGCCCUUGAUGUAUCUCAAGAUCCUCUUAAUAGUAUUCCAAUGCUCUCUACCAGGAUUUGCCAUGUAUCGACUAGCUACUCCCACUGCUUGUGCAAUGUCUGGUCUUGUACAUAUCAUGGCAAACAUUAAGCUUCCCACUGCUGAUGCAUACGGUACUCGAGACAUCUCCAUCCUCUCUGCUUCAUUGCUAGGAGACAUACUUGAGGAUAAUUUGAAGUUAAUAGGAAGUGGGGUGGAAAUUGGCUUACAAUCUUGCAUGUUGAAGUGUCGUAAGAUCUUAUUCAAAUAAUUCUUCUGAGAAAGCCAAAUCUUCCUCUUACUUCUGUCUCGGUGAAUUUGCAUCCCUAGAAUCUUGUUUGCUGGUCCCAAGUCCUUCAUAUCAAACUCCCUAGCCAACUGUGCCUUCAAUUCUUGGACUCGAUCUUUGUUGGAGCCUAUUACCAACAUGUCAUCCACGUACAACAACAAAAUGAUGAAAACAUCAUUUUCUUCAAACCUCUUGUAAUACGUACAAUGGUCUGAACUGAGUCUGUUGUACCCAAGGCUAAUUAUGAAGGAAUCAAAUCUCUUGUACCAACAUCUCGGCGCCUGUUUGAGACCAUAUAGAGAUUUGUUCAACCUGCAAACCAAGUUCUCCUUGCCUACUUCAGCAAAACCCUCUGGUUGGAGCAUAUAAAUUUCUUCUUCAAGUUCUCCAUGAAGAAAUGCAGUUUUCACAUCUAACUGCUCUAAGUGAAGAUCAAAUAUAGCACACAUCGCCAAGACUACUCUGAUUGUAGUAAGUCAUACCACUGGAGAAAAUAUCUCAUUAAAAUCUAUUCCUUCUUUCUGAGCAUAUCCUUUCACCACCAAUCUUGCACGAUACCGCUCCACUUGAUUAUUGCCAUCAUGCUUUAUCUUGUAAACCCAUUUGUUGCCAAUGGCCUUCCUUCCUUGUGGUAGCGGAACAAGAUCCCAAGUGUUGUUCUUGUGUAGAGCUUCAAUCUCCUCUUGCAUCGCUGUCAUCCACAUAGAUACAUCUGUGCUUUUGAUAGCCUCAUGGAAAGUUGAUGGCUCUCCAUCCUCUGUUAGAAGACAGUAUGCAAUGUUGCUCUCAGUAACAUAUUCUGAGUGCCAAGCCGAUGGUCUUCUUUCACGAGUUGACCGUCGAACUUCAGGAGUUUCAGAUUCUAUUUGUUCUUGUUCUUCAUGCUCUGGUACAGCUUCAGAAGAAGUAUGAUUCUGAGUAUUUUCCAUCUGGACUGCUGUAGUCUCCUUUGGAAUGCUAUUAUGUUCUUCCAUUUGUAUUUUACCUUCUGCAAAUAUAACAUCUCUGCUGAUGACUAGCUUGUGGGAUUGGGCAGUGGGAUCCCACAAGCGAUACCCCUUCACUCCAUCAGCAUAUCCCAAGAAUACACAUUUUCUGGAUUUUGAAUCCAGCUUGUUGACUUCUUGAGUAUUGUACAUCACGUACACAGGACUUCCAAAUAUAUGUAAUUGAGAAUAAUCAGCUGACUUUCCAGUCCACAUCUCCAUCGGUGUCUUCAGCUCAAUUGCAGUUGAUGGAGAUCGAUUUAUCACAUAACAGGCGGUAUUGACUGCUUCUGCCUAGAAUGACUUUCCUAGACCUGCAGCCUUCAACAUUGCUCUCGUUCUUUCUAAUAGAGUUCUGUUCAUCCGCUCUGCCACUCCAUUUUGCUGUGGAGUGUAUGCCGUUGUGAACUGCCUUUUGAUACCUUCAUGUUGACAGAAGUUAUCAAAUUCAUCACUGGUAUAUUCUCCUCCAUUGUCAGUCCUCAAACACUUGAUCUUCUUUUCAGAUUCAAGUUCCACCCGCGCUUUGAAAGUUUUAAAGAUUGCGAACACAUCUGCCUUCCUUCUAAUUGGAUGCACCCAACAUCUCCUGGAGAAGUCAUCUAUGAAUGAUACAAAGUAUCUUGCUCCUCCCAAGGAUACAACCGGUGCUUGCCAAACAUCAGAGUGAAUCAAGUCUAAGAUGCAUUUGCUCUUAGUUGUUGAUGUGCCAAACUUCAACCUGUGUUGUUUACUUGUAACACAGUGCUCCCAAAAAGGUAAAGUAACCUUUGUAAGCCCAGGGAGUAACUUCUGAUCAAAGAGAACUUUCAAACCUUUCUCUGACAUGUGGCCUAGUUUUUGAUGCCACAUCAUCGUCUUCUUUUCUGCAGGACUGGCUGAUGCGAUUGACGCUUCUGCCCUAUGAUGUGUUUCUCCCAUUAAUACAAACAUGUUUGCAACUAUUUUUCUCGCCUUUAAAACUACCAACGCUCCUUUGACAAUUUUCAUUAUUCCAUUGUCUGUUCGGAUCUUAUAGCCAAGACUAUCAAAUUGUCCCACAGACAAAAGAUUUUUCUUUAAGUCUUUCACAUGACGCACUCCUGUAAUAGUACGAAUUAAGCCAUCAUACAUCUUCAAUUUGAUGGUGCCAAUGCCAGCAAUCUCUAAAGCAUGAUUAUCACCCAUGAACACUUUGCCUCCAGAGAUGGGUUCAUAUGUAUGGAACCAAUCUCGAUUAGGAGUCAUAUGCCAUGUUGCUCCUGAAUCCAUUAGCCAGACCUCAGUAAGCUCUUCUCUAUCUGUAGAGAUUGUCGCUGCUUCACUAUAUAAAACCUCCCCAUCUUCUGAGGUGCUCGCAACACAUCCUUGAGGUUUUGAUGACUCUGCAGUAUUCUCUAUACCCCUUUUAAACCAACAAUCCUUUUUGAAGUGCCCUUUUCUGCCACAGUUGUAGCAUUUCACAAUCUUCUUACUUCUUGAUUUGGACCUCCCUUGCCUUUGACUCCCACUGGAGCCACGCUCCGUUGAUCUCCCUCUUGACAUCAACAAUGCCUCUGCUUGGUUUGAACUAUUUCUGUCUCCUUUAUUUUUGCGCCUAUUUUCUUCUUCCAAGAUAGCGGCUGCAACAUCAUCAAAGACUAAAUAGUCUGUGAGGAUAUUAUUGGUCAAGUUGAUAAUGAGCUGAUCAUACGAAUCUGGGAGACUUCGAAGUAGAAGUUCUGCACGUUCACUUUCCUCUAUUUGUUGACCCAACGUAGUGAGUUGUGAAAAUAGAGUUCUUAUUGUGUUGAUGUGGUCAGUCACUGCCGUGGUUUCUGCCAUUCGAAGGGUAUAAAGUCUCCGCUUUAAGAAAAUCUUAUUGUGCAAAGACUUGGACUCAUAUAGCUUUGUUAGAGUCUCUCAUAUCUCCUUAGCUGUUUUCUUCUCCGCUACACUUGAUAAUACUUCAUCGGCUAAUGCUAAAUGUAUGUUAGCAAUAGCAUUGCCAUCCAUCUCAUUCCAUUUUGCAUUAUCAGUGAUCUCCGCGGGCCGAUCCCCAAUUGCUGCCAAGCAAUUGUCUUUCCUUAAGAUUGCUUUGAUUCUCAUUUUCCAGAGUGAGAAAUUGCUCCCAUUGAACCUCUCAAUCUCAUACUUUGCUGCCAUUUUAUUCACCGUGAUCUAUUCAGCUAUCACUGUUUCACAGAUCUGUAACGUAUAUAGAAAUAGUAUCGUGUGAAUAAUACUUCACUAAGUAAGUUCCCAGGAAAGAUUGGAGGGGUCACAAAUGGUCCCGCUUAAAACCCAAUCUCCUUAGACAGAACUUCCUAGACUGUAUUUAAUCACCGCACUGACUUUCUAUAUACGCCAACAGUAACGUAUGUGAAUAGUGCCGUAGACGUGAAUAGUAACCGUAUACACGAAUAACUUUUGUGUAUUAACAACACCAACCAAAAGGCUCUGAUACCACUAUUAGGAAACUGGCAUGCAAACCCGACAAGAUAAAAGGCAAGGGACAAGAUAAAAUGAGAAAUGAGACACACAAGAAUUUACGUGGUUCAACCAAUUUGGCUACGUCCACGGGCAAGUAUAGAAGGAUUUUACUAAGUAAUGUGGGAAUUACAACCUCUCUCUACUAAUAGGAGAAAACACCUCACUUACUCUCUCACAAAUACCUCACAAUUUUGUGGGAUUACUUUCCCUCUCUCACUCUUCUCUUCCUCUCUUAUGAUGUGCAAAAUAAGCUUGGAUGCACUGCCUAUUUAUAGGCAAGCAUCCAAGCAAAGGACAAAGGGGCACCAAUUGGUGCUGCAAGUGGCACCGAAUUGGUGCCCAACAUUGUUGAAUUUGCAGCACCAAUUUGGUGCCUAACAUUGUUGACUUUGCCAACAAUGCAGCUGGCUUCACAUAACAUAGUUUGUAUUCUGAGCCAAUCUGGGGUGGGACUUGAAACAAAUGUUGUAUAUUGUUUGCACUGUCACUUUGCUUACCCUCUUAGGUUUUUAUUGAGAUUAGGGAUUCUAUUGUAGCUCUUUUUUCUCCUUUUAUUAUAAUAAAAUAAUAUCUAUGGAUUAAUUUUGGUAUAAUUUAAGAAAGUAAGUCCUUUAAUCAAAUUUUAGAUUGACCAUCCUCUAUGUGUUAAAAGUAAAUGUUAAUUUAUAAAAUAAUAACUAUGUUUAAGUCUUGAUUAACUCAGAAGAUGUCUUCUAAGACGCAUCUCUGUCUUCUCUUCUCUUCUCUUCUUCUCUAUAAAAUUCCUUUUUAGCUCUCUGAUGUACUUAAUGUCCCGGAGGUGUGGCUUCUUCAUAUGAAGAAAAUGUUAAGAUUCAAUUAUGAUUUUAGAUUUUAGAUUCCAUUGUCUACAAAUUUGAACCAUGAUGAUGAAGCAUACGGACCAGUCAGUAGACAACAUGUUUAUUAUAUAUGAUAGAGGUCCUCAAUGUAUUUCACGUUUCUAUGAGAAAUUUCACGAGACUAUGAGUACUCGAAUUGAUCUUAGUACAACAUUUCAUUCUCAAAAUAAUGGUUAAUAAAAAAGAACCAUUCAAAUACUUGAAGAUAUGUUGAUAGCAUGCAUACUUAAGUGGAGUUUGCUGGAACAAAUAUGUACCAUUGGUGGAGUUCGUUAAGAGGGGGGAACUAAUUCCUCGAUAUAUUAGGCCUUUGGAAAUUUUGAAGAGAAUUGGUGCACUUGCUUAUGGAUUAGCUCUUCCACCCAGCUUUUUCAUCUAAACAUCCAGUAUUCCAUGUAUCCAUGCUUUAGAAGUAUAUUUGUGCUCCAUCACAUGUAUUGGAGCCAUAAACCGUAGCAUUUGAAGAAGAUAUGUCAUGUAAAAUUCGACUGGAGAGAAUUGAAGAUAGACAAAUUAGAAAACUUCGUUCUAAAGAUUGCUUUAGUGAAAGUAAUGUGAGAAGGUCAUACCUGAGAAGAUGAUACGUAAUAAAUAUCGUGAUUUCUUCAUUCAAUCAAGCUAGCAAGUUUUCUAAUUAAAUUUCGAGGGUGAAUUUAUUUUAACAGGGGAGGAAAUGUCAACCCCACCCAUAAUAUAUAACCCAUUAUUGUUUUAUUGGUCCAUUUAGGUAGCCCAUUUGUUAUAUACAGAAGGAGAGAGGUAAGGACAUUGUUAGUCAUUUUCUUCUUUCUCUCUUACGGGGAAUGUUCUUCCUUCUCCCUUUUACUGCAAAUAUUCCCCCACAAUCCUAAACCACCAAUUGACCAUAUAACUCCCUUGUUUUGAGUAGGUUUACUUCAACUUUAUCUAAGUGUUUAUAAUAUUGUUUUAGGUUUAUUUCUUUAUAUAAGCUUGUUGAAUUCUAGGCCUUAUAUGAUAUUAGUUGAUGUGAUUUGGAUUUAUUCUUAAGUUAAUUUGUGUGUGGGUAGUAACAAGUGUAUAUGAAUAUGAAUUGAAGUAAGUACCUUAACAAAUGUGAUGGGUUGGUGUGAAGCUUUGAUUAAUUGCUAUAUUUUGAUGUAAUGAGCAAAUACCUUAAGAAAUUUGAAUAUUUGAAAGAUAAUAGGUAAAUAUUGAAGAAUUGUAUAGAAAGAAUCGUAUUGAAAUUAUGGAAAAUAUGAUUUUGUCCCUAAAUUCUAAAAAACAAUUAUAGUUUGGUCACUGGUUGUAAAAACAAUUAUAUUUUCAAACUUUCAAUAUAGAGAGAGAAAUAAAAAUAAAAAGGAAAAGGAAAAGGAAACAACCCCCAGCUUUCUUGUGCCCUUUCCCUUCUUUACAUGGCUUCCUCGAUCGAUGUAAAAAAGCAAACGCCCCAUUUGAUUUUCAAGCAGUAUGAGUGAGAAAGAUAGAGAGGACAAGAGAGGACAAGGGGGUCCUCUCUCUCUUUCCUUGCUUUUUUUAACGCGUGGACCCAGCAGUUGUUGCCACCAAAUUCCUUCCUCAAUAUUUACCAGUGCUACACGCUUGAGAAAUUUCCUUGUUAUUUUUUUUAUUAAUGAAAUAUUACUUUUACCGUAUAGCCAUUGAAUUCUAGAUCAAUUUAUCGGGUAUUGGGCCGGUUUGGAUUUAAUAAUUAUGAUUCACAGACAUACAACUAGUACUUGCAACUAUUAAUAUUUAUUAUUUUCAUUAAGUUUUUCAAACUUUCAAUAUAGAGAGAAAAAUAAAAAUAAAAAGGAAAAGGAAACAACCCCCAUCUUUCUUGUGCCUCUUCCUUUUUUUUUAAGUUUAAUGUUGGUGUUUGGGUCAACUUGCACGCAUCUCGACUAAUUUCAUGGGCUCUGAAGUUAACAACUAUGUAAGUCUCCAAUGACCAUCAUAUAAACAACCACGGGGCUCGAAUUUAAAACUAUAAAAAAAACAAAUCUCUUAAUCACAUGAUCUUAUUAAUGUACCACCAUUUAGGUAGUUGCCCUUUCCCUUCUUUACAUGGCUUACCCGAUGAAAAAAGCAAACACCCCAUUUUGAUUUUCAUUCCGUACGAGUGAGAAAGAAAGACAGGACAAGGUUUGUUGAGGCUUUUUUUUUGGAACCUCGCUCUGGGAUUAAUUAGCGAGAAUAAGAAAAUUCUAUGCAAAUUAUACAAAAUUUAUUAUUAAUCAUCAAUAUUUAUUCUUAUCAUCAAUAUUGAAUAAUGGUUUAUUUUCUAGUAUAAACUAUGAUGGGUUCGUUUAUAAAAAUAAAUAAAUUGAGGUUUUUCAAUUUCCUUUAAACAUAUCAUAGUUUUAAUACCAUUUAUUUUUACAUUUUAAAAAUAAUUUUUAAAAAAAUUAAAAAUAAAUUUUAUUUUUUAUUUCAAAAUAAUAUUUUUUUAAAUAUUUUUAAAUUAUCUUGAUAUAUUGAUAUUAAAAUUAAUUUUUAAAAGAUAAAUUUUUUCAAACAUAAAGUUUAGCCUGCAGAUCUUCCGCUGAUCCCAUCUCAUUGUUGUAUGCAUCCAAGCUAAGCCAAUUCAAGAAAGAAGAUUUGAAGAAUACCACCAGCAGCAGGAGUAAUACAUUAACAUAACAGCAUUAUGGCAGAAGGAGGGACGACCUCACUGCAAGGGCGAAGGCAUGUUAAAGACUUGGGCGUGCUAUAAUUUAGAUUAAAACUUUAUUAAUAUUUUUUGAUUAGUUUUAUUUAAAAAAAUUGUAAUUCUUGAUUGAAUUAUUAAAAAAAUUUAAAAUUUAUGUGGAGCUUUCUAGAAUAACGUUUUAACUUGGAUUAAAAUUUCAGAAUAUUUUGAGAAAUUCAAAAAUUUGAUGAAAAAUCAUAAUUUAACUAAUUUUAUGUUAAUUGAUGUAAUUUUCAAUCCAACUAUCAAAUUGAGCUGAAAUUUUACGAGAAAUCUUAAAAUAUAUUAAAUAAAAUAUAAUUAAAAUUUUAUGAUGAGUGGAGCUUGAUAAUACUAACAAAAAAAAUCAUCAAAUAAAAACAAAUCAAGAAUAAAAUGAUUAUUUCCAUUAAAAAGUAAAAUAAAUCAACUAUUUAUAUAAUAGCUAAAUCUAUUAAGAUAAAUCGAAAAUAACUAGUAAAAUCAAUGACUUGUAUUGACGAGUGUGUCUAUAUAUACAUAUAGGAACUGCUGAUUCGAUUUGAAUAUGUUAUUUGAUUAGUCUAAUUCAUGAUUUGCAUUGACUCAAAAUUACCACUAGAAAUUCCUAGUUUCGUGGUGCUUUCUCAGCCUGCAAAUGAAUAUAAAGCAUAUCCUUUUAUCCUAUAUAAAGAAUACAAUUAACCUUUUUAUCUUUUAUAAUUAUAAUUAUUGCAUUGCUAAUAAUUUGCACGAAAGAAUAUUGUUUCUCUGAAAAGGGCUUGAGAAAACCCUAAGCAUAGUAUAUAAUCUCUUAUAGGAAUCUCUUUAUUAAAUUAUCAAAAUAUCAAAGUCUGUUUCCAAAGACUAUGACUACAGUUUAUAUAUAGAAACAACCAAAUAUAAAAAUUAUUAAUUUUUAAAUAGAAAAACCAGAGAGCUUGAUAAUAUUUAAUAAAAAAAAUAAAAUAGAAAAAUUAUUCCUUUUUAAGUAGAAAAAAAUUAUAAAGAUUUAAUAAUACUAAAUAAGAAAAAUUAAAAUUUCUACACUAAAUUAAAAAAACAAAAAAAAAACUGAGAAAAUAUUUAUUAUCCCAAUAGUUCUUAUAUUAAAAUCUCAUUUAUCAUAUGUUAUAUCUAUCAAAAUAAUAAUAAUAAUAACUUGUGACUUGAACUAAAGCUACAUGCGAAAACUAGAAAAACCCGGUAGAGACCCGUUCUGUUUUUUCAAAUAUGUUUUUUCUUCUAGCUAGAGACCUUUUUUUUUAAUAUAUUUUUCUAUUGGUUACUAAACCAUUUCAAAGUUCACUAUAUAAAUACUAGAAGAAUAUUUUAUUUUUUCAAUAUGGAAUAAAAAAAAUCAUUUUUGUUUACAUACCUCAAUUUAAAAGAAUUAGAUAAUAUUUUUUUAAUAUGAGAUAAAAAAACCUUUUGAAAUAAUCUUUUAAACUUUAUUAUAUGCAACAUGUAUAAUCUAUAUUCAUAUAAAUUAUUUCUUUAAUUUUUUUCAUUCUCAUAUUCAAACUUCCAAUAUUGAGAGAGAAAUUAAAAGGAGCAAAAGGAAACAACCAGUGAGGACAAUAUCCUCCAGCUCAUCAUCAGAUCCCACGAAAGGAACGCAGAAAGACAUUCCCUUUCUUGUCAUCAAGUUUUGAAUCAAAAAGUACUUUCGUGCAUUAUUGUCAUAAAGUUUUUCAAACUUCCAAUAUAGAGAGAGAAAUUAAAAGUAAAAAUAAAAAGAGCAAAAGGAAACAACCCCCACCCCAUCUUUCUUGUUCCCUUUUCCUUCAAUGAAAAAGCAAGCACUAAUGCACCUUCUCCACAAACUACCCCCCAAUUUCGCCACUAUAUAAAUAUAUUAUGGAAAACAAGAUAAAAAGAAAUCUUUCGGUACAUCUAUAUAUAUAUAUAUAUAUAUAUAUUAUGGCUAUGAAAAUAGGUUUGUGGAAAUUUACAUGGUUUGAUUUUGACAGUGUCAGAUUAGACAAUUGCAUGGAAAUGGUCUUCUUAGUUUGCCGUGUGGAAAAUCAUGUCAUUUACGGGACUGCUGGAGAGAGUUUCUAUUGAUAAUUUCACUCGAAAAGUUUUAGUAAUUUACAAAGGAAAUUUCUCCUUUAUAUGAAUUGAAAAACUAUUAUUGACUGACUUCUUGCAAAGUAUUUGCAAGAAAGCUAAAGAAUUAAAGUUUUUCAAUUUUGAAAAUUAUAAUUUAAAAUUUUUAGAAAAAAAUCAAUUAUUUUUAAAAUUGUUUUCAAAAAUACACUACCAGAAAUUCAUCUAAUACCAACGGACUUACCGACAGAAUUAUUCUGUCGGUAAAUUGCGGUGAUAAUUACUGACGGAUACUAAUCCGUCUGUAAUUCAGUUGGUAUAUACCGACGGAAUUAUUCCGUCGGUAUAUACCGACUGAAUUACAGAAGAAAGAUAUAGAAUUAAAAAAAAGCGGGGAUGUUGACGUGACAGUUUUUGCGGGCGAUUUUACCGACGGAAUCAACGAGGGAUUCAAACCCUGAUUUUGUUUAUGAGCAAUUUUGACUAUCUUAGAGGUAGAACUAGGUUCUCUUUAAUCAUAGAACUUGUAGCCUCAUGUCUUAGCUUUCUAACAAGACUAAUCUUGCUUAAAUCGGAGUUUUAUAACUCCAGAUAUAGUUAAAAAUAUGAGGAGAGGUCAGACAGUAACAGUUCAAUGUUUAGACAGUAACAGUUCAAAAAUGAGACAGUAAUAGUUGGACAGUAACAGUUCAAGAACGAGACAGUAACAGUUAAAAAAUGAGACAGUAACAGUUCAAAAAUGAGACAAUAAUAGUUGGACAGUAACAGUUCAAAAAAGGAGACAGUAACAGUUAAAAAACGAGACAGUAACAGUUCAAUGUCUAGACAGUGACAGUUCGGGAUUUAAACAGAAACGGUUCAAAUAUAUAUAUAUAUAUAUAUAUAUGUGUGUGUGUGUGUGUGUGUGUGUGUGUGUGUGUGUGUGUGUGUGAAAUGAGAAAAAUGUAAAAUAUUAAGAAAUGACUGAAAGAAAGACUUAUUGGUUGUUGAUAUGGUUAUAAUAAAACAUAUCCUUGAGUGAGGAAGUAGAGCUUCUAUUGCAGGUAGGUAAUCCGUACCUAUACUUUCUAGUUUAAUUCUAUGAUUUAAUAAGUUAUUGAUGUGAGAUGUGAAUUACCGAAUAUGGGAUAUUAGGAUAAAGGAGGAAAGUUUGCGUAAUGAUGCCGAUAUUUGGAAAGUAUUCUUAAUGUAUGUGUAUUCAAGGUGAACGGUUGUUCUGUGAAUUGCCAAGUGAUGAAAUUAUAAUUGAUAAAGAAAAUAUGAGAAGUGUGAUUUGGGGCGUGAACUAGCAUACAUUUAGUGUAUGUUAGGAUCCCGGGUAAGGGGAUCAAGAUGUAUUGGCUAGCAUACAUUUAGUGUAUGUUAGGAUCCCGGGUAAGGGGAUCACCAUGUAUUGGCUAGCAUACAUUUAGUGUAUGUUAGGAUCCCGGGUAAGGGGAUCACCUUGCAUCGACUCCUACAUGAUGAUGAUGAUGAUAACAGUGAAAUUGGUAUCGGUAAUGUGUUAAGCGGAAAUAAUCAUGGGUGGUUUUAUGAGAUCUUGAAUGGAGGUUGAUAAUAGAAGAGGAAAUGGUUUUUAGUAGUUGAAGGAGAAAAAGUCUCCAAUAAGAACCAAAAGGGAGAAGUGAAUAAAAUAUGAAUGUAUGUUGCCUUUUUAAAUUGCUGGAUAUUUGUAUUGCUAUAUUAUUGUGAUAUUCAUAUUUCAAUAAUAUGUAUUUUAUUUUCAGGACCAUCGCAUGCAUGACAGGAGUAGAUUUUGGCUUAGGUUCUUUUUUUGUAAUUUAGGUUCUAAGGAGUAUACCCUUGUAUUUGGUAAUAUUACAACUUUUAUUUAACUUAAUUUGUAUAAUUGAUGUUUAAACUUGAAUAGAUGAACUUAAUUCGGUAGUUUGUAUAACUAUGUUCCAUUAAGCAUGUUUAUAUCUUUAACCAUCCAUAAUGAUAAUUGUUGUACAAUGUAUAUCAUCAACAUUGUGGUUGAUAUGAAUGGUGAUGUUUGUGGGAUUGAGACCUAAGAUGAUUAGGCUGAAUUGAGUUGGAGAUGCGGUAUAUUAGAAGUGUAAACAGGACGUAUGUCGAUAACUUGGGACCUCCCGGUAUAGGGGAUACUCUGUUAAAAUUUCACUAGACUUUAAUGCAAAUACCAUGAAUAGAUAUAUAUAUAUAAAAUUUAGUCACUCUGUUUAUCAGCUAACAUGAGAUCGUUGCUUUAUCCCUGAUAUGGGAAUGUUACAGGUUCGAUAGAAGUCAUGGAUGAUUGUUCAUGGAUGUAUCGAGAUCCAUGUGUUAAUUUUGACAACAUGUAUUAAUUAAGAUGACAACAUGUAUUAAUUAACUAACAUAGUUAACUAAUACAUGUUUUCAUCAUAAUUUUAUAGAGGUUCGAUAAAAGUCAUGGAUGAUUGUUCAUGGAUGUAUCGAGAUGCACCCCAUGGAUUGCAGAGGAUUCUUUGAAGAAAAUUCAAAUUUUCAUGUUUUCGAUAAUAGUCUUGUUGAUGUUGACGCAGAGGAGUUGAAUGUUGUUUUGAGCUCUAACGGACAAGCAAAUAUCGAUGAAGAUGAUGAUUAUGAUGACAUCCAUAUUGAAGAUUGCGAUGGAGCUGAUGACUAUUCAAUUGAUGACGAAGAAGAAGAAAAUUCUGACUAACUAGCAGAAUCAAGGAAAGUGCAAAGCAUUUUUCUAAAAUGUAAUAUGUAUUAUCGAUGAUAUUUUGUAACAUGAAAUAUUUAUUUGAUAAGUGUUUAAGUGUUUUUGUGUGAUGGGCAGUUUGUAAUUUAAGUGUUUGUAGGAAGGUAAAUAGGCAAUACAAACAAAAGUUUUCAUGCACAGUGCACGAUCACCAACGUCCAUACCGAUGGAUUACAUUUCGUCGGUAUUGCACAGAGAGCUGUAAAAUAUUUAUUGGAAAUGCCACAAUCACCGACGACUUUGCAGAUGGAUUACCGUCCGUCGGCAUUCAACAGAGAGGUUCACUGGAAAUGCCACAAUCACUCACCGACGACUUUGUAGACAGAUUAAAGUCUGUCAGCAUUCCACAGAGAGGUUCACUGGAAAUGCCACAAUCACCGACGACUUUGCUGAUGGAGUAGAGUCUGUCGGCAUUCCACAGAGAGUGGUGGAAAUGCCACAAUCACCGAUGACUUUGCAAACGGAUUACAGUCCGUCGGCAUUGUGUCGGCAGCUCACAAUUAUCGAUAAAUUCACCAACGAACGGUGUGAAUUCCAAAGGACGGGUAAUAAAUGCAUAUCUGAUAGCGUGCAGCUGCCGACGGAAUUACCAACGAACUGCGAAAAAUAUGGAGGGUAAUUAAAAAAUUCUGGAGCAAAAUUCAAAAUUUACCGACGGAGUUAAAUGUUCGUCAGUGAAUCCGUCGGUAAAAUUACGAUAUAAAUGCCAGCGACCGCCCUUUGAGUUCAUUUUUUCAUCUCCUUUGUUUUUAGAGCUUAACUUUUUGUUUUUUUUCCCUCUCAUUUCCUUCAAAUCUCUUGUUUUUUCUUGUAAUCUCUAGUUAUAUCUUCAGCAAAUUAAAAGGUAUGUAUUUCCUCUACUUAAUUUGCUUUAAGAUUUUACUUUUUUAUUUGUUCUUUGUUUAGCAAUUGUUAUUUUUGUUAUGUUUUUUGUUUUGGUGUAUUUUCAUAAUGUAGAUAAAGUCUUACAAUAAACACAUUAUUAAGGUAAGCAUUUUUCAUUCUUAAAGUCUAUAGUUUUUUUUUUAACUUGUUCAAUAUAUUUUGUUGUUUGUUUUGCCAUAAUAAUUAGGGGUGAGCAAAUUCGGUUCGGUUCGGUUUUUAUCUAAAAAACUAACCAAAAUCAAAUUUUGAAAAACUUAAAAAUUCAAACCGGACCCAAACCGGAACCGGUUCAAACCGACCGGUUUCGGUUCGGUUCGGUUCGGUUUUUUUAUCAGGAAAACCGGAAAACCUGUAUUAUUGUUUUUUUGGGCUUUUUCGGGCUUUUUAAUGGGCUUUCUGAUGGGUUUUCUGAUGGGCUUGUAAUUAAUGUAAAUAUCAUCUAAUUUUGUUACAAAAUUCUAUAAUAUAUUUAAUAUUUUUUAUCACUAAAUAUUCAUUUAUAUUAAAUUAUUAGUGCUAAUAUUAUGUUUAAUAUGUUGCACAUCUUUCUAAUAUUUAUAUUUAGGAGUUUGGACUCCUCAUGCAUCAAAAUUUAAAUAACACACACACCAAAUUAAAAUUAAAAUUACAAAGCAUUGCCUUCAAAAUGGGCUUAAAAAAACAACAAAUAACAUUGCCAUAAAAAAUAAAAUACUUCAUGCAAAAAAUAUAAAUCUUCAUUGUGCACAUCAUCUCAAUCAAAAAGCACAACAAGAUGACAAGAACAUUGCACUUUGAUUCCGUAAUACCAUUGACAUCAAAACCUGAAAAUCAAGAUCUAAAAUUAUAACAUGAUAAAAUAAAUUAGAAUAUGUAAAAAUAAAUAGUAGUAUUUUACCAUCAAAGUAACUUUUGAACUAAUUAUCAUUUGUUACUAAAUGUAACUUUCCACCAAAUUCUACAAAAUAAAAAAUUAGACAUGUUAGAUGAUUGCAAACAAUUUAAUUAAUAAAUAACAAAAUAAAAGGUGCAAAUUUCUAAAAACAAUUACCUGACUCAAGGUUUUCGUAGGUUUCAAGAUCAUUUAUCAAGCUUCUAAUAUCAGUUGGAAUUGAUCCAUGAUGAAACCAAUUUUGACAACAAAUGAGUGCUUGAACAGUUGCUGGAGAUAGAGAACUUCGAAAUUGAUCAAGUACACGACCACCUGUGCUAAAUGCUGAUUCAGAAGCCACUGUAGAUAUAGGAAUAGCCAGAACAUGUUGUGCAACCUUUGAAAGUGUCUUAUAUUUCAAAGCAUUACUUUUUCACCAACCCAAAAUAUCUAACUUAUCAUCAUUACGAUCCUCACAACCUUCAAUCAAAUACCUCUCAACCUCAUUUUUAUUUUCCACACUAUCCACCUUCAGCAAAUGUCUUUUGAAUCGAGCCAAAGUGUUAACAUCUACCUCCACAUCAUCAAUAGCAUUAACAUCCUGUUUAUGCCUAUUAUUAUCCACCACUUCAUCAAUUUUCAAAUAAAACUCAUACAAGCUCACCAAAGUAUCUUUCACCUUAUUUGUUAGCAAUUGUGCUUUGUCAUAAUCAUACAAAUCACCAAAACAAAAUUCCACAUAUUUCAACUUCAAACAUGGAUCUAAGACAUUAGCCACAUAUAACAAAAAAUUCUGAUUUACUUCACAACCCCAAUACUUCUCAAACUUUAACAUCAUCUUCAUCGCCAUUCCACUUUAACAAGUUUGUAUGCAUGUAAAUCAAUUCAUUGAAGAAAGAAUUUGAUGUGACAUGCAAUGAGCCAGAAAAUAUCAAUGUAACCAUAUAAAAGAUCUUUAAGAACUUAACCAAAGUUCUUGCAUUUUCCCAAUCCUCCAAACUAGGUGGCCCUAUGUUUUUUUUAUUCCCCUUUGAAUCAACCUCCAAAAAGUAACUCAUAUACCUAAGUUCUCUUUCACCUAACCUCACAAAUACCUUUUCAAACUUUUCAGCAGCUUCUAGCAUAAGAUAAGUUGAAUUCCAUCGAGUUGCAACAUCUAAACACAAUGAUUUCUUACACUCUAUAUGCAACUUUUCAGCACACUUCUUAAAUGCAAGAUGCCUCAACGGUGAAGAUCUCACAAACCUAAUGGCAUUUCGAAUCUUAACAACUGAAUCAUUAAUCUCUUUCAAGCCAUCACACACAAUGAGGUUUACAAUGUGUGCACAACAUCUAACAUGCAGGUGCUCAUUUGACAAUAUAUUAGUUGGCCAAUCUUUCAUCACAUUCUUUAAAUAUGAAAUGGUCACAUUAUUAGAGCUUGCAUUGUCUAAUGUAAUAGUCAACAGUUUAUCAAUCCCCCACUCCAACAAACAAUUCUCAAUAACUUGGCCAAUUGUCUCACCCAUAUGAUUGGAAACUUGACAAAAAUUAAGAAUUCUUUUAUGCAAAUUCCAGUCAUUAUCAAUCCAAUGAGCUGUUAAACAAAUAUAGUUAAUAUUUUGGAUUGAUGUCCAUGUAUCUGUUGUCAAGCACAAUCGUUGACCCCUAAGAGCUGUCCUCAAUCUAUCCUUCUCUUCAACAUAAAGUUUCAAACAAUCUCUCAUAAUUGUAAAACGAGAAGGAAUGUCAAAUCUAGGUUGUAUAGUCCUAGCAAACAAUUUAAAUCCCCGACCCUCCACAAAAUUAAAAAGCAACUCAUCAAUUAUAACCAUCUUUGCUAGUGCUUGUCUACAUUCAUCAUAAUUAUAACCUAUUGCCUUAAGACUUCCCACAUUUUGUUCUCCCAAUUCACCCUUCUCUAUCUUAGGUUCUAAUACCAAAACCUUUUGUUUCUUAUCAAUCACAAAAGGGAACUUCUUGUACACUUUUAAAUGACUCCACAUAUUACUUGUGCCAUUAACAAUAGUAUGACAUGCAUAAUGUUUUCCACAAUAAUUACAUUCAGCUCUAGGGGUUUUAGGAUCAACAUCAAGUUUUGUAAAGUGAUCCCAAGUUUGUGACUUCUUUUUAUCAUCAGCAUUUCUUUUCCUAGAUGAAAGGACUUGAGGUUGUUUACCUUGUGUAUCUGUGGUGGAUCCUGCAUUGGUUGAUUCUACAUUAGGUUUUGAAGUUGGAGAAGUAGUUGAUGUUGGUGUAGUGCCUGUGGAUGAAGCAUUUUGAAUUUGAGUAGUUUCCAUCUGUUAUUAUAUAUGAAAACAUGUUAAAAACCAAUAAUUUAUAAUAGAUUAACAACAGUAUGACAUGCAUAAGUUCAACUGUAAUUUUAAAGAUUAUUUUCACAAGUUAAGUUCUUUUAUUUUGGUUGAUAUGUUGUAAAAACAAUUAUGUUGCUGAGUGCUGAGAUUGUAUUUUGUAAUUUCAAUAGACAAUAAUACAAUACAAUAUAUAUAUAUAUAAACAUUAUUCUCUUUUCAAUAAAUAAAAAAAAUUCAGUUUUCAGAAUUGAUAAAUUACAAUCCACCGAAUCCCCCCUCUUUUUUUUAACACAGAUAAUAAACAUUAUUCUCUGUUUUUUUAGCACACAGCAUUGACAGCACACCAUAAUAAUGGAUUAGCAAUAAUAUUUAAAACAAAUGCCUCUCGGGGAAACUGUAUUUUCCCAUUUUUCUCCCUAAUGUAAUAUCAGGCUCAUAAUACCAAUUCACCGCAUUGGUAUUGCAAGUUUUUAUCAUUUGUUUAGUAUCAUUUUCUUCUUCAGUCAUUUGGCUAUUGACAUAAUGAGAUAAUUUUUCUAAUCUUUUACCAGUACUCCACCUUAGAGUAUGAGUGGAAUUCAAUCUCUAAUGUCUAGCUAAAAGCCUAAAACGGCACAAAGAGGUUUCUUUAGUAAUGAUCAAGUUUUACCACUACCAGUGCCAAUUAUUCCCAUUUCUUUCAGUGAUGUGCUGUUAGCUUUAGCAUUUGGAACAAUCAUAACAUAUUGUCUUUCUCAUGACCAGUGCCAUUUCUACCAGUGCCAAUUAUCUGUGUUUUGUAUAUUAAAUUAACAUGCAAGAGUUUGUAUAUUAAAUUAACCCUCAUUCCGAUAUUAAUCUAGAUUCCAUUAUUUUUUCAUUGCUACUCAUGACCUUAAUAAAACACGAAUUCAUUAACAUAUUGUCUUUCUCAGCAAAGAAAAAACGCAUUGUCUCUGUCAUAAAUCUCUUCUUAAGAAGUUUAUUAAAAAAUAAACAGAAUCACAGAGCAAUAGAGCAUAUGUUCAAAAAAAAAACAGAGACAAAAAAAAAAUCAUACCUGGUGUGACACGAUUCAAGGUCGGGUGUGAGAGAGGGAGGUGACUGCCUCACUGGUUCGCUAAAUCUGGAGUUGGACUCUGGAGGUUCGGUGAGCCGGUGUGGUGUGUGUCCUACGAUUCAAGAUCAGGUGUGACCGUGUGAGAGAGGGACGUGGCUGACUGGGGUUUGAAGAUGAAGAUGGUGGCCGGUGGGAGAGGGAUGUGGCUGACUGGCGUUUGAAGAUGAAGAUGGUGGGAGAGGGAUGUGGCUGACCGGCGUUUGAAGAUGAAGAUGAAGAUGGUGGGAGAGGGAUGUGGCUGGUUGUGGUCCAGUAGAUGAAGAUGGAUUGAUUUCUUACAUAUGUGAAAUUGUGAGUUGUGAGUUGAGGGAGCGGCUUAGGAGAAAGGAGAAGGACGGCUGGAGCAGGAGUAUGGAUGCUAGGGUUAAGAAAAACAACGCGAUUUUUUUUGUAGCUAUUUAUAGUACCCCUUAAACCGAACCGGUUCGGUUCGAUUGGGGUUUUUCCGGUUUCAGGUUUCUAAAACCGAAACCGAACCGAACCAAACCAAAAAUUUUUACAAAAAAUUUAAUCGGUUUUUUUGGUUAUUUUUUUUUCGGUUUUCUCGGUUUAUUCGGUGUCUCGGUUUUUUUUCUCACCCCUAAUAAUAAUUGAACACUUUGUUGAAUUUUAAUUGUUAUUGUUGAAUUUACCUUGCAAUUAGUAAUUGAAUACACUGGAAUGAAUUUAAUUAUUUUAUCUCAAUUUUACUGUAUUUUUGCAUGAUAUGUGUUUAAUUAUUUUGUUGAAUUUUAAUUGUUAUUGUUGAAUUUACCUUGUAAUUAGUAAUUAAAUAUAUUGGAAUAAAUUUAAUUAUUUUAUUUCAAUUUUACUGUAUUUUUGCAUGAUAUGUGUUUAAUUAUUUUGUUGAAUUUUAAUUCUUAUUGUUGAAUUUACCUUGUAAUUAGUAAUUGAAUAUAUUGGAAUGAAUUUAAUUAUUUUAUCUCAAUUUUACUGUAUUUUUGCAUGAUAUGUGUUUAAUUAUUUAGUUGAAUUUUAAUUGUUAUUGUUGAAUUUACCAUGUAAUUACUAAUUGAAUAUAUAAGAAUAAAUUUAAUUAUUUUAUCUCAAUUUUACUCUAUUAUUACAUGAUAUGUGUUUAAUUAUUUCCAUUAAUUUUAAUUGUUAUUUGUAUAGAUGUUAGGUUAUAUGUAAGAUUUUUGAAUGGGGGUCAAUUGGUUGUGGCUAUUGUUAAUAUUUGAAGGUUUGAAAACUUUGGGUAGUCUCCAGUAUAGAAGAGACGCUGCUGAAUUUUUUUUAACAAUCGAAUUUAAUUAUAUAAUUAUUCUUAUAAAAUUGCGUAGAUGUGUAUAAUGAAAUCAACUGUUCGUCGCUCACAUAUGGUCGCAGCUAGUUCUUCUAGCAGCAAGAAUGACAUUUCCUUAGGUGUCAAUCAAGAAGAGGUACCUGCACCACCUACCGAUGCUGCCUCUUGCAGCACGGUUUCACAGCGCAGAGACGGCGUGCCUUCACAGUGGAAUCAAUUUACUUACAAGUACGAGGCACAAUGGAAGAACGAUGUUUCAAUGUAAGUUUGUUUUGAUUUUAGUUUUUUUUUUAAUUAUAACAUAAUUUAUGAACAACUAAUCAAUAUUUCAUUAAUUUAAUUUAUUUUCAGGUUCACAAACAUUGAGACCGUCCGAGUAAUAUCAUCGGCGUUUAAAUCGUCGAUGGAGAUUCCAUUAUUUCAAUGGAGUUAGGUAUCCAGACAUCCUGAAUGGAUACCUAAUAUCGAUGCAUGGUUUGAUAAAUUUGAGGUUGGUGUUAAUUUCUAAUUUCCAGCUUAUUUUUAAUAAAUUAUUAAUAUAAUUAUAAAUAAAUUAUUAUUUUUAUUUUAAAUAAAUUAUGUAUACGUGGCACAAAUUCGAGUAGGACAGCACACAUGAUAAUAUUGUGAGGAGGGUGUGGGAAAAUCAUGCGGCAACUAAGUAACAUCGAAAACAAUAUGAUAUUUUUUAAAAAAAAAAUAUGUUUUAAAAUCUAAUUUGUUACUAUGGAAGUAGGUUGUGUGAUUUUUGGUAUGAAGCACAAAAAAAGGUAAAAAAAAAAAAAACACGAGAGAUAGAGGUCUCCAAGGCUAGAACGACGUGGCGGUUUGGGGGGAUUUCAAACCGCUACACAUCCCGGAAAAUAUUUGGCCGGAAUAUAUUGAGCACGUGACGUCUGAGCGGUUCACACGACGCUCAAAGUCUGGUGCUGACAACCGGAACAGGCAAAUUCAUGGUUCACUGACAACGCACAUCGACGGCUCCGUAUCGUUUGCUACACAUGCAAAACGGAUAUAAGAUUAAUUUAAAUGAAAUAUAUCGUUAAAUAAUUUGUUGUUACUUAAUUAAUUUUUUUUCUUACAGGCUACGUCUCUUGGACGUGAGCCGAGCCCAAUGGAGCUGUUUGUAGAGACGCACAUGCGGAGUCAAGACCGCCAAAAGGGGGUGCAACAGUUCGUUGACAACCGCGCUCAACACUUUGUGGUAUGUUCGUUCAACCAUUUUAUUUCGUAAGUUAUUAUUUUUAUUGAAUUGAAUAUGAUGAUUUUUUUUUAUUUUCAGGAUACCUAUAAUAGUCGUUGAGGGAGAGAUAUAGGGACGAUCCUUCAAUCCAUCCGGAUUUCAAUCCGGAUUUGUGGAUGGCGGUAGGAUCGUCCGGUGGACUCGAUAAAAAUCAGGUGUAUGGGCUCUCCAACACCACGGCCGAGAACUUGCGAGCGGCCAGUAGUGCCUCAACCGUUGGGAGCUCCCAAUCUAAGGAGUCCGUGGCCUUGCAGCAACACACGAGUCAUCUCACCGAGAAAUACGAGCAACUCUCGACGAAUUAUGAACUUCGCCAAAUUAUCAUGAACAUGACAUCACAGAGUGACUUUAUGGUCUCGGGAAAAACCAGCCUCCUCCUCCUCCUCCUCCUCCAGCCCCGCCAUUCUGCUAAUUUAAUAUUUUUUUGGAAACACAUUCAAUUUGUAAUGAAUAUUAUUUAACUUUAUUUUUUUAUUUUUGAUGUUUAAUAAAAUUUUAUUUGCAUAAUAGUUUUUUUUACUAUUAAUUUACAUAUUUUUAUAUUAUUUAUUCUAAAUAAUUUUUUAAAAAACAAAUUUAAAAAACCCCACCAACAGAAUUCAUCCGUCGGCAUUUUACAGAAAGUUGAAAGAUAUUUACUAAAAAAGGCCACAAUCACUGAUGUCUUCACAGACGGAUAGUGUCCGUUGGCAUUUUACUUAGAAUCAAAAAAUAUUUACUGGAAAUACUAUAUUCACUGAUAUUUUCACAGACAGAUUUAUUUCGUUGGUAAAUACCGAGAGUUCAAACAAUGACUUGCAUUGACGAGUGUAAUAAUCUGGAACCACUCGCAAUAAAUAAAGCCACAAAAGGCAGACGAGAGUGUCUAUAUAUAUACAUAUAGGAACUGCUGAUUCGUGGUGCUUUCUCCUGCAAAUGAAUAGAAGACGAGUGUGUCUAUAUAUAUACAAAUAGGAACUGCUGAUUCGUGGUGCUUUCUCCUGCAAAUGAAUAGAAAGCAUAUCCUUUUAUCCUAUAUAAAGAAUACAAUUAACCUCAUUUCAAUAUCCUUGCUUUACUCUUCAGCUAACUUCUCUCUCCCAUUGCUGAAAUUUCAUAGCUAACUCUUUGUUAUAUAGAGGUAUAUAUGGCUAACUCUUCUUUGCUUCUUUCGUGUUUUAAUUUCAUGUCUUUACCAUUAACAAUAAUGUGAAAGCUUUGUUUGUUUCAUGUUUAACUUCAGUUGCUAUUGUCUUAUGCUCUCUCAUUAUUAAGCUUAAACUGUUGUAUCAUCUUCGAUGAUCUUGACAUGUAUCUCUUACUUGUAUUAGCAAGAGAGUAGAUACCUUCUGCAAUUGCUCCAUUGCUAAUUGACUGUGCCUUGAUUUCUGCAGCUGCCAUGACAGAGCCGGAGUCUUCUCGAUCUAUAUCACUAGGGGCCUAUGAUGUCUUCUUGAGUUUUAGAGGAGAAGACACUCGCAAGACAUUUACAGAUCAUCUCUAUACUGCCUUGGUCCAAGCAGGAAUCCACACUUUUCGAGAUGAUGAUGAACUUCCGAGGGGAGAAGAAAUCUCCGAUCAUCUCCUCAGGGCAGUUCAAGAAUCGAAGAUAUCCAUAGUUGUCUUCUCAAAAGGAUAUGCUUCUUCUAGAUGGUGUCUCAAUGAACUUGUAGAGAUUCUGAAGUGCAAAAAUAGGAAAACCGGUCAGAUUGUUCUUCCUAUAUUCUAUGACAUUGAUCCUUCAGAUGUGAGAAAACAGAAUGGCAGUUUUGCAGAAGCAUUUGUUAAACAUGAAGAGCGUUCUGAAGAGAAGUUGGUGAAGGAGUGGAGAAAAGCUCUUGAGGAGGCUGGAAAUCUAUCUGGACGGAAUCUCAAUGAUAUGGCAAAUGGGUAUGCCUUUUUCCCAAAUUUAUGGAGUCAAUAUACUUUACAUUUUUCAAUGUGAAACAAUAAAAUGCUUAAUUGACUCGCUAUCAAUGACUGCCUUUUGUCUAUGAGCAGGCAUGAAGCAAAAUUUAUCAAAGAGAUUAUCAAGGAUGUGUUGAAUAAAUUAGAUCCCAAGUACUUGUAUGUUCCUGAGCACCUAGUAGGUAUGGAUCGGCUUGCUCACAAUAUUUUUGACUUUCUAAGUACUGCAACCGAUGAUGUACGCAUUGUGGGCAUACAUGGGAUGCCAGGAAUCGGAAAGACAACUAUAGCAAAAGUUGUAUUUAAUCAACUCUGCUAUGGAUUCGAGGGAAGCUGUUUUCUUUCGAAUAUCAAUGAAACACCAAAAAAACUUACAGGUCUUGUUCGUUUACAAACGCAACUUCUUCGUGAUAUUUUAAAACAAGAUGUUGCAAACUUCGAAUGUGUUGAUAGAGGAAAGGUUCUGAUCAACGAACGAAUUCGUCGCAAAAGAGUUCUUUUUGUUGCUGAUGAUGUGGCUCGUCAGGACCAGCUAAAUGCUUUGAUGGGAGAGCGAAGUUGGUUCGGUCCGGGAAGUAGAGUAAUUAUUACAACAAGAGAUUCAAAUCUUCUUCGUAAAGCGGAUCAAACAUAUCAAAUUGAAGAAUUGACACGAGAUCAGUCCCUUCAGCUUUUCAGCUGGCAUGCCUUUAAGCACUCCAAGCCAGCAGAAGAUUAUAUUGAGCUUUCGAAGGAUGUAGUUGAUUACUGUGGAGGACUUCCUUUGGCUCUUGAGGUUAUGGGUGCUUGUCUGUACGGGAAAAACAGAGGUGGUUGGAAAUCUGUAAUUGACAAAUUGAGAAGAAUUCCAAACCACGAUAUUCAAGGAAAGCUUAGAAUAAGUUAUGACUCACUGGACGGUGAAGAACUACGAAAUGCAUUCCUUGAUAUCGCUUGCUUCUUUAUUGAUAGAAAGAAAAGGUACGUCGCAAAAGUGCUAGGAGCCCGUUGCGGUUACAAUCCAGAAGUUGAUUUGGAAACUCUCCGUGGAAGGUCUCUGAUUAAAGUUAAUGCCAUUGGAAAGAUAACCAUGCAUGAUCUAUUACGAGACAUGGGAAGGGAGGUUGUUCGUGAAACGUCUCCAAAAGAACCUGGAAAGAGGACCAGAAUUUGGAACCAAGAGGAUGCAUGGAAUGUACUUGAGCAGCAGAAGGUACGUAAGAGCGCAAUGCAUACAUGAAAGCAUAGUCAUGCGUAUUUUCUAGUCAAACUUAUUACAAAUAAUUGUAUGAAAGUUGGAUUGAUUUUUUUUUAGGGUACGGAUGUUGUAGAGGGUCUUGCACUGGAUGUAAGAGCAUCAGAAGCUAAAUCACUGAGCACAAGAUCAUUUGCAAAAAUGAAACGCUUAAAUUUACUCCAAAUCAAUGGAGCACAUCUCACCGGAUCCUUCAAACUGCUUUCUAAAGAGUUGAUGUGGAUUUGUUGGCUUCAAUGUCCUUUGAAAUAUUUUUCAUCUGAUUUUACCUUGGAUAAUCUGGCUGUUCUUGAUAUGCAAUACAGUAACCUCAAAGAACUAUGGAAGGGACAAAAGGUGUGAAACAUUCUACAAUCCCCAAAAUUUCUCCAGUAUGUAAUUUAUAUUUACAUGUUAUGACUUUCUAUGAUUAAUUUUCAUUAUUUUGCCCUCUAUUAAGACAGAUUCUCAACAGGUUAAAAAUCCUCAAUCUCAAUCAUUCUAAGAACCUUAUUAAAACACCAAACUUGCACAGUUCAAGUCUAGAGAAACUAAAGUUGAAAGGUUGCUCGAGUUUAGUUGAGGUGCAUCAAUCAAUUGAAAAUUUGACAAGCCUUGUUUUCUUGAAUCUGGAGGGAUGUUGGAAUCUGAAGAUUCUUCCUGAAAGCAUUGGCAAUGUAAAGUCUCUUGAAACUUUGAAUAUUUCUGGGUGUUCACAACUUGAGAAAUUGCCAGAAUGCAUGGGUGAUAUGGAAUCCUUAACCGAGCUGCUAGCAGAUGGGAUUGAAAAUGAGCAAUUUCUCACUUCAAUUGGACAAUUAAAGCAUGUCAGAAGGUUAUCGUUGUGUGGAUACAGUUCGGCUCCACCAAGUUCUUCUUUGAAUUCAGCAGGUGUUUUGAAUUGGAAACAGUGGCUGCCAACAUCUUUUGGAUGGAGAUUAGUGAAUCAUCUUGAGCUUUCUAAUGGUGGUUUGUCUGAUCGCACAACUAACUGUGUUGAUUUCAGUGGUUUGUCCGCUCUAGAAGUAUUGGAUCUAACAAGAAACAAAUUCUCUAGCCUGCCUUCUGGGAUCGGCUUCCUUCCCAAGCUAAGGCGGUUGUUUGUUCUGGCAUGCGAAUAUCUUGUAUCAAUCCUAGAUCUUCCCUCAAGUUUAGAUUGUUUGGUUGCAUCUCAUUGCAAAUCAUUGAAAAGAGUAAGAAUACCAAUCGAGCAAAAAAAAGAUCUAUAUAUAGAACUACAUGAAAGUCAUUCGUUAGAAGAGAUUCAGGGCAUCGAAGGUCGAAGUAAUAGUUUCUGGUAUAUUUGUUCUAAUCAGUUCAGUCAUUCACCAAAGAAAUUACAGAAAAGCGUUGUUGAGGUACUAUUUCUUUCAGUCUCUUUUGCACACGAAGAAACACACAAUUGGUACAUACAUUGAUUAAUGUCUAAAAUCUCAGCAUUUCUUGAAAUCAAUAUGUAUACAGGCAAUAAUCAUCAUUAUUAUUAUUUUAUUUUAAAAAAUAAAUAUGUUUAAUAAUAUUUUUUAUUUUUCUUAUUUAAUCUAAAAAAUUAAAUAUUAUCUUUAAUAAUAUGUUUUUAUUAAAUAUUUAAAGUCUGAUUGGUUUUAUUUUUUAAUUAUUUCUUGAUUUUAUGAUAAUAUACAGGUAAUGUGCAACGGUCGUCACCCGUAUCGUAUUUCCCCCAUUCGUGGUGAGAUGCCAAAUUGGAUGAGCUGCAGUGGAGAAGGAUGUUCAUUGUCAUUCCAUAUACCUUCAGUCUUCCAAGGCUUAGUUGUUUGGUUUAUCUGUCCACUUGAACCCGUGACAAUUGAAUUCGAUUCUCGCAUUAUUAUUAUUAUAAGAAAUAAAAGCAAUGGUAUUCAAUUGUUUGAAGAUAAACGAACACCAGGAACUGACAUGUUUUUUAUUGAGGGAUUCAUAAGAUACAUAAGUAUAAGUGAAAUGGGAAUGGAAGAUUACUGUGGAGAUGACGAAUUGGAACUCUGCAUUUAUUCAGAGCCAACAGAGCAUGCGGUGCGCCGUCUUCCAUUCUACCCCGUACACAUUAAAGAAUGUGGGGCCCAUGUGAUCGCAAAGAAGUUAAAUUCAUUUGAAGAGUCGGCAAUGGGAAGAGCUACAGUGAUGCCUUCACCAUCGCUGUAUCAUCUGCUUCCUCAUCCCCAUUGUGGUUCAAUUACAGCAUCUACACCUAAGCAAUGGAGUAAUUAUUUAUUUGCGAAGCUGCAAGAAUAUAACCUCAGUUUAACAUUUCAUGGUAAGAACAAAUAUUUCCUUUAGUUAUUUUUAUUCUAUUAUAUUUAAUUUAUGAGAUUAAAUAUUAUCUUUAAUUAUUUCAUUAUUAUUAUUUAAUCUAAAACAUUAAAUAUCAUCUUUAAUUAAAAAAUAUAUAUAUAUUUAAGGCUUUUUGGUAAGAAUACAUAUUUCCUUUAGUUAUUUCUAUUUAAUUUAAGAGAUUAAAUAUCAUCUUUAAUUGUUACAAUAUUUUUCUUAUUUAAUCUAAAAUUUUAAAUAUUUUCUUUAACAAUAUUUUUUAUUAAAUAUUUAGAGUCUACUUGGUUUUAUUUUUUUUCUUGAUUUUAUGAUAAUAUUUUUCUUAUUUAGUAUAAAAAAUAAAUAUUAUCUUUAAUAAUUAGAUCUAUCGAAUAUCACUUAAAAAAUAAAUUAUAACUUUAAUAAUUAUUUUUUGAAAAACAAAAAGCCAACAAUCACUAACAUAUUUUAUUAAAAUCACUUUAGUUUAUUUAGAAAAUAUUGAAAAUUGAUUAUUUUUUUUACAUUAAAAUAAAAAAAUUAAAAAAUGUUUUUAUAUUUUAUUUCAAAGUCGAUAUUUUAAAACAAAAAUGAAAAAGAUGUGAUAUUAACCUUUUUUAUUAUAAAGUAAGUUUUUUAAUUAAAAGUGAUGAGAAUUUGUUCGUAAUAACAAAAUGCAUGUUUAAUUUUCUUUUCAAACUUGGAAUAUAUUUCUAUUGAAUUUGAUGGUUUUUUUAUCUUAAAACACUUGCCAGCAAUCUUGUUUUUUCAAUGCUGCCAUUUAGCAAGUGGAGUACUGUAGCUUUUCCACAUACAUUGAAUAAUAACAGUUUGAAUAAAUAACAAGAAAAUAGAAAUUAGUUUUAUUAAUUUGAACGGUACAUCAUUCAUCGAAUAAAUUACAAAAAAGUAUUAUUGAGAUACUAUUUUUUUCAGUUUCUAUUGCACCAAAAUAAACACAUAUAUUUGUCACAUAUAUUAAUUAAUAUCAAAAAUCUCUGUAUUCCUUGAAAUCAAUAUGUAUACAAGUAAUAAUCAUUAUUAUUUUAUUUUAUUUUAAAAAAUAAAUAUCAUAUUAAAUAAUAUUUUUUAUUUUUCUUAUUUAAUUUAAAAAAUUAAAUAUUAUCUUUAAUAAUAUUUUUUAUUAAAUAUUUAAAGUCUGAUUGGUUUUAUUCUUUAUUUCUUGAUUUUAUGAUAAUAUAUUUAUACAGGCAAUGUGCAACGGUCGUCACCCGUAACGUAUUGCUUCAUUUCGUGGUGAGAUGCCAAAUUGGAUGAGCUACGGUGGAGAAGGAUGCUCCUUGUCAUUCCAUAUACCUCCAGUCUUCCAAGGCUUAGUUGUUUGGUUUGUCUAUCCACUUGAGAAGGAUUGUCAUAACCUAUUUUUAGGUUAUUUUUCAAUAUAUAUAUUUUUUUUUCUUCAAAAAAAUUACAAAAAAAAUCUAAAAAUAUUAUAAAAAAUAUAACAGUAAAAAGAGGAUGUCAGAACGCUCAGAAAAUAGUUAAAAUUUGGUUGAGGAGGUUUAAAAAUAUAAAAAUUAAAAUUUGGUAGUAUUUUAUUAACUGAUGAUAGCCCUGUUGACAAAGAAAAUUCAAUUUGAGAAAAAAAAAGUCUAAAAUCAGAUGUUGAGGGACUCAAUUAAAUUAUAUUGAAAGUUUAAUUGAAUUUAUGGAGGGUUUGAUUGUAAGAAAAAUUGAUUUUGGAGUUAAUUUGGGCUUUAAUUGGAAGAAAUUAAAGUUCUGGGGUCAGAUUAUAUUUUUUUUUAGAGUUGAUUUGGUCAAAUUGGGGGCUUAAUUGCAUAAAUAUUAAAGUUUGAUGGCCAAUCGGGGACUUAAUUGAAGAAAUCUGAGACCAAGGACCAAAAUGCAAAACGCGCGCAAAUUGAAGGAUUGAAUUGAAAUCUAGCGCUUUGGCUCCAAUUUUCAUUUAAAUGAAACAGUGCGUUUUAAGCAAAACGACGUCGUUUCAUGCACUUUCCAAAAAAAAAAAAGAGGACGAAACGGUGCCGUUUUGAGGCGGCACUGUUUCUUCUUCUUCUUCCCCUGGACAUGCAGCAGGGGAAGAGGCGUUUUUGUUUUCUUCUCUUUGUUUCUUCCUCUCCCUCCCCAUGUGCUCUGUUACAACCAAAACCGGUCGCCACUUGCCUCAUGAUGAGAUGCCAAAGCAGUCGUGCCCCGCAAGCGACGCCUCCAUUGGCCACCUCUGUCGGCGCCGUGACAGAGCAGGAGACGUGCGACGCAUGCAUGGGCAACGAUGGGACGGGGCAGGGUCGACCCCGCUCCCCUUGCCCCUAUAAAUAGUGACCCGAAAGGAGAAAAAAAGGAACACGGGAGAAAACAGGGAGGGAAACCGAGAGAGAGAAAUCGAUAGUGUUGAGAGAGAAAUGACUGAAACAGUAGAAACCAAAAAAACCGGGGAUAUCGAUAGGGAGACCGAGAGAGACAGACGGGGAGAAGGAAGAAAAAGGACAAAAGAGGUAAACCGAUGGGGAAGAAGACACUGACUGGUGUCUCUACACAGCGGAGAAGAAGCGCCGCUGCUGGCAUUGGGCUUCACAGUCACCGCCACCGCAACACCACCGAGAACGUUCACCAGCAUCACCGUCAGCUCAGCCAUCCGAGAUCACCACCUCAGGUAAAUUCUCUUCCCCUCACGCCGAUAAUUAUUCAUCUUCUUGCUUGUAGAACGUGCACUGUGCACGUUCUGCAUGCAAGAAGAAAUAAUUAGUCGGUUACCGUGCAUGCGCACAGUAACCGGCUAAUUAAUUAACUAGUUACUGUGCUCAUGCAUAGUAACUAGUCAUUGGUUUCUUCUUCUGCGAGUUGGAACAUCAGCCCAGCCCACGCGACUGGGCUGAGUCCAACCCCCUUUUUUUUAUGCGGGCUGGAACAUCAGCCCAGCCCACGCGGCUGGGCUGAGUCCAGCCCUGUUAACUGCGGCCUGGAACAUCAACCCAGCCCAUGCAGCUGGGCUGAGUCCAGCCUUGUUGCUGGGCCAAUACAGGCCCAACCCAGUUCAUUUCAUUUUUUCUUUUUUCCUUUUUGUUUUGUGUUUUAUAUAUAUAUAUUGUGAUUUUCCCACGGAUUUUUCUACGUCAUUUUAACUAAUAUUGGUCUAUAUUUUUUACUCGGUUUUCAAAAAAAAAAACUUUUGCUUUCAUGCAUACGGCCAAGUCUCUCAAAGCUAAAAAAUCAUAUUGUAUUUUUAUACAACAAAGAAAACUAAAAAAAUAUAUAUUAUUUUAGCAUGCAUUUUAGCUUUAAUAACCAGUUUAUUAAAGUCAUGAUAACUUGGCCAAUAUUUCAAAAAAUCAAAAAAAAUAUUUUGUUUUGUUUUAAUGUCUGGGAUUACGAAUUUAUACGUAAAACGUAUUCCCGAUAUUAAAAAGGUAGUUCUUUUAUAGACAUUAGGCCGGUUAGAUUUUUACCCCAUAAGAUAAGAACCUCCUUACUGAGGAGGGCUUUUCUUGAACCCUAGACAGACCAACAUGAUAAGACCUUAGAUUUUUUAUUAGACAAUAAAACAAUGCAGCUUACCUUAGGUAGGGUGUAUUUGAGGUGCUAAUACCUUCCCUUUGCGCAACCAGUCUCCGUACCCGAUCUCUAAGACCAGUUAGGGUUCCUAGUGAUCAGAAUACUAGGUGGCGACUCUCAUUCCAUUUUUUCACCGCUAAGAGACAAAGAAUUCCUUGUUUUACCAUAUUUUCCAGAAUAGAUAGACAUACCACAUUUGAUGAUGAGGGUGGUGGAUGAUCGCCGCACACGUGCGAUAGAAUGGUGACUCCACUGGGGACCCAUCAAAUCAAUCAACAGAAAAAAAAAUCACCAAGCCGAUGCCGCGCGGGUGACAUGCGACAAGGAUGAUCAUUAUUACUCACGGUCUGGCACUAUUAUUAUUAUUAUUAUUAUUAUUAUUAUUAUAAGAAAUAAAAGCAAUGGUAUUCAAUUGAUUAAAGAUAAACGAAUAGUAGGACCUUUCCUACCAAAAACUGCGGGAUGGAUAAGAUACAUAAGUAGAAGUGAAAUGGAAAAUGGAAGAUUACUGUGGAGAUGACGAAUUGGAACUAUACGUAUAUUCAGAGCCAAGAGGAGAUACAGUGCGCAUCAUUAAAAAAUGUGGGGUUCAUGUGAUCGCAGGGAAGUUAGAUUCAUUUGAAGAGUCGGAAGUGGAAAGAGAUAUAAUGAUGCCUUCACCACCGUUGUAUCAUCUGCUUCCUCAUCUCCAUUGUGGUUCAAUUACAGCGUCUACACCUAAGCAAUGGAGUGACUAUUUAUUUGCGAAGCUGAGUAAAUAUAACCUCAGUUGAACGCUUCAUGGUAAGAACAAAUAUUUCAUUUAGUUAUUUCUAUUUUAUUCUAUUUAAUUUAAGAGAUUAAAUAUUACCUUUAAUUAUUUCAUUAUUAUUAUUUAAUCUAAGAAAUUAAAUAUCAUCUUUAAUAAAAAAAAUUAUUAAAUAUUUAAGGCUUUUUGCUAAGAAUACAUGUUUCCUUCAGUUAUUUCUAUUUUAUUCUAUUUAAUUUAAGAUAUUAAAUAUAAUCUUUAAUUAUUUUAUUUUUCUUAUUUAAUUAAUCUAAAAAAUUAAAUAUGUUCUUUAAUAAUAUUUUUUAAAAAAUAUUUAGAGUCUGAUUGGUUUUAUUUUUUAUUUCUUGAUUUUAUAAUAAUAUUUUUCUUAUUUAAUUUAAAAAAUAAAUAUUAUCUUUAAUAAUUAGAUCUAUCAAAUAUCACGUAAUUAAUUAUAUCAUUAUUUUAUUGGUAGCAACUUAGGAGUCUUUUAAGCCAAAAGAAUAAUAGCUAGGAAGAGCUAAAAUUAGCAAGGAAUAUUUAGAGUCUGUUUGAUUUUAUUGUUUUUCUUUGAUUUCUUAAUAAAAAAAAUCAAAUUCUUGAAAACAAAAAUUGAAAACUUAUACGUUUUGAUUUUGAUUUUAUUUUUGAAAAUGAAAAGCCACCAAUCAAUAGCAUAAUCUAUUAAAAUCACUUUGUUUUAUUUAGAAAAUAUUGAAAACUGAUUUUUUUUACAUUAAAAUAAAAAAUUGAACAAUAUUUUUAUAUUUUAUUUCAAAUUUGAUAUUUUAAAACAAAAAUGAAAACGAUGUGAUAUUAACCUUUUUUUUAUUAUAAAGUAAGUUUCUUAAUUAAAAGUGAAGGUGAUUUGUUUGUAAUAACAAAAUGCAUAUACAAUCAUGCAAAAGUUGUAUUUAAUCAACUCUGCUAUUGAAUUUAAUGGUUUUUUAGGGAACAAAUGAUAUGGAUGAAUGUGAGAGCACAAGAUCAUUUUACAAAGAGAUUGAUUGGUACUUAAAAAUAUAUUUUUAUUAAGGUUUUAUAUCAUCAUAUUGCAUUUAAAGUAUAAUUAAAUUCUCUAAUUUAAGCAUAUUUUAUAAUAACAAGUCUGAUAACAUAAAAUAUAUUUAAUUUAUGGUAAAUGCUCAUUUUGAAUGCAGGCAUAUCUCACAAUUUAAAGGAUUGAUUGAUGUGUUUAACUAUUAAAAGUGAAAAGACAAAAAGAAGGCUAAGCUUAAAGAAGAAAUGUUGGUUCAAUUCAAACUGGAAUAUCAUUAUGUUAUUGAAUCAUAACUAUAGCUAUAGAACAUGGAUUUAGGUUUGGUUUAUAUGGAUGGAAAGCUAAGACAUAGGCCUAAAACUUUCAUGAAGAGUUCAAGAUUCAAAACGGCCCUUUUCAAGUUCAAAUUAUAGCAACAAAAGAGAAGUCGAAAUAUGACUUGUAACCUAGACACUGUUCAGUGUUCAGCCCAUAUCUCGAGUUCUAGAAGUUCAAAUAAUCUCAUUCUUGUUUUGUUGGAAAACUGAGACAAAUGCCCAGAAGUUUCAUGAAGACUAUCUGUUCAAAUUUUGAUGUUAGCAUGUUGUGUUCAGACAAGAAGAUAAUGGUUGUCACCAAGUCAAUAGGUGGCCACCCACUUAAUAAUUAGUCAUUAAAUCAAUAGUUCUGAAUUUUGGACUCUAAAAGAAGGCAUUUGCCAUACAUUUAGACAUCUUGGUGUUCAGAUCAAGAUCUUGCUCUCACUCUCUCUAUUUGUAUUUUGUAAUGUUCAAGUUUUAUUUUAUGUUAUAUUAAUCUCUUAUUUAUGCUUUUCAUUUCUUUUACUAUACUUAGUUAACUUAUAUCAUGUUUAUGUUAUUAUGUUGUUUAUUUAUGUUUUUCUUCUUCAUGAUGUUUAUCUAAGUUAAUUUUGUCAAGGUGAAAAGGGUACACUAAUGGUGUAAGAAUAAGUAUAAUACAAACUCCACAUAGACUUUAAUGUUUAAUACUAACAUGUUUUGUAUUUGUUAUCUUACUCACUCUUUAUACCUUACUUGUUAAAUGGUUAAUCUAAAUUUAUGUUGUACAACCCUUGGCAUAACAAAUACUUGACACUUUCAUAACCUACUGUAUGGUAUAAUCAACACUUGUGCUAUGAAAGGAACUUGAUUUAUUGUUAACAUAAAUUAUCAUCAUGAAUACCUGACCACAUUUACAAGUAUUGGCAUUACUCAAAUAAGAUAAUUAAUAUAAUCAUGUAUGUGGUUUCUAGUUGAGUAAUAAAAAGAGUUUAUACUAUACUUAUUUGAAAUACCUCUAACUUUAACAAUUGUUUUAUCCUUGUUUAAUCCUUACAUCAAUAUCACAUUUCAAAAGUUCUCUUCAACUCCUUUUUAAUUGUUGUUUAUAAUUUUAUAUAAUUCAUCUCCCUGUGUUUCAACCCCGGUCUUGCCGGGUUAUUUAUUACUUUGACACUCCUGCACUUGAUAUAAGACAUCAAUCUCUUGAUCGUGUUAGAGAUGCUUGAAGUUACUCUUUAUUGGUAUGGUAGUUGUUUCUAACGAGUUGAUAAGUAUUUGUUAGCUUGAAGAUUAUUUUCCAAACUUGGAAGUUAUAUUGAAUGCUUUUUGAAAUCUUUUCCAUCCGAUUUGAAAUUGGACAACCUAAUUGUUAUUAUCCAUUAUGUAAUUUAUAUUUUCAAGUUUCAACUUUUGAUGAAUAUUGUAUUGAAUGCUCUUUGAAAUCUUUUCCAUCCGAUUUGAAAUUGAAAAACCUAGUUGUUAUUAUCCAUGACGUAAUUUAUAUUUUCAAGUUACAACUUUUGAUGAAUAUUGUUUCCUUUUUUUCUCACUUCUUGGAAGUAUUCUCAAAAAGAUGAAAAUCCUCGAUCUUAGUUAUAAAUAAAUUGGUUUUCUAGGAAGAGAUUAUUAGGUGGGAUAUAUUAUUUGAGUUGGUUCUUCAUCAUUUAAUGUUAUGAUUUAAGAUAAUUGAUGAAAACUACCAAUACACAAGAAUGUUUAGAAAGCAUCUUUAAUUGGUCUAAUAAGUAAAGUCUUGUUAGUUUUGGCCAUAAGCUAUGUAUUAUUGCUUGUUUUUUACUAUUUUUUUACCUUUUUUGUUUUUUGUAUAUACAACUUUUGUUUUUCUUGCGAGUUUCUCAUUAGCUUUAUGGCACUAACAUCAAUUAAUAAUAAAUCUUGGACUAUUAUUAAAUAAAAAAAAACAUAAACAUUGUUAAAACACCAAACUUGCAUAGUUCAAACCUAGAGAAACCCUAUGCCAAUAAUCUAAUUUAAAAAAAUAAUUAAUUUAUCCUUGUAGUCUUAGAAAAUAGUAUUUAAUCCUUAUGUUUUUACAUUUAUCUUUGAUUUAACCUUUUACAUCUAUUUCAUCUUAUUAUUUUGGUUUACUAAGUAAAGUCUUAGAAACCUAUUUAUGGUCUUAAACAACUUAAAAAGGCUCAAAAACCUAAAAUGAACUCAAACCUGAAAAUCUUCAUGCUGAGAGGUCUGUUUCAUCAAGCAAGGAAAAAGAAAAAAAAAACAUAGGUGAAACUUCCCUCAUCAAAUAAAAUCCAAUGACACUAGGAUUGACUAUUUUGGUGGCUAGAAUAGAAGUCAACGAUAACAUUUUCUUUCCACGUCGGAAUCUAGCAAGUUUCUCUCUUCUCUCACAAAAAAAAACUAAAAAAUAAGGAAAAUAAAGUUUGGUAUUAAAAUCAAAUUUCCGACAACUAAAGAGACCAAUCACCUAUUAACUAAAAACAAUUGGGGACCGAACUAAGUUUUUCAUAUGAAAUAUGAAGUUGACAUCUAUUUUCUCCAUGUUUUUUACUUUGGUUAUCUAUCUUUCAAUCCAACCCUUUCUUCAUAAAAAUAGAAGUAACUUUGUAUUAAUUUGGACUAAAAAAGGUACAAUAGUGCAAAAACAAAUUGAGGAUCAAAUUGAGAAUUAAAAAAUAAUUGAUUAUUUUAAUCUAUAAUGAUAUGUGAGAGAGUGCACAUUAUAAAGUGAAGAGAAAAAACUCCACAUGACUUUGAAACACCUUUGAUGGUUGAUUGAAAUUGGUAAGUGAGUUUCCUCACAUGUUGUUUUUUCGGUUUUGAGUCCAAAUAUGGAGAUUUUAUGAUUUAAGGUAUUUUUCAUGAAUGCAACCCUUCAUGUAUUCAAUAACUUAUUUUCUAGUAUAAACUACGUUUGAAAUAAAAUUGAUAAAAGACAUGUGGUACACAAUUAAUGAUGGCAUGUAUAUAAAAAUAAUUAAAUUGAAAAUUUUCAAUUAUCUUUAAAGAUAUCAUGGUUUUAGUCGGUUAAAUUAUAAAAAAAAUAUUUAAUUUUUUGAUAUAAAUAAUAAUAACAAAUUAGAUAAUAGUAACAAGAAAAUAGGAAUUAGUUUGAAUAAAUGGUACCAGUUCCUAUUAUGAUAUAUCUAGAGAAGAAGUUUGAAGAAUAAAAUGAAGUGAAAUAUUCUUAAUAAAAAAAGAAAAACACAAAAAGAAAUAAAAAAAUAUUCUUAAUAAAUAUAAAAGAUGGGUGAAAUUAGAGAACAAGAAAGAGAUAUAGAAUCUCUUUGUAAGAUUUCUAAAAACUUAAUUACAAUUAUAUUAUAAUUUCUUCCCUAAAAUUAUUUAAAAUAUAGUAUUAGAAUUACAUAAUGCUAGGUUUUAAUAUAUAAUUAAAGAGUUUCUCCUUAACCAAAUAUAAAAAUAUUUUAUAAUUCUUUUGAAUGAAUUAUUAACGGAGGGACUGUUUUGGGUCCCUAUUUAGCUGAUUUUAUUUGAAUAUAUUAUUUGACUAGUCCAUUUAUAGGUUUACUCUACUAUUCUUGCCUUACUGGAACCGGAAAAUUCACUCGAAAUUUCUAGUAGUUUACACAGAAAUUUCCUGUGCUAAACUUCAAAGAAUUUCUUUUCUUUUCAUUUUGUAUUUUCUCAUUUUCUUGGCAUGCGCGCAGCUGCAUCAAGGAAAAAACGUUUCAGAUGCGUGUAAUAAAUCCAAUCGAUGAAUGAGAAAGGGACGCAAAAUAAAGAUAAAAGUGGAAUAUUCUCAUUAAUUGGUCAUCAUUUAAACGUUGGACACAGCCAUCUAUAUGUUGUUUAAAGAAUUUAAAUGGUUAGUCAGAAAGGAUUGCUUUUUAAUUAAAAAUAUAUUAAAAUAAUAUUUUUAAUGCCAAGUAUUUGUUCAACCUCAUUAAUGCUAACGAGUGGACCCAGUUGUUGUGGAAACUUUGCUAGGGAUCUGGAGUGUCAUAAUCCAAAAUUAUUCCUUAAAAUUUAUAUUUUUUCAAAAUAAAAAUCAAAAAAAUAAAAUAAAGGCUGGCAACGUGGAGAAAGCAGGCCGGAAAAUCAAGCUGUAAUUUUUGGAGGAAAUUCAAGGCGUAAUUGUACCCCACUAUGCCCCAAAAUAGAGAGAAAAUAUAAAUUCAAGGUCAAAUUAAAUGAUUAUUUGACAAAUUUGCAUAAACAUUAAGUCCGAUGACAUAAUUAAAUUUUUAAUAGGCCAAUUUGAUUUAAUCACGGGCCAAAUUAAAUUUUAAUUAUGUUUAAGAAUUAAUUUGCGUCCAAUUGAAGGAUUUAAUUAAGUGCAAGGACUUAAUUAUACUUUAAAUGGGUCAAAUUAAUUUUAUUUUGGGCUUAAUUGGUGAAAACUUAAGUUUGGGAGCUUAAUUGAGAAGAUUGGAAUUUUAAGAGACCAAAUUUAAUUCUUACCAAGUUAAUUGAUUGAAAUUAGGGGCCCAAUUGCAAGAACAUUGAAGUUUUGGGGUCAAUUGGGGGUUAAAUUGAAGAAAUUGACAGCUAAGGACCACUCUGCAAAAGGCGAAAACAUUUGGGGACUUAAUUGACAACCACCGGGGCAAAAUUGAAGAAAUUGAAAGUAUAAUGGUCAAUUAGAGGUUAAUUUGACAAAAUUCGAGACCAAGGACCAUAUUGCAAUAGGCGCGUAACUUUGGGGUUUCAAUUGAAGUUUAUCAGGGGCUUAAUUGCAUUAAAUCCAAAGUUAAGGGUUAAUUAGGGGUUCAAUUGAAACCAAUUGAAAGAUGGAGGACUAAGAUGAAAAUAUGUUAAAAUCCCUAAUUCAACUCAAAAUGGCGCCGUUUUAUAUUAAAAAAGAGAGAGAGAGAGGGGACCAGACGACGCGUUGUCGGGUCACUGUUCAUUGUCUUCUUCUUUUACCCGAAAGAAACUGCUUGGGAGCCUUAUUUGCAGGUGCAUUUAAUGCUUGAUUUCUCCAUAAAAUUGAACAAAACUUGCACGAAAAGGAUCCCCUGCAAUUCCUCUACAAACCCAUGUGAACUUUUCAGGAUUAAUGACAGCACAGCUACGCCGGAGAUGGCGUGAAGAGGUCAACUCAGGCAGCCUUUUCCUGCAGAUUUGACAACUCAGGGAGGCUACUUUGAGCCAACAGUUGGGAUCCUUCCCAACAGAAUCAAGAGCUAAAAUUUUACCCCAGUGCAAAAGAGAUUACCCUCUUCGACCGCCUAUAAAUAGAGGCUGAUUUGAUGGCCUGAGGGAGGAAAAAAAAUCGGGUCCAAAAUUUGAAAAAAACAAGCUCCCACUGCCCCCGUUUCUGCAAUUUCUCUCUCUCUCUCCGUCGCUUCAACCACCACCAACCUCAUCACCAGCUUCUCCACCACCAGCUCCAUCACAGUAAGCCACCAACCGACCACCGAGAGCCACCGUGAACCUUUCUCUCUCCUCUGCAAACCGGUUUCUUCUUUCUCCCACAGCGACUCCACCGGCCAAAACUCUCCACCAACGCCGCCAUCAGCCUCUUUUCUUCCACGACCAGACCACCGCCAACUUCACGCCAGGCCAGAGACAGCAGCUUCUUCUCCUCCGCAAGGUCGCCUCCCACUUCACUCCGCCGUCUGCGCAAAGUUGCAUGCAGAACAUGAACUUACUGUUCACGUUCUACAAUUAAUUCAUCCCUCACUUGGGCCGGGCCAUAAAUGUUUGGCUGGGUCUGGCCCGGCCUCAAAAGAAAAGGAGAAAGAAAAUAUGUUGGGCCGAUAUCGGCCCAACCUUUUUGGACCGAGAUCGGCCCAACUGUUUCUGGGUUUCUGCUUGGUCCAGUUACUUGGGCCAUCCCGGCCCACCUGUUUUAAUAAUAUUUAAUUAAUAUAUUAUAUUAUAUUAUAUAUUUCCUUUUAAAAAAAACAAAAAAAUCCAAAAAAAAUUUCAAAAAUCAUUUUUAAAAAAUUACGAUUUUCUCAAAUAUUUUUCUACCACUUUUGUAUAAUAUCGGGUUGUAUAUUUACACUGUAAAAUACAAACCUGGUAUUAAAAUACCCGGUUUUCUCCUAAAUAUUUCAAAAACAAAAUUCAAAACAUUUUCAAAGAGAAAAAAAAUAUUUUGUUGCAUACGGCCAAAUCUUAAAAUUUUUCCAAGCAUAUUUUUCAAUAAAAAAACAAAAAUUGCAUCUUUCUCCAGUUUUGAAAAUAAAAAAAAUGGAUAUCAUAACCAGUUUGUGAAUAUCCAUUAGAAUUUGGCCAACAUGUCAAAACCUUUUUCCAAUCUUUUUAGGGUUCAGAUGCAGACUUUAGUAUUUGUGGAGUGUAAAAUUACACGAUAAAGUACACCCUCAGGUAUUAAAGAUACAAGGUGUAAAUAAAUGCGAUGCUAAAAUUCAGACUUUAGAAUGGUUAGGAUUUAACCUGAUAAAGUAAAGACUUUCUCAUGAAGAGAGAUCUGCCUUAAACCUUAAAAAAGACCAACGAAUAGAAACCCGAUUUAGAAAAAAACAAUCAAACAACAAUGUAGCUUACCUUAGGUAGGGUGCACUGGGGGUGAUGCGUCUUCCCCUUGCACAACCAGUCUCUUACCCAGACUCUCGCAGACCAUAGGUUUCUAGUGAUCAUAAUACUAGGUGGCGACUCCUAAACAUUAAUCAUAAUUUUAUAAUUAAAUCCAAAAAACCUUCCCAACACACAACACCUCACACAGGAGGCACGACAAGAAGCCUUUGCCGUCGCCAGACGACGUCGCGCCCCUUGCGACAUGGAGGAAGAAAAAUGAUUGCAUUGCUAAUAAUUUGCAAGAGAGAAUUCUUUUUCUGAAUAGAAAAAACUAUUAUUUUUAAAAUAAAAACAACUAAAUAGAAAAAUUAUUAUUUUUUAAAUAGAAAAACUAGAAAAGCCUUGUAAUAUUGAAUAAAAAAUAAAAUAGAAAAAUUAUUCUUUUAAAGUAGAAAAAAUUAUGACAAUUUAAUAAUACUGAAUAGAAAUAAAUCAAAUUUUUAAACUAAAUAAAAAUAAUAGAGAAAAAUAUUUAUUAUCCUAAACUUUUUUAUAUUAAAAUCUUAAUUUAUAACAUGAACUGAGUCUACAUGCUAAAAUUAGAAGAACAAAAAAAAAAUGUAACAAAAAAAUUCCAUACAACACAAUUAAUGAUGGGAUCAUAUAUUUUGAGACUAAAAUGAGGUUUUCGAAUUACCUUUAAACAUAACAUAACAUGAUUUUAAUAGAUGUACUGUACAUCAUUUGAAUUUAUUAGAAAAAACAUAUAAUGUAAAGUAUGAACCACUUACCAUUAACUAGAUUUUUCAAUUGGAUUUUUUAUUUAAAUGAAAAGGAAAAUUUAUUUUAUUAUGAAAAAUAUUUUUUAUAUAUAUCUAGUAAUAAUAAAUUAAAGGAUAAUAACAAGAAAAUAACAAUUAGAUCGAAUAAAUGGUACCAAUUUCUAUUCUGAUAUAUCUAGCCAAAGAAUAGAAUGAAUCAAAAUAUUCUUAAUAAAAAAAAUAGAAAACACAGAAAGAAAUAAAAAAAUGUUCUUAAUUAAUAUAAAACUAUUAAUUUACAAAAGAAAUUUUCUGGUACUUUAUACUGUAUAUAAUUUGAAAAAUUGUGACUGACCGACUUACUUGCAAAGUAUUUGCAAGAAAGUUAAAGAAUUAGAGUUUUUUAAUAUUCAAAAUUAUAAUUUUAAAUUCUACGAAAAAAAUCAAUUAUUUUUAAAACUGUUUUCAAAAAUAAAACAUCAACUAUUUAUAUAAUAGCUAAAUAAAACAAUUAAAAUAAAUAAAAAAAUAACUAGUAAAAUCAAGUGAAUAAUCCAAAAAUAACAAGAAAAUAGAGAUAUUUCCUAAAUAUGAUUUCAGUUUGUUGUAUUGAUCAAUUUGCUAACAUAAAUAGCAUAAACGAACUUUAUUCUAAUAGUAUGUUUGAUAUUUAAAAAAAAAAAAAACUUAUAGAUAUUAUAUGGGUUGGCAACCCAUUUUUUAUUAAAUUUUAAAUUUUAUUUGUUUAAAAAUAUUUGUUUAUGUUUUUUAAUUAUUUUAAUAUGAUAAUAUCAAAAAUAAAUAAAUAAAAUUUUUCUAAGUUUUACUACUUCUGACUUGCUUUGACUCGAAAUUAGUGGUGCUUUCUCCUGCGAAUGAAUAGAAAGCAUAUCAUAAAGGUGUGUUUGACAUUGUGUUUUGGAAGUAUUUUUUAAAAAAAUAAAUUUUUUUAUUUUUUUUCUUCAAAUUAUUUUUUUUGUUGAUGUUUUCAUAUUAUUUUGAUAUGCUGAUGUCACAAAUAAUUUUUAAAAAAUAAAAAAAUAUAUUAUUUUGAUGUGUUUUGAAAUGAAAAAACUUUAAAAAGCAACCGCUACCACACUCUCAAACUCCUUUGUUUAUUGAGUCUUACUGUGAAACCUCGUUUUGGGAUGAAUUGAUUGUAAGAAUAAGAAAUUAUGUGCAAAUUAUACAAAAUUUAUUAUUCAUCAUCAAGAUUUAUUAUUUAUUAUCACUAUUGAAUAAUGAUUUAUUUUAUAAUAUAAAUUAUGUUUAAAAUAAAAUUGAUAAAAUUAAAAUACAUGAAACGAGGUCGUAUAUUUUGAAACUAAAUUAAAAUUAUUUUCUUUUUCAAUGAUAUCAUUUGUUAGUUUGCAAGUCCACAUGUCACGAGUCUCCACUGCAUGAAAUUUGCAAAAUCAUAUGGCCCAUUGAUAGAAGGUGUGUUGAAGCAAAAUCUGUUUUAUUGAUUAUCAAUAUUGAAUAAUAGCUUAUUUUCUAGUAGAAACUAUGUUUGAAAUAAAAUUGAUAAAAGACAUGAUAUACAAUUAAUAAUAGGAUCGUAUAUAAAAAUAGGAAAUUUCCUGGUAAUAAAGUCCCAACUUUCGUAGGCGAGCACUAAAGUCCCAAACUUCAAGAAUUUCUCUUCUUUUCCUUUUGUAUCUUCUCAUUUUCUUGGCAUGCGCGCAGCUGCCUCGAGGAAAAAACGUUUCAGAUUCGGAAAAUAAAGAUAAAUGUGGAAAAAAAAAAUCCCAAAUAAAGAUAUCUUUUCGUCCCUUGGUGUCGUGUGAAUACCAUGUGGAUAUCAUUUCAGAAAAUCAAUUCAACCGUUCUCCAAAGAACACUCAUACUCCAAUAUCAGCAACUACCACGAAAGUUACCACUCUAAAUUCCAGCUCAAUAAUUAAGGUUCCAAGAUAAGCCUAAAAAAUAUUUAUUAGGCUUAUCUUAAAGCCUAAUAAAUAUCUAAAAAAAAACAAAAAAACAAAAUUCCACCCUAGGCUGUGAUUAACAGAUUAUCUGAUGGAAACAUGAUGAGCUUUUUUUUAGUGAAUUAAGUUCAAUUAAAAAAAAAUUAAGGUUAAAUUGAUGAUUAAUAAUGAAUUUUGUAUACUUUGCACAGGAUUUUCUUAUUCUCGUCAAUUAAUCUUAAAGCGAGGUUCCAAGAUAAGCCUAAAAAAUAUUUAUUAUUGAUCAACAAUAUUGAAUAAUGGCUUAUUUUCUAGUAUAAAUUAUGUUUGAAAUAAAAUUGAUCAUAAGAGUAGAUGAUAUACAAUUAAUGAUGAAAUCGUAUAUUUUGAGACUAAAUUAAGAUUUUUCAAUUAUCUUUAAAUAUUAUGGUUUUAAUAGGUGGACAAUGCAUUCUUUGAAUUUAUUACAAGUAAUGUGUAAUUUAAAUUAUAAAAAAAUAUUUAUUUUUCUGAUAUACAUGAUAAUAAUAAAUUUGAUGAUAGCAACAAGAAAAUAGAAAUUAGUUUGAAUUAGUACGUUUCUCAUUAACAUUAAUGAUGGAAUCAAAAUCUUUGUUAGCGGUCACCUGUUCGACCUCAGUAAUGUUAACGCGUGGACCCAGCUGUUGUAGAAACUUUGCAAAGGAUCUCGAGGAAGAAAAAUGAUUGCAGUGUAAGACUUAAUUACCGAUUCUAUGAUGGGGAAUAAAUAUGUUUAUAACAGAAUUGUAAGUUAUAAUAUGUAAAAUUUAAUUAACGAUUCUAUUAUACGAAAUAAAUAUGUUUAUAACGUAAUCGUAAGCCUUAAUAAUAAGAAAUCAAUAUCUCCAUCUAUUAAUGUUCCUCAUGUAUUUAUUAUUCUUUUUUAUAUAUAUUUGAUACUUUCAAACUCUACUCACUUUAUAUAGAUUGUGUAAAACUUAAGAGAACUCAGUAAGUGAGUAUAGAGAUCAAAUAACAUUAUUUAUAGCCAAAGCUUCCCUCAAGCUUUAAUGGCUAUAUGUCCCACAUAUUUAUUAUAUCAUGGGUAGUUACAAGUGAAUCACUUUAAGAGCUUAUAAAUGUAAAUGUUACAACUUUAAAAUGAACGAUUUUAAGAGUUUAUAAAUAUAAAUAUUAUAAUUUUUAGAGUGGAUCACUUUUAGUGUGAAGGAGAGUUAGAGAAUCGAUUAUAAUGACUCUGUAAAAAACAGUCAACAUGCAUUGCUAAUAAUUUGCAACGGAGAAUUCUUUAUUGAGAUUUAUUGUUAAACCUCGCUUUGGAAUGAAUUGAUCACGAGAAUAAAAAAUAAUCACUACAUACACCCUUUAACUAUUUUACUUGAAAGUUUCGAUUAUUUCCUAAGCUCCUUUGUUCAUUUUCUUUUUUAUUACCCCUUCAUGCACGACACUUUAUGCCACUUCAUGAUACCCUUGUUUUCAACGUUUUACACUACUUUAAAAGCGUGUUUGGUAGUGUGGUUGCGGGUGCUUUUCAAAUAACUUUUCGUGUCAAAAUACAUGCCAAUGAUAUUUUUUUUAUUUUUUAAAAAUUAUUUUUGACAUCAGCACAUCAAAACGAUCCAAAACAUAUAAACCUUAUUAAAUUUUAAUUUAAAAAAUAUUCAAUUUUUUUGGGAACGCAGCCGCAUCCGCGUUCACAAACGAGUCCUCAAGUCAAUUGUUAGAUACUAAAAACAGCAAGAACUGUACUCAAUCAGCAACCACUGUGAAAUUACCACUCAAAAUCCCAUGAAUAUAUAUAAAAAAGAAUUUUGUCUAGAAAAAUUCUAUCAAAUUCUCUACUUUAUUACUCUUCAAUGUUUUACACUGCUUUAGUUCUAAAAAAACUCCUAGAUGUUAUAAAGCAAGAUAUAUACAACUAUAUAUAUAUAUAUAUAUAUAUAUAUAUAUAUGAAAGUGUAAUAAAUAUUAUAUUUUAAAGUAUUUUUUAAAUAUAUUAAAAUAAUAUUUUUUUAAAAAUAAUUUUGAUAUUAGUAUAUUAGAAUAAUAAAAAAAUAAUUUAAAACAAUAAAAAAUAUUGAAAUUUUUAAAAAAUAUGAUUUGACUGAACUCCAAAACACACGCAUGCUCCCUCAGCAGCCACCACGAAAUUACCACUCUAAAUUCCAGCUCAAUAAUUUAUUCUUUAGCAAUUAUUGCUUGCUCUUUGACAAGUACUGCUUUGCUAAUAAUUUGCAAGAAACUUUCUCAAUUUCCUUCUAUUUUCUUUUUAUCAUGGAAACUUUAAGUCACAUACCACUAAAUUACCGAUAAUUAAAUUUCAAUGUGUAAUUGUGUAGGUUUCAAUUAAAAAUGUUUUAAUUUGAGAAAAUUUGUUAAAAAAAUAGUAUAAAUUAUAUUUUAGAGUUUAUUUUAAUAGUUUAAAUUUUUAGAUGAAUAGUUUUCUAACAAAUAAAGACAUAGUUUUACGAUAAAAUGCAUUUUUUAAAAUGAAAUUAUAUUAAAUUAAGCAUGGUCGAGAUUAUUCAAAUUAUUAAUUAAUUAUAAUUAACUUUAUGUCUUUAGAGGAAACAAAAGGAAAGGACAAAAUGAUUAAUUAAAUUUUUAGAUGAAUUAAUAAAUCUUUACAAAUAAAAGAUAUAGUUUUUCAUUUUUUGAAAUGAAAUUAUAUUAAAUUAAGCAUGCUCGACAUUGUUCAAAUUAUUAAUUAAUUAUAAUUAACUUUAUGUCUUCAGAGUAAACAAAAGGGAAGGACAAAAUUAUCUUCCCCACAACGAUAAACCUAGCCCCCUUUCCAAACCAAUCCUCUAGUAAAUAGAAUGAUGGUCCCAUAAAUUGCUUUAUUCUUUCCAGCCCGCCAAGUAGUUUGGUCUCCCUCACAGGACCUCCUUAGCAUGGGAAUCAUAUGAAUUUCCUUGCUUUUCUUCCUCUACGCGUUACCUUUCACCUUUUAUAAUUAUUAUUAUUGCAUUGCUAAUAAUUUGCAAGAAAGAUUAUGAACAUUUUUUUUAGUGAAAUAAGCUCAUUUCAAAUUAACAAAAUAUAGUUUGUUGAGGCUUGUCUUGAAACCUCACUUUGGAUUAAUUGACAGGAAUAAUAAAAUUUUAUUCAAAUUAUAUAAAAUAUUAGGUGUGGAUGUGCCCUUGCCCAACAAGCUACCAUGACCUUAUCUAGAGUUGGGUGUUAACGAGACAAGCCCUUGUCCAACUCAGAGUUCGGCAUAGAUAUAUCAUGACCCAACAUAAAGUUUGGAUGCGGAAAAAAUAUAAUUUCAUUUUGAAUUAUGAUUUUUGUUGGAUAGUCUUUAAAUAAAUUUUUUUUUUAGAAAAUCAUGACCCAUAUCUGGUUAUCGGAAAAACAAUUAUGGUUGAUUUAGCCUCAUCUUCUCUGCUUGUAAAAUUGGGGCAGAUUAUGGACUUAACCGAGCAAUUACCGCUCAAAAUUCCUAGCAAUUUACAAAGGAAUUUUCCUUGCUUUUUCUCAGUAUAUUAUUAGAAAAACCGUCAUUGACUGAUUUAAUUGUAAAGUCUUUGCAAGAAAGUAAAAAAAUUAGUUUUUUAAAAUAAAAAAUAUAGAGAGAGAAAUAAAAAAUAAAAAAUAAAAAAAGGAGCGAAAGGAAACAACCGCCAUCUUUCUUGUUCCUUUUCCCUUCUUUACACGGCGUCCUCGAUGAAAAUAGCAAACACCCCAUUUGAAUAUAUAAUUAAAGAAAGAAAGAAAGAGAGGAAAAUUCCUUCCUCAAUACUUACCGCUACACGCUUCAGAAAUUCCUUGCUUUUUUUUUUUUUUUUUUCAUCUCUACUUACGUGUUACCUUUUACCUUUUAUAAUUAUGAUUAUUGCAUUGCUAAUAAUUUCCUUGCAUUUCUUUAAUAUAUAAUUAAAGAAAGAAAGAUGUUGAACACUUUUUUAGUGAAUUCAAAAUAACAAAAUAAGGUUGUUGAGGCUUUUCUUGGAACCUAGCUCAGGGAUUAAAUUAUAAAAAAAUAUAUUUAUUUUUCUGAUUAUAUAGCAAUAACAAAUUAAAUAAUAGCAACAAGUAAAUAGGAAUUAGUUUGAAUAAAUGGUACCAGUUCCUAUUAUAAUAUAUCUAGAGAAGAAGUUCGAAGAAUAGAAUGAAGUCAAAUAUCCUUACAUAAUGCUAGGUUUUAAUAUAUAAUUAAAAAGUUUUCCAUGAACCAAAUAAUAAAAAUAUUGUACAACUUUUUUGAAUGAAUUAUUAACAUAGAGGCUUAUUUGAUUUGAAUAUAUUAUUUGAUUAGUCCAUUUAUAGGUUGUCUCUAUUAUUCCUGCCUUGCAUUGCCAGGAAAUUUCACUAGAAAUUUCUAGUAAUUUAAACAGGAAAUUUGCUGGUGAUAAACCUGGAAUAUGAUUUUCAACUUUCGUAGGCGAGCACUGAAGUCCCAAACUUCAAGAAUUUCUUUUCUUUUCCUUUUGUAUCUUCUCAUUUUCUUUCUAGGAAUGUUAUGAGAAGCAGCAGAGUCAAGAGGCCAUUUUUGAUCCUGUGGACCGGAAGUAGUUGCAUAGUUAGUCGUAACCUCUGAUCAAUGGAGUCGUGGGUAAGACUUGGCUAAAUGGCCUAUCUGAUCAGGAAAUUGGCAUUUCGGUUGAUAAUGCAUUUGAGUGGUACCGAUUGGUUGAAGACUUGCAGUUGUCUUUGAAUGGACCGACCUUGAGGGAUUUUAUUGUGGCCUGGAGACCGAGAAGAUCCAUUAGUCUUAUUUGAACCCUUCGGGUGAGACCCACCAUAUGAACUAUUUAAGUUCUGUUUGUGAAGAUAAGAAUAAUUGGCAGAGGCCACAAGCUGCUGAGUUGAAGAUUCCAAACGCCGCAGGUAACUGUCAUGCCCCUCAAGAAUAUCUUGAAGCUCUUCAAAUUAUCCCAAUAGUUCUUAUAUUAAAAUCUCAUUUAUCAUAUGUUACAUCUAUCAAAAAAAAAAAAAUAAUUUGUGACGUGAACUAAAGCUAUAUGUGAAAACUAGAAAUAACAAAUGUAUGAAAAAAAAAUCAGCUGUGAUUAACAGAUUAACGAUGGAAAUUAAGAUGAUGAAUAUUUUUUUGUAAAUUAAUUUCAAUUUAAAAUAACUACAAAGAAGUUAAUUAGGAUUCCUUCCUUGAAAUUAUUAAAAAUAUAGUAUUAGAAUUAUAGAAUGCUAGGUUUUAAUAUAUAAUUUUUAAUAUUAAUUGUUAAAGAGUCUCUCUCGAACCAAAUAAUAAAGAUAUUAUAUAACUCUUUUGUAUGAAUUGUAAAUCUAGGGAUAGUUUUGGGUUUUCCAAUCACAACUUUGGACUAAAAUUAAUAACAAAAUAAAGACCAAAGAUAACGGUAUGUAAAUCUAGGGACCAAAAAUAAUACAACUGCAUUUACUGUAGAUUUCACUUAGAAUUUCUAGUAAAUUACAAAGGAAAUUUCUUGUGCUUUUUAACGUACAUGAAUUGAAAAACUACCAUUGACUGACUUGCAUUGACUGACUUGCUAAGCAUUUGCUGCUCGAAAUUUUCUCCCUAAAAAUUUUCAAGCAAUUUACGGAGCAAAUUUCCUUAUGCUCUCUCUUGUAUAUUAUUAGAAAAAUUGUUUUUAAAAAUCAAUUUUUUUUUAUUUUCCUGAGAUUCUAUUUUUUAGUCGAGUCAAUUUCAAGUUGGGUUCAAUAAUUAUGAUUAAAUUUACUGAAAAAAAAAUAAUUUUAUGUCACUUCAUGAUACCCAUGUUUUCAACGCUUUACACUGCUUUAAUAAAUUGUUACAGUAAUAGCACAGAGAGGAGCGGUUCCAGAAAAAACAAUAAUGGAGAUGAAGCAAAAUCUGUGUUUGAUUUUUUCUUUUUUGUGUUUUCGGUACAUUGGUCAACAAUAGCUUGGAAGAGUUUGGAAUCAGUAACACGUGGACCCAGUUGUUGUGGAAACUUUGCAGAGGAUCUUCACUCUGCAGGAAGAAAAAUGAUUUUAAUAGAUGUACUGUACAUCAUUUGAAUUUAUUAAAAGUAACGUGUAAUGUAAAGUAUGAUUCACUUACCAUUAACUAGUUGGACAAAAAAACUAAACUUUCUCAAUUUCCUUCUAUUUUCUUUUUAUCAUGGAAACUUUAAGUCACAUCUGCGCCUACCACGAAAUUACCGAUAAGUAAAUUUCAAUGCGUAAUUGUGUAGGUUUCAAUUAAAAAUGCUUUAAUUUGAAAAAUUAUGUUAACAAUAAUAUAAAUUAAUUUUUCUUCAAAAUAAAAAGUAAUUGGGUAUUAAUUUAGGCUAUAAAGAUAAAAUAAUAAUAAUAAAAAAGAGUUCGAGGGUAUUCAUUUUAUUAUUUGUUAUGUAACUAUAUAAUCUAAUUUGUUGAUGUGGAAAAUAGCACAAAGUUUUUGACAUGGAUAUUGGUGAGAAGCAAAAGCAGUAUCCACUAUGAGAGCUUUUGUAAACGCGUGGACCCAGUUGUUGUGGAAACUUUGCAAAGGAUCUGCAGGAAGAAAAAUGAAAUUUGCAAAGUAUUUGUGUGUAUUAUAUAAUUGUGUUAAUUUAAGGAUUAUUUUUUAGUUGUAUUAAUUUAGAAAAUAUUUUGUCUCACCGGAAAACUCUAAUUACGUUCGUAUAUUUGUUUUUGGUAACAGAUGCAAUAUGCUUUUUAAUUCAAGAUAUAUUAAAAUAAUAAUUUUUAAAAAAAAAUUAUUUUUUUUAUUUUAGUAUAUUAAAAAUAAAAAAUUUAAAAAUAGUAAUUUAAUAUUUUCUUAAAAAUAUAUUUAAAAAACACUUUUAAUUUUGUUUUUCAACUGUACUAUUCCUUGAAAAAACUCAAACUCUAAAUAAUAUCUUCUACUACAUACUUUCUAAGACUAAAAAUUAAUCUAAAUGUUUUUGAAAAGUAGUUCAACCAAAGUACCAAAUAUGUUUAUAUACUCCAUCUUCAACCACUGUAAAAUUACCACUCUAAAUUACAACUCGGUAUCGAUUACCUUUUAUCUUUGACAAUUAUUGCAUUGCUAAUAAUUUGCAAGAAAAAAUACAUUCUCAAUUUCCUUCUAUUUUUUUUUUAACAUGAAAAACUUUAAGUCACUCAAUCUGCAACCACCAUGAAAUUACCGGUCCGAAUUCCAGCUCAAUAUUUACCGGUACGACACGCUUGAGGAAUUUCCUUGCUUUUCUUCCUCUACGCGUUACCUUUCACCUUUUAUAAUUAUUAUUAUUGCAUUGCUAAUAAUUUGCAAGAAAGAUUAUGAACAUUUUUUUAGUGAAAUAAGCUCAUUUCAAAUUAACAAAAUAUAGUUUGUUGAGGCUCGUCUUGGAACCUCGCUUUGGAUUAAUUGACAGGAAUAGUAAAAUUUUAUUCAAAUUAUAUAAAAUAUUGGGUGCUGAUGUGCCUUUAUCCAACUUAGAAUUGCGACAAGCUACCAUGACCUUAUCUAGAGUUGGGUGUUAAUGAGACGAGUCCUUGCCCAACUCAGAGUUUGGCAUGGAUAUAUCAUGACCCAACAUAAAGUUUGGAUGCAGAAAAAAUAUGACUUUAUUUUGAAUUAUGAUUUUUGUUGGAUGGUCUCUAAAUAAAUUUUUUUUAUAGAAAAUCAUGACCCAUAUCUGGGUAUCGGAAAAACAAUUAUGGUUGAUUUAGCCUCAUCUUCUCUGCUUGUAAAAUUGGGGCAGAUUAUGGACUUAACCGAGCAAUUACCGCUCGAAAUUCCUAGCAAUUUACAAAGGAAUUUUCCUUGUUUUUUCUCAGUUCAUUAUUAGAAAAACUGUCAUUGACUGAUUUAAUUGUAAAGUCUUUGCAAGAAAGCUAAAAAAAUUAGAGUUUUUUAAAAUAAGAAAUAUAGAGAGAAAAAUAAAAAAUAAAAAUAAAAAAAGGAGCAAAAGGAAACAACCCCCAUCUUUCUUGUUCCUUUUCCCUUCUUUACAUGGCGUCCUCGAUGAAAAUAGCAAACACCCCAUUUGAAUAUAUAAUUAAAGAAAGAAAGAAAGAGAGGAAAAUUCCUUCCUCAAUACUUACCAGUACUACACGCUUGAGAAAUUCCUUUCUUGUUACCUUUUACCUUUUAUAAUUAUGAUUAUUGCAUUGCUAAUAAUUUCCUUGCAUUUCUUUAAUAUAUAAUUAAAGAAAGAAAGAUGUUGAACACUUUUUUAGUGAAUUCAAAAUAACAAAAUAAGGUUGUUGAGGCUUUUCUUGGAACCUCGCUCAGGGAUUAAUUAACAAGAAUAAAAAAAUCCCCUGCAAAUUAAACAAAAUUUAUUAUUAAUCAUUGAUAUUUAUUAUUGAUCAUCAAUAUUGAAUAAUGGCUUAUUUUCUAGCAUAAAUAAAAUUGUUAAAAAACAUGAUUACACAAUUAAUGAUGAGAUCGGUUAUAAAAAUGACUAAAUUGAGGUUUUUCAAUUACCUUUAAACGUAUCAUGGUUUUAAUAGGUGGACAGUACAUCCUAUUAUGUAAAUUAUAAAAAAUUAUAUUUAUUUUUCUGAUAUAUAUAGCAAUAACAAAUUAAAUAAUAGCAACAAGUAAAUAGGAAUUAGUUUGAAUAAAUGAUACCAGUUCCUAUUAUUAUAUAUCUGGAGAAGAAGUUCGAACAAUAGAAUGAAGUCAAAUAUCUUUACAUAAUGCAAGGUUUUAAUAUAUAAUUAAAAAGUUUUCCAUGAACCAAAUAAUAAAAAUAUUGUAUAACUUUUUUGAAUGAAUUAUUAACGUAGAGGCUUAUUUGAUUUGAAUAUAUUAUUUGAUUAGUCUAUUUAUAGGUUGACUCUACUAUUCCUGCCUUGCAUUGCCAGGAAAUUUCACUAGAAAUUUCUAGUAAACGAAAUUUGCUGGUGAUAAACCUGGAAUAUGAUUUUCAACUUUCGUAGGCGAGCACUAAAGUCCCAAACUUCAAGAAUUUCUUUUCUUUUCCUUUUGUAUCUUCUCAUUUUCUUGGCAUGCGCGCAGCUGCCUCGAGGAAAAAACGUUUCAGAUGCGGAAAAUAAAGAUGAAAGUGGAAAAUAGAAGCGGGGAAAAAAAUCCCAAAUAUCGACAAACAUCACAAGAGAAGCUUGAUAUCUCUUCGUCCCUUGGUAUCGUGUGAAUGUGGAUAUUAUUUCAGAAUAUCAAUUCAACCGUACUCCAAAGAACACUCAUACUCCAAUAUCAGCAACCACCACGAAAGUUACCACUCUAAAUUCCAGCUCAAUAAUUUAUUCUUUGACAAUUUUACUUCUAAAAAAAAUGAAUUUUUUUUUAUAAUUAUACGCCAUCAGCAACUACCAUUACGACUCCAAAUUCCAGCUCAAUAUCGAUCAACACGUGGCUAAAGAAUUUGUUUCCUUUUUUUUCCUGCACGUGUUACCUUUUUAUCUUUUAUAAUUAUAAGUAUUGCGUUGCUAAUAAUUUGCAAGAAAUAAUAUUCUUUCUCUAAAAAGGGCUUGAGAAAACCCUAAGCAUAGUAUAUAGUCUCUUAUAGGAAUCUCUUUAUUAAAUCAUCAAAAUAUCAAAGUCUGUUUCCAAAGACUAUGACUACAGUUUAUAUAUAGAAACAACCAAAUAUAAAAAUUAUUUUUUAAAAAUAGAAAAAACAGAAGAGCUUGAUAAUAUUUAAUUAAAAAAUAAAAUAGAAAAAUUAUUCCUUUUUAAGUAGGAAAAAAAAAUAUAAAGAUUUAAUAAUACUGAAUAAGAAAAAUUAAAAUAUUCUUUCUCUGAAAAGGGCUUAAGAAAACCCUAAGCAUUGUAGAUAAUCUCUUAUAUGAAUCUCAUCAAAAUAUCAUAGUAUAUUUCCAAAUACUAUUACGUACUACAUUUAUAUAUAUAUAUAUAUAUAUAUAUAUAGAGAGAGAGAGAAAGAGAGAGAGAGAUAGAGAGAGAAACAACUAAGUAGGUAAAGCUUAUGUUUCUUUGUUCUUGUUCCUUUAUAUAUAUACAUUCUCAAUUUCAUAAAAAAAAUUAAUUAGUCCUUGAAAUCUUAAAAAAUAGUAUUUAAUCCUUAUGUUAUUAUAUUCAUCUCUAAUUUAAUUUUUUUCAUCCAUUCAUCUUUUUAUUUAUUUAAUAGCUUAAGUUUUUAGUUAAAAGAUAAAUAGUUUUACUAUUAAAAGCAUUUUUUCGAAAUAAAAAUAAUAUUAAAUUAGGCAUCCUCAACAUUGUUCAAAUUAUUAAUUAAUUAUAAUUAACUUGAGGUUUAGAAGAAACAAAAGGGAAGGACAAAAUUAUCUUCCCCACAACCAUAGACCUAACCCCUUUCCAGACCAGUCCCCUGGUAAAUGGAAUAAUGGUCCCAUAAACAGCUUUUUUUCUUUCCAGCCCGCCAAGCAGACUAAGGCCUGUUUGUUUCUGUGUUUUAAAAGUGUUUUUGAUAAAAUUUAAAAUUUUUUUGUUUUUUUUAUUAACUUCAAAUUAAUAUGUUUUUAGUGUUUUUAAAUCAUUUUGAUGUGCUGAUGUCAAAAAUAAUUUUUAAAAAAUAAAAAAACAUCAUUAGCAUGUAUUUUGACACGAAAAACUAUUUGAAAAGCAACCGCAACCACACUACCAAACACACUCUAAGCAGUUCGGUCUUCCUCGCUGGACCACCUUAGCAUGAGAAUCACACUAGUUGGAAGUAUCUUUAAACCUCAUAAAAAUGAAUAACUGAUAAUAAUAUAAUUGGGAUUUAAAAAAAAUUCAUAAAAAAAUUUCUUAAAAAAAUCCAAAAAAUUAAACCGGACAAAAAUAAACAACCAAUAAUAAUAUAGUUAAAAUGAUAAAAAAGUGUUUAAAAAGCAAUUUGAAACCAAUUAAUCUUAAAAAAAAAAAACCAAAAAGAAACAUGCGAUGAAAACCAAUUCAUGAAAAAGUAAUUGGAUAUUAAUUUAGACUAAAAGGAUGAAAUAAUAAAAACAAAAGGAGAGUUUGAGGGUAUUCAUUGUUCAAAGGAACGCAAAAAUGCAUUCCAAGUAUGAAGUGUUUUAUUGUUAUAAAGUUUUUCAAACUUACAAUAUGGAGAGAGAAAUAAAUAAAAAGAAAAAAUAGCAAAAGGAAACAGCCCCCAUCUUUCUUGUUCCCUUUCCCACGGCCUACUCAAUGAAAAAGCAAACACCCCAUUGGAUUUCCCACGGCCGCCCACGAAAUCCCUUUAUCCUCUGCUGUUAAUUUUUUAAUGACGCAUAUCAGGUGUUUGAUAAAAUUCCUUAGCUGGGAAAGGAAAAAAAACCAUGUUAAGAAUGCUUUAGUCCUUUUCGAGUGGAAAGUGGUGUGAAAGUGAGAAGUACUGUGAGAGCUUUAUACCACUUUCUAUCUUAGACGUAAUGGCUUUGGCAAAAAGAAACCAAUAAAAGUUAGUGUUCGCACUGCUUUAGUCCAAGAGUCUUUCAUGGUUGCAUUGAUUGACUGGAAAAAAUCUCAAAGUUUUUAGAAAGAAACAGCCUUCAUUGCUUUUCGAAACCAAUCUCAGUAAUGUUAACGCGUGGACCCAGUUAUUGUGGAAACUUUGCAAAGGACCUCGAGGAAGAAAAAUGAUUGCAUUGCUAAUAAUUUGCAAGAGAGAAUUCUUUCACUGAAUAGAAAAAAGUAUUAUUUUUAAAAUAACAACAAGUAAAUUUAAAAAUUAGUAUUUUUUAAAUAAAAAACUAAAAAUUCCUGAUAAUAUUGAAUAAAAAAUAAAAUAUAAAAAUUAUUCUUUUUAAGUAUAAAAAAAUAUAAAAGUUUAAUAAUACGGAAUAGAAAUAAAUAAAAAUUCUAAACUAAAUAAAAAUAUUUUCUAUCCCAAAAAUUCUUAUAUCAAAAUCUCAUUUAUCAUAUUUUAUAUCUAUAAAAAACUAAUUUGUCAUGUGGAAUAAGUCUAUAUGCUAAAAUCAGAAAAAAAAUGUUACAAAAACAAAUUCCACAAAAGGCUGUGAUUAAAAAGAUGAUAGAUAUUUUUUAGUAAAUUAAUUUCAAUUCAAAAUAACAAAAUAAGGUUUAUUGAGGCUUACCGUUAAACCUUGCUUUGGGAUGAAUUGAUCACGAGAAUAAGAAAUCAUGUGCAAAUUAUACAAGAUUUAUUAUUAAUCAUCAAGAUUUAUUAUUUAUUAUCAAUAUUGAAUAAUGAUUUAUUUUAUAAUAUAAAUUAUGUUUAAAAUAAAAUUGAUAAAAUUAAAAUACAUGAAACGAGGUUGUAUAUUUUGAAACUAAAUUAAAAUCAUUUUCUUUUUCUAUUAUAUCCUUCAAAAUUAUUUAUUUUAUAAAAAACAAAACUUGUUAGUUUGCAAGUACACAUGUCAUGAGUCUCCACUGCAUCACUUUUGCAAAAUCAUAUGGCCCACUGUAUAUUUUGAAACUUGUUGAAGCAAAAUCUGUUUUAUUGAUCAUCAUCAAUAUUGAAGAAUGAUUUAUUUUCUAGUAUAAACUAUGUUUGAAAUAAAAUUGAUAAAAGACAUGACAUAUACAAUUAAUGAUGGGAUGGUAUCUAAAAAUGAUUAAAUUGGCAUUUUUCAAUUACCUUUAAACAUGCAUAUCAUGAUUUUAAUUGGUGGACAAUACUGUUAAAUAAUAUAUUUAUUUUGUUUUAUUUAUUAAGAUUAAAAUAAUAUUUUUAGCUUAAUCUAUAUAUAAACUCUUUAUAUUUAGAUUAAGCAAAAAUAAUAAUAUAUAUCAGAAUUCUAGUCUCAUUCCUUUUCGUAUUUAUUUUUAUGUUAAUUAAAUUGUUUUAACAAUACAUCAUGUAAAUUAUAUAAAAAUAUAUUUAUUUUUCUGAUAUAUAAAUACCUCUCUGUCCCAUUGCUGCCAUUUCAUAGCUAACUCUUUGUUAUAUUUAACUUCCUCUUCUUUGCUUCUUGCUCAUAACGAUAACUUGAAAGCCUUACGUUCAGAUAGAUAAUCAUUGACUAGCUCAUCCUAUAUCAUUCUAUUCAAUUUAUAUAUGCAGAAAGAAAAACGCAAGCAAUCCAAAGAUGAAGAAAACGCUUCAUCCUCGCGAAAGAGAAGAAAAGCUGACCUCAGUAAGCCUAUAUAAAGAAUACAAUUAACCUCAUUUCAACAUCAUAGUUAACCUCAUUUCAAUAUCAUAGCUUUGGAAUUUCAUAGCUAACUCUUUGUUAUAUUGCUCCAUUGGUAAUUGAUUGUGCCUUGAUUUCUGCAGCUGCCAUGACAGAGCCAGAGUCUUCUCGAUCUAUACCAGAAGGGGCCUAUGAUGUCUUCUUGAGUUUUAGAGGAGAAGAUACUCGCAAGACGUUUACUGAUCAUCUAUAUGCUGCCUUAGAUCAAGCAGGAAUCCACACUUUUCGAGAUGAUGAUGAACUUCCUAGAGGAGAAGAAAUCUCCGAGCAUCUUCUCAAGGCAAUUCGAGAAUCAAAGAUAUCCAUAGUUGUCUUCUCAAAAGGAUAUGCUUCUUCUAGAUGGUGUCUCAAUGAACUUGUAGAGAUUCUUAAGUGCAAAAGGAAGAAAACCGGUCAGAUUGUUCUUCCUAUAUUCUAUGACAUUGAUCCUUCAGAUGUGAGAAAACAGACUGGCAGUUUUGCAGAGGCAUUUGAUAAGCAUGAAGAGCGUUUUGAAGAGAAGUUGGUGAAGGAGUGGAGAAAAGCUCUUGAGGAUGCCGGAAACCUAUCUGGAUGGAGUCUCAAUGAUAUGGCAAAUGGGUAUGCCUUUUUUCCAAAUUUAUGGAGUCAAUAUACUUUACAUUUUUUAAUGUGAAACAAUAAAAUACUUAAUUGACUCGCUAUCAAUGACUUGCUUUUGUCUAUGAGCAGGCAUGAAGCAAAAUUUAUCAAAGAGAUUAUCAAGGAUGUGUUGAAUAAAUUAGAUUCCAAGUACUUCUAUGUUCCUGAGCACCUAGUAGGUAUGGAUCGGCUUUCUCGCAAUAUUUUUGACUUUGUAAGUACUGCAACAGAUGAUGUACGCAUNNNNNNNNNNNNNNNNNNNNNNNNNNNNNNNNNNNNNNNNNNNNNNNNNNNNNNNNNNNNNNNNNNNNNNNNNNNNNNNNNNNNNNNNNNNNNNNNNNNNNNNNNNNNNNNNNNNNNNNNNNNNNNNNNNNNNNNNNNNNNNNNNNNNNNNNNNNNNNNNNNNNNNNNNNNNNNNNNNNNNNNNNNNNNNNNNNNNNNNGAUGAUAGAGGAAAAGUUCUGAUCAAAGAACGACUUCGUCGCAAAAGAGUUCUUGUUGUUGCUGAUGAUGUGGCUUAUCUGGACCAGCUAAAUGCUUUGAUGGGAGAGCGAAGUUGGUUUGGUCCCGGAAGUAGAGUAAUUAUUACAACAAGAGAUUCAAAUCUUCUUCGUGAAGCAGAUCAAACAUAUCGGAUCAAAGAGCGACUUUGUCGCAAAAGAAUCUUGUUGUUGCUGAUGAUGUGGCUCAUCAGGAGCAGCUAAAUGCAUUGAUGGGAGAUCGAAGAUGGUUUGGUCCCGGAAGUAGAGUAAUUAUUACAACAAGAGACUCAGAUCUUCUUCGUGACGCAGAUAAAACAUGUCAGAUCGAAGAAUUGAAACUAGAUGAGUCCCUUCAGCUUUUCAGCAGGCAUGCCUUUAAGGACACCAAGCCAGCAGAAGAUUACAUUGAGCUUUCGAAGAAAGCCGUUGGUUACUGUGGAGGACUUCCUUUAGCUCUCAAGGUUAUAGGAGCUCUUCUGUACGGGAAAGAAAAAGAUAGAUGGGAAAGUGAAAUUGACGACUUGAGCAGAAUUCCAAACCAAGAUAUUCAAAGAAAGCUUCUAAUAAGUUAUGACGCACUUGAUGGUGAACUACAAAGAGCAUUCCUUGAUAUUGCAUGCUUCUUUGUUGGUAUAGAGAAAGAAUACGUCGCACAAGUGCUAGGAGCCCGUUGCCGUCGCAAUCCAGAAGUUGUUUUGGAAACUCUCCGUGAAAGGUCUCUGAUUCAAUUUCAUGAGUGUAUAAUUGAAGAUGAAAGGCAGUUAUCUGGAAGGACGGUAGCCAUGCAUGAUCUAUUACGAGACAUGGGAAGGGAGGUCGUUUGUAAAGAGUCUCCCUUGCAUCCUGAAGCAAGGACCAGAAUUUGGAAUAAAGACGAUGCAUGGAAUGUACUUGAGCAGCACAAGGUAAGUAAGAGCUCAAUGCAUACACGAAAGCAUAGUCAUGCGUAUUUUCUAGUCAAGCUUAUUACAAAUAAUUGAAUGAAAGUUGUAUUGAUUUUUUUUUUAGGGUACGGAUAAAGUUGAGGGUCUUGCACUGGAUGUCAGAGCAUCAGAAACUAAAUCACUUAGCGCAGGAUCAUUUGCAGAAAUGAAAUGUUUAAAUUUACUCAAAAUCAACGGAGCACAUCUCACCGGAUCCUUCAAAUUGCUUUCUAAAGAGUUGAUGUGGAUUUGUUGGCAUGAAUUUCCUUUGAAAUAUUUUCCAUCUUAUUUUACUUUGGACAAUCUAGCUGUUCUUGAUAUGCCGUACAGUAACCUCAAAGAACUAUGGAAGGGAAAAAAGGUGCGAAACAUGCUACAAUCCCUAAAAUUUCUCCAGUAUGUAAUUUAUAUUUACAUGUUAUGACUUUCUAUGAUUAAUUUUCAUUAUUUUUCUCUCUAUUAUAACAGAUUCUCGACAAGCUUAAAAUUCUUAAUCUCAGUCAUUCUCAGCACCUUAUUAAAACACCAGACUUGCACAGUUCAAGUCUAGAGAAACUAAUUCUGGAAGGUUGCUCGAGUUUAGUUGAGGUGCAUCAAUCAAUUGAAAAUUUGACGAGCCUUGUUUUCUUAAAUCUGAAGGGAUGUUGGAGUCUGAAGACUCUCCCUGAAAGCAUUGACAAUGUAAAAUCUCUUGAAACUCUGAAUAUUUCUGGGUGUUCACAAGUUGAGAAAUUGCCGGAACGCAUGGGUGAUAUGGAAUUCUUAACCGAGCUGCUAGCUGAUGGGAUUGAAAAUGAGCAAUUUCUCUCUUCAAUUGGACAAUUAAAGCAUUGCAGAAGGUUAUCAUUGUGUGGAGACAGUUCGACGCCACCAAGUUCUUCUUUGAUUUCAACAGGUGUUUUGAAUUGGAAACGUUGGCUGCCAGCAUCUUUCAUUGAAUGGAUAUCAGUGAAACAUCUUGAGCUUUCUAAUAGUGGUUUGUCUGAUCGCGCAACUAACUGUGUUGAUUUCAGUGGUUUGUCCGCUCUAGAAAAAUUGACUCUAGAUGGAAACAAAUUCUCUAGCCUGCCUUCUGGGAUCGGCUUCCUUUCCGAGCUAAGGGAGUUGUCUGUUAAGGGAUGCAAAUAUCUUGUAUCAAUCCCAGAUCUUCCCUCAAGUUUAAAGAGUGUGUUUGCAUGUGAUUGCAAAUCAUUGAAAAGAGUAAGAAUACCAAGCGAGCCAAAAAAAAGACUAUUUAUAAAGCUAGAUGAAAGUCAUUCGUUAGAAGAGUUUCAGGGCAUUGAAGAUCUAAGUAAUUGUUUCUGGUAUAUUCGUGUUGAUGACCGCAGGCAUUCAACAAGUAAAUUACUGGAGCGUUGUUGAGGUACUAUUUCUUUCCGUCUCUCUUUCGCACAAAAAGAAACACACACAAUUGACACAUACAUUGAUUAAUGUCUAAAAUCUCAGCAUUCCUUGAAAUCAAUAUGUAUAUAGGCAAUAAUCAUUAUUAUUAUUAUUAUAUUUAAAAAAACAAAUAUCAUCUUUAAUAAUAUUUUUUUAUUAAAUAUUUAAAGUCUGAUUGGUUUUAUUUUUUAUUUCUUGAUUUUAUGAUAAUAUAUUUAUACAGGCAAUGUGCAACGGUCGUCACGGGUAUUUUAUUCGCCACACUCCUGGUCAGAUGCCAAAUUGGAUGAGCUACAGGGGAGAAGGACGCUCAUUGUCAUUCCAUAUACCUCCAGUCUUCCAAGGCUUAGUUGUUUGGGUUGAUAAGGAUGAUAAGGAUGCUCACAUUAUUAUUAUUAUAAGAAAUAAUAGAAAUGGUAAUCUCUUGUUUCAAUGUACGAAAUGGUAUUAUCAUCCAAAAACUGGAAGUAUAAGAUACAUAAGAAGAAGUGAAAUGGCAAUGGAAGAUUACUGUGCAGAUGACGAAUUGGAACUAUACAUUUAUUCAAAGCCAUCACCGUUGGCAAUGGCAAUGGCAAUGAAGGAUGCUGUGAUGCCUUCAUUUGAACCGUCUACACCUAAGCAAUGUGGGGUCCAUGUGAUCGUAGGAAAGUCAGAUUCAUUUGAAGAGUUGGCAGUGGGAAGAGAUGCAGUGAUGCUUCCUCAUCCUCGUUGUGGUUCGAUUACAGCGUCUACACCUAAGCAAUGGAUUGACUUUUUAUUUGCGAAGCUGCAAAACCAUAACCUCAAUUUAAGGCUUUUUGGUAAGAAUACAUAUUUCCUUUAGUUAUUUCUAUUUUAAUAUUCUAUUUAAUUUAAGAGAUUAAAUAUCAUCUUUAAUUAUUACAUUUUUCUUAUUUAAUCUAAAAAAAUAAAUAUUAUCUUUAACAAUAUUUUUUAUUAAAUAUUUAGAGUCUGCUUGGUUUUAAUUAUUUCUUUUCUUGAUUUUAUGAUAAUAUUUUUCUUAUUUAAUAUAAAAAAUAAAUAUUAUCUUUAAUAAUUAGAUCUAUCGAAUAUCACUUAAAAAAUAAAUUAUAGCUUUAAUAAUUAUUUUUUGAAAAACAAAAGCCAACAAUCACUAACAUAUUUUAUUAAAAUCACUUUAGUUUAUUUAGAAAAUAUUGAAAAUUGAUUUUUGUUUUUUUACUUCAAAAUAAAAAAAAUUGAAUAAUGUUUUUAUAUUUUAUUUCGAACUCGAUAUUUUAAAACAAAAAUGAAAAAGAUGUGAUAUUAACCUUUUUUAUUAUAAAGUAAGUUUCUUAAUUAAAAGUGAUGGGAAUUUGUUUGUAAAAACAAUCUUGCACAUCUAACUUUCUUUUCAAAUUUGAAAAUUUUAUUAACUUUGAUGGUUUUAUAUGUAUGAAGGAUCUGGAUGGACGUAAUAGCACAAGAUCAUUUGACAUAGAGAUGCUUGAAGUUACUCCAAAUUAGUACGGUACUUUUAUCUAAUGUAUUGAUAUGUAUUUGUUGGCUUGAAGAUCAUUUUCCAAGCUUGGAAUUUUUAUUGAAUGCUCUUUGAAAUCUUUUCCAUUUGCUUUUAUAGUGGACAACCUAGUUGUUAAUUAUUAUCCAUGAUCUAAUUUAUAUUUUCAAGUUAAAAAUUUUGAUGAAUAUUAUUUCAUUUUUUUCCUCACUUCAAAAGAUGAAAAUCCUUGAUGUUAGUUAGUAAUAAAUUGGAGAGAAUAAUAAUAAUUUGUGUGUAUAAGCUGAUUGAAAUGAAGAUUAAAAUAAAGAAGUAAAAAAAAAGAGACUCGUAAAGAUUUUAUGUUAGUACUCAACAUGUCCUUUCUUGUUUUUUUUUUAAUUGGAUUACCUUUGUCUUUGGUUAAACUGCACUUCUUAAAAUAUUUUUGGAUUGUUCUGAUAUCAAAAAUAAUUUUUUUUAAAUAUUAUUUUAAUACAUUUUCAAUUAAAAAAUAUUUUGAAAAACAAUAUCUAACACACUCUCAAACAAGUUAAAACGUUAGUAAUAAAAUAACUUUUACAUAUUUUUCAAGUUUAGUAGAAUAGUAGUGGAAUAAUAUUUUUAAUAUUUAAAAAUUAAAAUUUUUUGUGUAACUGUUUUGUUAAAUUAUAAAGUUAAGGACUCUUUUGUAGUUUACCUUACACUAAAGUUAAUAAAUAAUAACACAAGAAAGGACCAAAGUUAACUACAAUACGAGGAAGUUUCAUACUAAAGUUAAAAUACCUCACACUUUUCAAUGAAACAUUACCUCUCCUGUACAUGAAUAUAAAUAAUUUCGUUGACCGACUCUUAUUUCAUUAAUUAUUGAUUAUUUGGAAGAAGAAAGCGUAUCCCUUCUCACUUUUAGAGCGUAUUUAGGGUAUUUAAGAGCGCAUUAUAAAUCCAGGGACAAUUUUGGGUUUUCUAAUCAGAACUUUGGACUAAAAUUAAUAGCAAAUUAAAUAAGGACCAAAUAUAACAGUGUGUAAAUCUAGAAACCAAAGAUAAUACAGCUGCAUUGACCGGAGAUUUCACUCGAAUUUUGACUAAAAAUUAAAAUUUUAUCAAAUUCUCUACUUUAUUAGUGUUCAUUUUCUUCUUUUUUUUUACCUAUCUUUUCCAACUGUUUAGAAAAUUUUUAUGGAUAAAAUUAGAGGAUAAGAAAGAGAUAUAGAAUCACUUUGUAAGAUUUCUAAAAACUUAAUUAUAUUAUAAUUUCUUCCUUAAAAUUAUUCAAAAUAUAGUAUUAGAAUUACAUAAUGCUAGGUUUUAAUAUAUAAUUAAAGAGUCUCUUCUAAAAGAAAUAAUGAAAAUAUUGUAUAACUCUUUUAGAAUGAAUUGUAAAUCCAGGGACAGUCUUCCUGGUGGUUUUUACUGUAUAUGAAUUGAAGAACUAUCAUUUGCUGAUUUACUUGUAAAGUAUUUGUAAGAAAGCUAAAAAUUAGAGUUUUAAAAUUUCUAAAAUAAAUAAUCUUCUCUAAAAUAAGUUUUUUUUAAUUAUACUUAUAAAAUUAAUUAAAUCUCAGGAUAAUAAGAUAUGUCCGGAUAUUUGGCGACUGANNNNNNNNNNNNNNNNNNNNNNNNNNNNNNNNNNNNNNNNNNNNNNNNNNNNNNNNNNNNNNNNNNNNNNNNNNNNNNNNNNNNNNNNNNNNNNNNNNNNGUAUGUUACAAAUUAAAUAUUAGUAUAUUUUUUUCAAGGUGAUAUCUCUUAUUAAAUCAGAGAUUCUCUCUAUUUUUUACAUGCAAUAUAAUCACGGAAUAAUUAAAUAAUUUGAAAAAUAAAUAAAUUUUUAUUGUGGAAUAAGUAAAUACUAAUAUCUAUAACUAGAAGUAACUAUAAUUAUAAUAUUAAAAAAAAGCAUAAUAAAAUGAAUUUAUUUAUAAAUUAGAUAAGAUUCAAACCAAGGGAAUUAAAGUGUAAAAUAAGGAAAACACCCUUGCCAGUCUAAAAUAAUUGAAGUAAUGAGUAAAUGCAUGAAGCAAGAUAAUUAGUUGAUAUUGUGACUAUUCAAGAUAAUUAUAAUCUAUAGGUAAUUGUAUACUAUAAAUUAAUAUCAACAAAAUAAUUGUAUUUAAUUGUUUGAAGUUAAACAAAAAAACAUACAUUCUCCCUUUCCCUUCUUUACAUGGCUUACUCAAUGAAAAAGCAAGCACUAACGCACCUUCUCCACAAACUACCAUAAAUAUAUAAAUAUAUUAUGAAAACAAGAUAAAAAGAAAUCUUUUGGUACAUAUAUAAAUAUAUUAUGGCUAUGAAAAUAGGUUUGUGGAAAUUUACAUCAUUUGAUCUUGACAGUGUCAGAUUAGACAAUUGAUUGCAUGGAAAUGGUCUUCUUAGUUUGCCGUGUGGAAAAUCAUCUCAUUUACGGGACUGCUGGAGAGAGUGUCUAUUGAUAAUUUUACCUUCUUUUCAAAUCUUUGACACUGCUUGGAUUGACCGGUAAUUUCACUCGAAAAUUUCUAGUAAUUUAUAAAGGAAAUUUCUACUGACUAUUAUUGACUGACUUCUUGCAAAGUAUUUGUAAGAAAGCUAAAGAAUUAAAGUUUUUUAAUUUUUAAAAUUGUAAGAAAAAAAUCAAUUAUUUUUAAAAUUGUUUUCAAAAAUAAAACAUCAACUAUUUAUAUAAUUGCUAAAUCUAUUAAGAUAAAUCCAAAAUAACUAGUAAAAUCAGUGACUUGCAUUGACGAGUGUAAUGAUCUUGACAGCAUCAGAUUAGACAAUUGCAUGGAAAUGGUCUUCUUAGUUUGCCGUGUGGAAAAUCAUGUGAUUUACGGGACUGCUGGAGAGAGUGUCUAUUGAUAAUUUUACCUUCUUUUCAAAUCUUUGACACUGCUUGGAUUGACCGGUAAUUUCGCUCGAAAAUUUCUAGUAAUUUAUAAAGGAAAUUUCUACUGACUAUUAUUGACUGACUUCUUGCAAAGUAUUUGUAAGAAAGCUAAAGAAUUAAAGUUUUUUAAUUUUUAAAAUUGUAAGAAAAAAAUCAAUUAUUUUUAAAAUUGUUUUCAAAAAUAAAACACCAACUAUUUAUAUAAUAGCUAAAUCUAUUAAGAUAAAUCCAAAAUAACUAGUAAAAUCAGUGACUUGCAUUGACGAGUGUAAUGAUCCGGAACCACUCGCAAUAAAUAAAGCCAAAAAAGGCAGACGAGUGUGUCUAUAUAUACAUAUAGGAACCGCUGAUUCGAUUUGAAUAUGUUAUUUGAUUAGUCUAAUUCAUGACUUGCAUUGACUCAAGAUUACCACUCAAGAUUUCGUGGUGCUUUCUCGGCCUGCAAAUGAAUAGAAAGCAUGUCCUUUUAACCUCAUUUCAAUAUCGUUGCUUUACUCUCCAGCUAGCCUGAUACAUAUGAGUCUCGAGACAUACGGCCAUUGAUAGAAAGGUGUGCUGAAGCAAAAUAUUUUUUUAUCUGUAGCGACCUCAAUAAUGUUAAAGCGUGGACCACCAUGAAAUUACCGCUCCAAAUUCCUUGUUCUUUCUAUAUUAUUAGAAAAAUUAUCAUUGACUAAUUUAAUUGGAAAUUAUUUGCGAGAAAGCUAAAAAGAAUUAAAGUUUUUUAAUUUAUAAAAUUAUAAUUUUAAAUUGUAAAAAAAUUCAAUUAUUUUAAAAAAUAAAACAUCAACUAUUUAUAUAAUAGCUAAAUAAAUCUAUUAAAAUAAAUUGAAAAUAACUAGUAAAAUCAAGCAAAUAAUCCAAAAAUAACAAGAAAAUAAAUAUAUUUCCUAGAUCUAAUUUGAUUAUAUUUUUUAUCUUGAUUGACUUACUUGCUAAGUCUUUGAACUUUAAUCUAAGAAUUUGUUUUAUAUUUCUUCAUUUAUUAAUGAAAUAUUACUUCUAUUGUAUAGUUUUUGGUUUCGAGUCGAUCCACCAGAUUAAUAGGUGAACAAUACAUUUUUUGAAUUUAUUAGAAGAAACGUGUAAUGUAAAUUAUAAAAUAAUAUUUAUUUUUCUGAUAUAUAUAAUAAUAAUAAAUUAGAUGACAGUUACAAGAAAAUAAAAAUUAAUUUGAAUAGAUGGUACGAGUUUCUAUUCUGAUAUAUCCAGGGAAGAAGUUCGAAGAAUAGAAUGAAGUUAAAUAUUCUUAAUAAAAAAAGAAAAAAAAAAGAAAAAAAAUAUAUUUUUAAUAAAUAUAAAAGAUGGAUAAAAUUAGAGAACAAGAAAGAGAUAUAUAAUCUCUUUGUAAGAACUUCUAAAAAUUUAAUUACAAUUGAGAAUUUCUUCCUUAAAAAAAUCCAAAAAAAUCCUAUUAUAUAUGAAUCAAGACAACAGUUGAAUAACUAUUACAUAUUUUUCAAGUUUACUUAGAAUAAUUAUUUUAAUAUUUAAAAAUUAAAAAAAUACUGUGUAGUUGUUUUGUAUAAAUUCUAAAGUUGAGAACUCUUUUGUGCUUGGUAAAAUGAAUAACUUUUACAUAUUCUUCAAUGUUUCACACUGCUUUAAUAGAUUGGUACAGUAAAUACCUCACACUACAGUUAAUAAAUAAUAACACAAGAAAGGACCAAAGUAUAUAAAUAAUAGCAUGUUUCACACUGCUUUAAUAGAUUGUUACAGUAAAAGCACAAAGAAGAACGGUUCAAGAUGUGGUAGAAUCACCUUCGAAGUGACUAAAUCUGCUUUAAUAUAUUUGAGAUUCACGCAAUGCCACUCUCAUCGGUAUUCUAAAAGCGAAGAGAAGAGUAGAAGCAAUGUGAUAGCUAUACAGGUGAGACUUAAUAAUUUACAGGUGAUAAUUGUUUUUUAAAAUAUUUUUUUUAUUUGAAAAUGUAUUAAUUUAAUGUAAAAUAAUAAAUAAAAUUUAAUUUUUUUUAAUUGUUUUUUAAAAUAUAAAAACAAAGAGGAUAUAAUCAACCUCUUGAUGUCACUAUUAAUUAUUGAUGUCGAUUGAUGCACAUGCUAACACCAGCGAAGAAUUAAGAGGCCAAUAUGCCAUUUGAUGCGAUAUUGCAAUUCAACAGCCAAGACACCACGGCUGAUAGAUGUAGACAGCGGUAAUGAACAGGAAAAGUUAAAAAAAUUAAAAUAUUUCAUGUCUUCACAGUCGUUUAGAAAAGAAACAAGAUCAAACCUUGGUUUCAUUUUGUCAGUUGACUCCAAGUCAAUGUCUAAAUCUCCUCUAAAUUCCAAACUGGGUCACCCAGCGAAUUAAGGUAUAGAUUUUAUUGGACGACAAUCAUAUUAAUAAAUAUGGGACGACAAAUCACAAACAUAAUCAAUUCAACCGUACUCCAAAGAACACUCAUACUCCAAUAUCAGCAACCACCACGAAGGUUGAAUUACACUACUUGUUAAAUUAAUAAAGUUACUAGUUGCUAUAAAGUAAGAGAUAAGAAAAUAUUGUGUUUUAAAAUAUUUUUGUUUUAAAAUAAUAUUUUUUUAUUUUUAAAAUUUAUUUUUAAUAUUAUUACAUCAAAACUAUAUAAAAAAAAUAUUUCAGAUUAUCAAUUCAACCGUUCUCCAAAGAACACUCAUACUCCAAUACCAGCAACCACUACGAAAGUUACCACUCUAAAUUCCAGCUCAAUAAUUUAUUCUUUGACAAUUAUUGCAUUGCUAAUAAUUUGCAAGGAAACAUACUUUUAACUAUAUUCAAUUCCAGAAUAUUUUUUUUUGAUAAAUAUUUGAGAAAUAUUGAUAAUCUUUUAUCAAGUUUUAUUUUUAUCAUUUUUAUUUGGAAUUAAUUCUAUUAUGUAUUUAAAUGUGUUUAGUUACCUUGUAAACUGUAUGUUAGAGUCCCUCAAAUAUUCUGGCCACAUCAACCACUAUAUUUUAUGCCAAGCAGUAUUUUGUCCUUGAACCCUUUGGCCCUCUAAAUUACCCAAAAAGGACAAUAAUUGAGCACAAGUGGUACAGGUCAGGGUUAAACUCAGCUUGCUAGAGCCAGUUCUCAAUUUUAGGCGCCAGUUCUCAAUUUUAGGCACCAGUUCUCAAUCGAAUUUUAGCAAAAUCUGGGCUAGGAUUUGAAACAAAUGUAGCUAUUUUUUCUCCUUUUAUUAUUAAAAAAUAAUAUUCAUGGAUUAAUUUUCGUAUAAUUUAAGAAAGUAAGUCCUUUAAUCAAAUUUUAGAGUGUUGCAAUUACUACGAAAGGAACGCAAAAAGACAUAAAGUUUUUCGAAGAGAGAAAUAAAAAGGAAAAGGAAAAGGAAACAACCCCCACUCCAUCUUUCCCUUCUUUCCAUGAAAAUCAAUUUUAGGAUUUUGAUUUUCAAUCAGUAUGAGUGAGAAAGAAAGAGAGGACAAGCCGACACUUCAAAGGUCCUCUUUCUCUUUCCUUGCUUUUUUUAACGCGUGGAGCCAGCAGUUGUUGCCACCAAAUUCCUUGCUCAGUAUUUGAAAAUUUUCCUAAUUUUUUUUCCUCUACGUGCUGUUACCUUUUACCUCUUUUAUAAUUAUUAUGAUUAUUGCAUUGCUAAUAAUUUGCAAUAAAGAUGAUGAACAUUUUUUAGUCAAUUCAAAAUAACAAGAUAAGGUUUGUUCAGGCUUUUCUUGGAACCUCGCUCAGGGAUUAGUUAGCGAGAAUAAGAAAAUGCUGUCCAAAUUAUACAAAAUUUAUUAUUAAUCAUCAAUAUUUAUUCUUGAUCAUCAAUAUUGAAUAAAGGCUUAUUUUCUAGUAUAAACUUUGAUGAGAUUGUUUAUAAAAAUAACCAAAUUGAGGUUUUUCAAUUACCUUUAAAUAUAUCAUAGUUUUAAUAGGCACACAGUAUAUUUUUUAAUUUAUUAGAAAAAACAUGUAAUGUAAAUUAUAAAAAAUAUUUAUUUUUCUGAUAUACAUAGUAAUAAUAAAUUAGAUGAUAGUAACUAGAAAAUAGAAAUUAGUUUAAAUAAGUGGUACCAAUUUCUAUUCUAUAUAUCUACGGAAGAAGUUCAAAGAAUAGAAUGAAAUCAAAUAUUCUUAAUAAAAGAGGAAAAAAAACACAAAAAGAAAUAAAAUAUGUUUUUAAUAAAUAUAAAAUAUGGAUAAAAUUAUAGAACAAGAAAGAGAAGUUAGAUACCUCAAAUUUUAGUAAGGAUCCAAUUGGAUUGUUUAAAAGAGGAGAAACUGUCAUUGACUGAUUUAAUUGGAAAGUAUUUACAAGAAAGCUAAAAGAAUUAAAGUUUUUUAAUUUUAAAAUUAUAAUUUAAAAUGGCAAGAAAAAAAUCAAUUAUUUUUAAAAUUGUUUUAAAAAAUAAAACAUCAACAAUUUUAUAAUAGCUAAAUAAAUCUAUUAAAAUAAAUUGAGAAUAACUAGUAAAAUCAAGCAAAUAAUUCAAAACCAACAAGAAAAUAAAUAUAUUUUCUAAAUCGGGUUUGAGUAUGUUUUCUAUCUUGAUUGACUGGCUAACUUGAUAAGUCUUUAUUAAGUGUAAAUCAACUUUAUUCUAAAAGUCUGUUUGAUAUUUUUUUAUUUAUUAAUGAAAUAUUAUUUUUACUAUACAGUUAUUAGAUCCCAGGCUAAUCUACUGGGUCGGUUUAAAUUUAAUAACUAUGGUUCAUAGUCAUAUAGCUAGUAGUUGCACUAAAGCUAAUAAUUUAAAAAAAAUUAAAUAUCAAUAAUUUUUGUUGGCAUCAAAUAAUUAAAAAUGAGAAUUUCAGAGCAGAGGGUUUAAGAAAUAUUAAAAUAGAAGGUUUUGUGUAAUUAUUAGAUAAUUGAAAUCAUCACUAAUCUCCUUUGUUCAUUUUCCUUUUUUAUUACCCUUACCAUGCACAAAACUUCAUGUCACUUAAUGAUACACUUGCUUUCAACGUUUAAACUGUUAAAGAAUAAUAUAAAUUAUAUUAUGAGAUCUUACCUAACAGCUUAAGUUAUUGGGUUGAGAUGGUUCUUUGAUAUGGUAUCAGAGCCUUGAUGAUCAAGCGGUCACGAGUUCGAAUCUCACCAUCUCUAUUUAUUUGAUAAAAAUUAAGCACAAAGUAAUGUGGAUUUGUGCAAGUUUUAAGCCCAAAUGGCUUUCACUUGAGGGAGUGUGUUAAAGAAUAAUAUAAAUCAUAUCCUGGGACCUUACCUAACAGCUUAAGUUAUUGGGUUGGGAUGGUUCUUUGAUAUAAUAGCAACCAUCAUGAAAUUACAACACUAAAUUUAUUCUUUAGCAAUUAUAUAAUGCUCGCUCUUUCACAGUUAUUGCAUUUCUAAUAAUUUGCAAGAAAAUUAACAUUCUUUGUCUCUCAAUCUGCACCUACCAUGAAAUUAACAUCCUUUCUCGACAUUUCCUAGCAAUUUAUGGAGGAAAUUUCCUUGUGCCCUCUCUUAUACAUUAUUACAAAAACUGUCAUUGAUUGAUUGACUUGCAAAAGUAUUUGCAAGAAACCUAAUGAAUUAGAGUUUUUAAAAUUUUUAAAUUAUUAAAAACAUCCAAUUGUUUUUUUUUUAAAUCAAGAAUAAAACAUCAACUAUUUAUAUAAUUACUAAAUAAAUCUAAUAAAAUAAAUUGGAAAUAACUAGUAAAUAAUUCAAAAAUAACUAGAAAAUAAAUAUAUUUUCUAUGAUUUGAGUAUGUUUUUGAUUCACUAAUUUGCUAAGUAUUUGCUAAGCAUAACCGAAAGAAAUUAUUUGCUAAUCACUCACUAAUUCAUCCAUGAUAUGUUCAAAAAAAUGGGUUAAAAAUUGGGUAACAACACCAUAUCUAUUUUAUUGAAAACCCGGGCCUGUAAUUGACCGGAAGAAAACCGAUCAACCCACUAAGUAGAUCUGGAACCUUGAUGACCCAACAAAACCUGGUAGAAAUUCAUUUUUUUUUCAAAUGUAUUUUUUCUUCUAGCUAGAGACCUCUAUUUUUUAUAUAUUUUUCAGUUGGUUACUAACCCAUUUCAAAGUUUACUAUAUAAAUAUUAGAAGAAUGUUUUAUUUUUUUAAUGUGGGAUUUGAAACCUUUUAGUAUAUAUACUCUUUGUUUACUAAAAAAAAAAUUAUGUUUUUUUAAUAUGAAAUAAAAAACCUUUUUGAUUUAAAUACUUCAACUCAAAAAAAUAAGAUAGUAUCUUUUUAAUGUGGAAUAAAAAAAACCAUUUGAAAUAAUCUUUUAAACUUCAUUAUUUAUAACAUGUAUAACUUAUAUCUUUCUUAAUUUUUUCAUAUGAAAUAUUAAAACCUUUAAUAUUUUUUUUUUCUUGGUUGACUUGGAUCAAUCCUUGUAACUCGAGACUCAGCUCCUUGAUUGAGUCGAUCUCGAGUCGGGUUUGAUAAUUAUGAAAAUAUUUAAUGAAAAAAUAUAUUUUUUUUGUAUAAAAAUGAAGGGUAAAAUAUUAAAUUAUGACAUAUAUCAUUAAUUAUUGACAUACUCUUGUAACAAGCAUGAAACUUUAUGUUAUUUCAUGAUACCCAUGUUUUUAACGCUUUACACCGCUUUAAUAAAUUGUUACAGUAAUAGCACAGAGAGAAGAACGGAUCAAGAGAAAAUAAUAAUGUAACCAUCUAGAAAGUGAUGCAAUGAUAAGAAUUUGGAACUAAAGAGUUUGUUUUUUUUUUUUUUUUCAGGUUCGAGUUUUGUGGUUGCUAAUAUAAUAGUUACUGGAGAUUUACAUGAUCGUUAACUUUAGGACUCGUAAGAUUAGUUUCGAGUUUUGUGGUUGCUAAUAUAAUAGUUACUGGAGAUUUACAUGAUCGUUAACUUUAGGACUCGUAAGAUUAGUCAAGAUGCAUGCAAACUGGACUGGAUACCUACAGGAAUCUAAAAAAAAAUAAUAAUGGAGAUGAAGCAAAAUCUCUGUUUGAUUUUUUCUUUUUUGUGUUUUUGGUACAUUGGUCAACAAUAGCUUGGAAGACUUUGGUAGCAGUAAGUAACCUGUUCUUCCUCAAUAAUGUUAACGCGUGGACCCUGUUGUUGUGGAAACUUUGCAGAGGAUCUUAAUAAAAACAAGUAAAUAGAAAAAUAUUAAUUUUUAAAUAUAAAAACUAGAAAACCUGAUAAUAUUGAAUAAAAAAUAAAAUAAAAAUUUAUUCUUUUCAAGUAGAAAAAAAAUAUAAAAGUUUAACAAUAUUGAAUAGAAAUAAAUAAAAUUUUUAAACUAAAUAAAAAUGAUAGAAAAAAAUAUUUAUUAUCUUAAAAAUUCUUAUAUUAAAAUCUUAAUUUAUCACAUGAACUGAGUCUAUAUGCUAAAAUCAGAAGAAAAAAAAAAACAAAUGUAACAAAAAAAAUUCUACACAACACAAUUAAUUAUAGGAUCGUAUAUUUCGAGACUAAAUUGAGGUUUUUGAAUUAUCUUUAAACAGAACAUGAUUUUAAUAGGUGCACUGUAUAUCCUUUGAAUUUAUUAGAAGUAACGUGUAAUGUAAAGUAUGAACCGCGUACCAUUAACUAGCCUUUUCAAUUGGAUUUUUUAUUUAAAUGAAAAGGAAAUUUUGUUUUAUUAUGAAAAUAAUAUUUAUUUUUUGAUAUAUCUAAUAAUAAUAAAAUAGAAAGUAGAUUGAAUAAAUGAUAUCAGUUCCUAUUAUGAUAUAUCUAGUAAAAGAAUAGAAUGAAUUAAAAUAUUCUUAAUAAAUAUAAAAGAUGGGGAAAUUACAUCACACGAAACUACCAAUAAGCAAAUUUUAAUCUGUAAUUAUGUAGGUCUUAAUUACAAGGGUUUUAAUUUAGGAAGUAUAUUAAAAAAUAAUAUAAAUUAUAUUCUAGAAUUUAUUUUAAUAGUUUAAAUUUUGAGAUGAAUUAAUAAGUCUUUACAAAUAAAAGAUAUAGUUUUACAAUAAAAUGCAUUUUUAGAAAUGAAAUUAUAUUAAAUUAAGCGUGCUCGAGAUUGUUCAAAUUAUUAAUUAAUUAUAAUUAACUUUAUGUCUUUAGAGGAAACAAAAGGGAAGGACAAAAUUAUUUUCCCCUCAACGAUAGACCUAGCCCACUUUCCAAACAAAAGGUAAAUAGAAUGAUGGUCUCAUAAAUUGCUUUUUUUCUUUCUAGCUCGUCAAGCAGUUUGGUCUCCCUCACUGGAAAAUCUCCUUUUUCCCUGCCUCUGUGCACGUAGGGGAAGAAGGAGAAUAGUAUCGUUCAAAAUAUCACUGUUUUGAAAUUUUUUUUGAAAAAAAUAAAAUGAAUUUAGGAAUAAUUUAAAAAUAGAUUAUGAUAUUUUCCAUCACUUUUUCUUAUCAUCAACUUCAAUAUGUUGCUUCUUUUUUAAAGGUUUAACACUAGAAAGCCUUUUUUUUGUUUCAUUCUUCAAAUCUUAAUAACAAACGUAUGUAAUAGACAAUUGAUAGUGAAAUGAAAAGGUUAAGGAAGAUGAAAUUGUAAGAAAAGAAAAUAAAUUUAAAAUAUUAUUAUGAAAAAAACAAAAAACAAUAAAAAAUAUGGACCAAAACUUAAAGAUAAAAAAAUUAAAGGUAAAAUUGAAAAAUAAUUCUAGUUUUAUAAAUUAUUAAAAAAAGAUUUCAAAUAUUUAAUGAUGAAAUCGAAAAAUAUUAACUUUAAAAAUUAGCCAGAAAAAUUCAAUAAAUAAUAAAAAAACAAACUCAAGAAAAUCUAAAUCAUUUAUAAAAUUAGUAAAAACUUCCACACUAAGUAAACAAAUAAAAACAAAACAAAUAGAAACAAGGAAGUAAAGUCUGUAAUUAAAUAUAUACGCGGAGACAAAAACAUGGGCAUGUGACAGGAGACAAAAGGGCAAAGGAAGGUCUCUAUCCAACUUCCUUUUCCUUUUUCUUAGAAAAAAAGUGACAAAAUCUGAUAGAACACAGAUUCCAUCUCUUUUUCAUUGGUUUUUUUGUUUUUUUAAUGUUUAUGCAUGUGGCUCAACCUUUCUCAGUAAUUGCAACAUGUUUCUUUGUUGAAUAAACUGCAAUACUGGUCUCCCUCACUGGACCCCUUUAUAAUGAGAAUCACACUAGGAAAUUUAAAAGUAAUUUGAAGUAUUAUUAAAGCCUAUAAAAAUAAAACUGAUAAUAAUAUAGUUGGGAUUUUAAAAAAAAAAUUGAUAAAAAACCAUAUAAAAAGAAAUUUGAAACAAAGUAAUCUUAAAAAACCAAAACAAACAUGCCAUGAAAACAAAUUUAAAAUAAACAAAAUACUUUAAAAAAAAAUAAUUCAACCAUUUCUUCAUAAAAAAAACAGUAAUUGGGUGUUACUUUAUGGUCAAAAAGUACAAUAAUGCAAAAAAAAAAAAAAAAAGAGUUUUAGGAUAUUGAUUUUAUUAUUUGUUAGGUAACUAUGUAAUCUAUACGUUGAUGUGGAAAAUAGGACUAAGUUUUUUUGUCAAAAGAGUAACUGUGUAAUCUAAUAUUCAUCUCUCAAAUCCCUAAUCCAAUUGAUCAUAUAAUUAAAUAAUUGUUUUAAUUAAUAACUAUAAGAAACAAACUCCCUUGUUAGUUCAUUACUUAAAUAAAAACUCAUGAUUGUCUAGCAAAGUAAAUAAAUUACUUAACCGGAUCACCAGAGGAGUUAUUUGCCAAAAUAAAAACUCAUGAUUGAGUUAUAUAACAGUUUAUAAAUCAUGCUAUCAUCUCCAUCACCAUAUAUAAAGCUAGACAAAAUAGGAUAAGACGGGAUUAAAUUUAAUUUUAGGAUAUAUUUGAGAAUAUGAUUGAAUCAUGCUUUUUAAAAUGUUUUUGAAUUAUUUUAAUAUGUUGAUGUCAAAAAUAAAUUUUAAAAAAUAUUAUUUUAAUAUAUUUAUAAUAAAAAAAUAUAUUUUAUAAAGCAAUUUUCACCAUAUUUUCAAAUAAAUUAAAAUUUUUCAAAUAAAUGGAUUGAUAUAUCGAUGACACUCUCUAGUCAGUUUUGAGAAUUUUGAAUCCAAACAAGUGAAUUUAUAUGCAUGCUUGUACAACUUGAUUUUCUCUUUAAUUUAAUCAACAAUAAUUUCUCAUACUCAAUAGAAAUUUGGGUUUAUCAUUAGGGUAAGACAACCUGUAUUUUAAAAUACUAUUGCCAAAAGAUCAUAUUAUUUAUUACCACAAGAAAGGACCAAAGUUAAUAAAUAAUAGCAUGCACGAAACUUCGUGAUACCCAUGUUUUCCACGUUUAAUAGAGUGUUACAGUAAAAGCACAGAGAGAAGAACGGUUCAAGACAGAACAAUAAUGUUAACGCGUGGACCCCAUUUGCUGUUUUUUCCUCUACGUGUUACCUUUUACCUCUUUUACCUCUUUUAUAAUUAUGAUUAUUGCAUUGCUAAUAAUUUCCAAGAAAGAUGAUGAACUUUUUUUAGUGAAUUCAAAAUAAACAAAAUAAGGUUUGUUGAGGCUUUUCUUGGAACCUCGCUCUGGGAUUAAUUAGCGAGAAUAAGAAAAUCCUGUGUAAAUUAUACAAAUUUCCUUGCUUUUUUUUUCCUGCAUGUGUUACAUUUUUAUCUUUUAUAAUUAUAAUUAUUGCAUUGCUAAUAAUUUGCAAGAAAGAAUAUUGUUUCUCUGAAAAGAAGUCUGAAUGUUUUUAGAAAGAAGCAGUCUUCAUUGCUUUUCAAAACCAAUCUCUGGAUCUAUUAACAAAAACUCUAAAUCGCGAGUAAUAGACACAAUUAAUUAUGCAUUGCUGUAAUAAAAUCACGUAUUUAUUUUCAAGUGGGAAAAAAUUAAGCCAUGAGGCCAGGGGUUCUUUGGUCUUUACCUAUUUUCGUUUUGGCCACCGAAUUUUAUUUUUUUUUCAAUAAAAGAGAAGGUUUUGUGUAAUUAUCAGAUAAUUGAAAUCAUCACUAACUCCUUUGUUCAUUUUCAUCUUUUUUUAUUACCCUUAGCAUGAUACACAGAAAAGAAGAACGGUCAAGAGAGAAGAAUAAUGGAGAUUACUGUGGAGAUGACGAAUCAAAAUCUUUGCUUGAUUUUCUGUUGUGUUUUUGGCACAUUGAUCAACAAUAGCUUGGAAGAGUUCGAUAGCAGAGGAAGAAAAAUAAUAGCAGUAACCUUUUCCACCUCAAUAAUGUUAACGCGUGGACCCAGUUGUCGUGGAAACUUUGCAGAGGAAGAAAAAUAAUAGCAGUGACCUUUUCUACCUAAUAAUUUGCAAGAGAGAAUUCUUUCUCUGAAUAUAUAGAAAAAAACUAUUAUUUUUUAAUAAAAACAACUAUAUAGAAAAAUUAUUACUUUUUAGGUAGAAAAACCUCAUGAUAUUGAAUAAAAAAAUGAAAUAGAAAAAUUAUUCUUUUCAAGUAGAAAAAAAUAUAAAAGUUUAGUAAUAUUGAAUAGAAAUAAAUAUUAAAAUUUCUAAACUAAAUAAAAAUAACAGAGAAAAAUAUAUAUUAUCCUAAAAGUUCUUAUAUUAAAAUAUUAAAAAGAACUGAGUUUACAUGCUUUAAACAGAAAAACAAUAAAAAAAACAAAUGUAACAAGAAAAAUUCCACGCAACAUAAUAUAUAUGAUAUAAAUUGAGGUUUUUAAAUUACCUAUAAACAUAUCAUAAUAUAUAUGGUACAUCCUUUGAAUUUAUUAGAAAGAAGCCAUUAACUAGCCUUUUCAAUUGGAUCUUUUAUUUAAAAGAAAAGGAAUAUUUAUUUUAAUAUGAAAAAAAUAUGUAUUUUUUAUAUAUAUCUAGUGAUAAUAAAUUAGAGGAUAGUAACAAGAAAAUAGAAAUUAGAUCAAAUAAAUGAUACCAAUUUUUAUUCUGAUAUAUCUAGCUAAAGAAUAGAAUGAAUUAAAACAUUCUUAAUAAAAAAAAAACAGAAAGAAAUAAAAAAAUAUUCUUAAUAAAUAUAAAAGAUAGGUGAAAUCAGAGAACAAGAAAGAAAUAUAGAAUCUCUUUCUAAGAUUUCUUGUUCCCUUUCCCUUCUUUACACGGCCUCCUCAAUGAAAAAGCAAACACCCCAUUUGAUUUUCAUUCAGUAUGAGAGUGAGAAUGAGAAUGAGAAUGAGAGAGAGGUAAUUUCGACUAUACAUAGAACUCGACAGGACAGAAGACUUAAAGAUAAAAUAGCUUUGAUUUACAACCAUGGCUUCAAGGGCCUGGAAUAGGACCAGGUACAAGUUUGUUUCUAUCUAAGAAAGCAAGAAGCUCCCACUAAUGCAUGCUCUCAACAAACUACCCCCAAUUUCGCCACUACAGCUCAAGUAGCUUUGAGUCAUUCCAACAAGUAGGAAUUGAAUUCAAAGGAAUAAAUCAUUAAAUGCGGAGUUGGUGUUCUCCUGUUUGUGGUUCUGAUAAAUGUAAGAACGGACAGAGAGAAGAAAUAGGAAAAAUCCAUGUAUCUAUUAGUUGGCAGCAGUUAUCAUUCGGCCCUUGCCGCCCACGAAAUCCCUUUAUCCUGCUGUUAAUUUUUUUAAAGACGCGUAUCAGGUGUUUGAUAAAAUUCCUCAACUGGAAAAAAAAACCAUGUUUAGAAUGCUUGAGUCCUUUACAAGUGGAAAGUGGGAACUAUCCACUUUCCCAUUUGAAAUCAUCACUAACUCCUUUGUUCAUUUUCUUCUUUUUUUAUUACCCUUAGCAUGAUACACAGAAAAGAAGAACGCGUGGUUCAAGAGAGAACAAUAAUGGAGGGGAAUCAAAAUCUUUGUUUGAUUUUAUGUUGUGUUUUUGGUACAUUGAUCAACAAUAGCUUGGAAGAGCUUGAUAGCAAUAACCUUUUCGACCUCAAUAAUUAAUGUUAAUGCGUGGAUCCAGUUGUUAUGGAAACUUUGCAAAGGAUCUGCAGGAAGAAAAAUGAAAAGCUUUUCGAACCUACAAUAUAGAGAGAGAAAUAAAUAAAUAAAAAGCUUUUCAAAACCAAUCUCAUGCCAAAUUGGUUUGUCUGUCCAGUACUUGAGCUUGCACACUUCGUUUAUAUUCAAACAAUAUUCUUCCGUUGCUUUUAUUCUUUACAAUAAUGUGAUAGGAAUAACAUUAAUAUUAUUAUAAAGAAAAAACUCCACCCACUUUGAAACACCUUUGAUGUGUUGAUUGAAAUUGACAAGUGAGUUUACUCACAUGUUGUUAUAUUGGUUUUGAGUUCAAAUAUGGAGAUUUUAUGAUUUAUUCACAUGAAUGCAUUCAUUUAUUCACCUAUUAACUAAAUCAUGUAUUCAAUAUGAAUGAUGGGAGAUUUUUAAUGUCUUCUGAAUACAUUCAUUUAUAUAUGAAAAUAAUUUAUGUGUGUGUAUAAGGUUAUUGAAAUGAAGAUUAUUAUCCUCCAGCUCAUCAUCAGAUCACACGAAAGGAACGCAGAAAGACAUUCCCUUUCUUGUCAUAAAGUUUUGAAUAGAAUGCCCAUCAAAAAGUACUUUCGUGCAUUAUUGUCAUAAAGUUUUUCAAACUUCCAAUAUAGAGAGAGAAAUUAAAAAAAAAAAAAAAGCAAAAGGAAACAACCCCCACCUCAUCUUUCUUGUUCCCUUUUCCUUCUUUACAUGGCUUACUCAAUGAAAAAGCAAGCACUAAGGCACCUUCUCCACAAACUACCCCCCAAUUUCGCCACUAUAUAAAUAUUAUGGAAAACAAGAUAAAAAGAAAUCUUUUGGUACAUAUAUAAAUAUAUUAUGGAAAUUAACAUGGUAUCAGAGUAUCUGUGAACUAUUGCUGGGAUUGGGAAGUCAUAAUUUUUGACACGCCUAAUCACAGUCUUUUUUGGAAAAAGAAGAAGAAGCCAGGCUAUGAAAAUAGGUUUCUGGAAAUUUACAUCAUUUGAUUUUGACAAUUGCAUGGAAAUGGUCUUCUUAGUUUGCCGUGUGGAAAAUCAUGUCAUUUACGGGACUGCUGGACAGAGUGUCUAUUGAUAAUUUUACCUUCUUUUAAAAUCUUUGACACUACUUGCAUUGACUGGUAAUUUCGCUCGAAAAUUUCUAGUAAUUUAUAAAGGAAAUUUUUACUGUAUAUGAAUUGAAAAACUAUUAUUGACUGACUUCUUGCAAAGUAUUUGUAAAAAAGCUAAAGAAUUUAAGUCUUUUAAUUUUUAAAAUUAUAAUUUGUUGAGGCUUAUCUUGGAACCUCGCUUUGGGAUUAAUUAGCGAGAAUAAGAAAAUCCUAUGCAAAUUAUACAAAAUUUAUUAUUAAUCAUCUAUAUUUAUUAUUGAUCAUCAAUAUUGAAUAAUGGCUUAUUUUCUAGUAUAAACAAUGUUUGAAAUAAAAUUGAUAAAAGAUAGUAUACAUAAUUAUUAAUGAUGGGAUUGUUUAUAAAAAUGACUAAAUUAAGGUUUUUUAAUUAUCUUUUAACAUUUUAUGAUUUUAAUAGAUGGGCUGUACAUCAUGUAAAUUAUAAAAGAAUAUUUAUUUUUCUGAUAUAAUAAUAAUAAUAAUUAUAAUAACAAUAAUAAUAAUAAAUUAGAUGAUACUAACGAGAAAAUAGGAAUUAGUUUGAAUAAAUGAUACCAGUUCCCAUGAUGAUAUAUCUAAAGUCCUAAACUUCAAGAAUUUCUCUUCUUUAUCUUUUGUAUUUUCUCAUUUUCUUGGCAUGCGCGCAGCUGCUUCAUGGAAAAAACGUUUCAGAUGCGGAAAAUAAAAGCGGAAAAAAAAAUCCCAAAUAUCAGCAAACAUCACAAGAGAAGCUUGAUCUCAACAAGAUGUUGCAGUCCACAGUCUUUCCAUUACAUUAUAAUUACUUCUAAAAAAAAUUAAUUUAAUUUUUAAUUAUAAGCCAUCAGCAACUACCUCAAAAUUACCACUCUGAAUUCCAGCUCAAUAUCGAUUAACAUGUGGCUACAGAAUUUGAAUUAAGUUCAAUUAUACAAAAUCCUGUGCAAAUUAUACAAAAUCCUGUGCAAAUUAUACAAAAUCCUGCUUUAAGUUCUUGGAACCUAGCUCUGAGAUUAAUUAGCGAGGAUAAGAAAAUUCAGUGCAAAUUAUAUAAAAUUUAUUAUUAAUUAUCGAUGUUCAAGAUUUUCUUAAAUGUUAUUUUAUUUUCAUUAUUAUUUAUAAAAAUCCAAAAAAAUUAAGAAAAAGUUUAAAAAUUCAAAAAUAUAUUUUUCUCGAGUCAAUCACAUUUUUCCAUCAAAACCAAGUCCACCGGGUCAAACCAUGUCGACUAGGGUAAAAAAUGAGUUUCGGGUCAAAACCGUCAUUUCCGACCAAAACCGAGCUCACCGGGUCAAUACGGGUCAAACCAUGUCGACCAGGGUAAAAAAUAAGUUUCGGGUCAAAACCGUCAUUUCCGACCAAAACCGAGCUCACCGGGUCAGGACGGGUCAAACCAUGUCGACCAGGGUAAAAAAUGAGUUUCGGGUUGUUUCGGGUCAAAACCGUCAUUUCCGACCAAAACCGAGUCAUUAGGUCAGUACGGGUCAAACCAUGUCGACCAGGGUAAAAAAUGAGUUUCGGGUUGUUUCGGGUCAAAAACUGUUAUUUUCGACCACAACCCGGUUCACCGGGUUGAUACCCAUCAAAUGUUUUUUUUGAUAUUCUAUUUCUUUUUUUGCGGUUGAAACCGGCUUUUUCUAAUACUAAUUUGAAUUUUUAAUUUUACCUAUAUAAAUAUUUAUUAUUAUAUAUAAUAAAACAAAAUCAAUAAUUCAACAAUUUGUCAGCGGAGCAGUUGAUUUUUUUAUUUAAGGUAGAUGGCAGAAGGGAAAGGAAAACAGAAAGAAAGAAAGAAAGAAAGAGAGAAGAGUGUACUAUUCAUAUCUUUUUUAGUUUUUCUUCAUGAGAGUAGGAUAUUGUUUUUUUUUAAAAACAAUAUGGAAAAUAUCAAACAUAUCCCAACCACUGGAUUCAAUAGUGUUAGUUCUGGGCCUUUAAUUUAAUAGGAUACAAUAGGACUUACCACACUAGAUUAAAACCCAAACACAUCUCAGCCCUUGAAAUAAUCUAAGCUUUGAUCCCGUUGCCCCACGUCACCCGGUGUACUGAGAUUUCGGUGCACCGCGUCACACCAGGUCAAACAUCUGCUCAUCCAGACCGUCCGAUCAACCUGCAGAUCGAGCCAAUCACAACCACACGAUCUUUUCAUCAGAGAUCCAACAGAUCACAGGCUUAAGUUGCACCGGUGUAUAGUGCUAGCGCUCACACCGUAGUAUAACCCAAAGCCUCUCUCUCCUAUCGCCGGCGACUCUCUCUCUCCUCCGAUCUCCCAUCUCCGGCUGUAUAAAGCCUCCAAACUACCACAGAAAGGUCGCCAACCUCCUACAAAGCAAAACACCGGCCUUUUUCAGCGUUUUCUCCGCCUUAUCUGGCCGCAAAAAGGCCGCGAUCGUCGCUGGCCAGCGACGCUUCAAGUCGUCGAUUCUCACUCAUCAGCCAUCAACGACCGUCAAGACCACCACCAUCAGAAUCCUCGACAUCAGAUCUACCAGGAUCGACCAUCGGUUGGACAGAAAUCUCACCGGAAAAUCUCGCCGCCGCCAACAGUAACCGCACGUGAGACACGCGCCACCAGUGGCAUUUUCGUAAUUUUUCAAGAAAUCCGAGGGUAUUUAAGUCUUUUACCUGGCACUCAUGUAUUUUUUUUAUCUAACAUUUUUUUAUUUUGUAUAAAAAUUUUCUUGCAUGUAGAAAAAAAAUAAAAAAAAAAUAAAUAUAAAAAACGACGUGGGUCCAACACCCAUCUUAUCAUAUUAUUGGUCGUGGGUGCAAAGCCCAACCUCUCAAGAAUAGUUAUACCUAUUUUUAAUGACAUCAAAAUAUUUGUUUUUAUAAAUAAAUAUUAUUUGUUGACACGUCUCUUUUUAUAGAAAAGGACCGAUGUCAAAAAAAGUUUAAAUACCAAACAAAUAUGGAUUAUGUUUAUAAUUUUGUUUUUUUUGUAAAUCAGACGUAAAUCUCCUUUUUAGGAUUAGACAUCGAUAUUUUAGACGAGUCUUCUAUUUUUAAGGACUGAUGUCAUUUUUAAUGUGUCUCUUAUUUUUAAGGACCGACGUUAACCAUUUUAAAAAAAUAAUAAAAUUACAAAUAAGCUCAAAAUACAAUAUCAUUUGAAACAAAAAAAAAACACAAGUAAAGAUAACUUUUCUUUUGAAAUGAUAAUUUAAGGGUGAUGUCUACCUUCCCUUAAUCAUAACUAACCCAGUACCUAAAUCUCUGGGACCAGUGUCUAAUUUGGGAUUUUUAGUUCCCUCAUAUUACUAGAUGGCGACUCCAAUAAAAUCUUAAUUUCCCCAAUAAAAAAUCUCUUUUUAUUAAAUAAACAAAAAAAGCGGAGCCAACAAAAAAAAUAGAGCCGUCGCCCGACAUUGUGUAUAAGUUUAUAUAAGCUUAUUUGAACUCGUACACGUUAAAGAAUAGUAUUGACCUUGAUAUUAGUUAUAAAUAAAUUGGUUUUUCAGGAAGAUAUUGUUUUAGGUUUAUUUCUUUAUUUAAGCUUGUUGAAUUCUAGGCCUUAUAUGAUAUUAGUUGAUGUGAUUUGGAUUUAUUUUUAAGUUAAUUUGUGUGUGGGUAGUAAUAAGUGUAUAUGAAUAUGAAUUGAAGUAAGUACCUUAACAAAUGUGAUGGGUUGGUGUGAAGCUUUGAUUAAUUGCUAUAUUUUGAUGUCAUGAGCAAAUACCUUAACAAAUUUGAAUAUUUGAAAGAUAAUAAAUAAAUAUUGAAGAAUUGUAUAGAAAGAAUCGUAUCGAAAUUAUGGAAAAUAUGAUUUUGUCCUGAAAUUCUAAAAAACAAUUAUAGUUUGGUCACUGGUUGUAAAUAAUAAAUUUUAAAAUAUUUUUUGAUAAAUAUUGAUGAUUUAUUAUCAAUUUUUAUUGUUAUCAUUUAAAUUUAAAAUUAAAUAUAUUCUGUAUUUAAAUGUGUUUCGUUUCUUUGGAAACUGCAUGUGUUGGGAAAACUAGGGACAACUAACCGGAUCAAUUCAGCGGAAUACAAUUCACAAUUCACAAGUCCCAAUCAUUUUUCCCUCUUUGUGCAGUAAAAACAGAAUCAAACAAUGAACAAAUAUAAUGCAACAAUCACACAAAUCAACGCCAAGAUUUUUACGUGGAAAACCCGAUGCGAGAAAAACCACGGGACCGGAGUCCACCUAAAAACUUCCACUAUCACAAAUAAUGGGUUCACAAUUGUUCUUCCUCAGAUUCAACUAAGGGCUACAACAUAUAUAUAUCAUCAAGAACAACUUAUUCUCGGAUUACAACAAGAUUAAAGAGAGUAAUGUUAGAGAAAAGCUCACAACACUGACAGCCCUGUUUUCUGUCAAAACGACCAGCUUCCACACCACCAAUCUUCAAUCCAACCGUUCAGAAUGAAGAGGAACGUGUCUAGAAGUUUCUGUCAAAAUCUCAGCCCGAUCCAACGGUGAAACAACUGGAAAAUGAAGAAAGAAGACAGACUGCUCUGCUGCCUCCUCUUCUUUCUUUCUCUCGGUUUUCUUCUCCUCUCUUCUCAAAUUUUCUACUACUAUCUACAGUAACCGUUUCAUUUAAUUUAAACCAAAGAGGCAGCCAGCUGCCUCCUUAAUUAAUGUGGUGGUCCCCCAUCACAUGGUGCGGGACCACACAACAGUAUGCUAGAGUCUCUCAAUAUAUUAAAAGGGCUAACUAUAAGGUAAAAUAAUGAUCAGUUUUAGUUAGCUCCUGCGGGACUUUGCAUUCUAUAAUUUAUGCUAUGCAUUCUAUAACCCUUGGCCCUCUAAAUUACCCAAAAAGGACAAUAAUUGAGCUUGGUGAUCUAAGAGCACAAGUGGUACAGUUCUCAAUCGAAUUUUAGCAAAAUCAAGGAUCCAAGAAAUGGCCUCUGUAACAUGGUAGCUAUGAUUUGAAACAAAUGUAGCUAUGUUUUCUCCUUUUAUUAUAAAAAAUUAAUAUUCAUGGAUUAAUUUUCAUAUAAUUUAAGAAAGCAAGUACUUUAAUCAAAUUUUACAUUGACCAUCCUCAAUGUGUUUAAAGUAAAUGUUAAUUACCAAGCUGUUGCAAUUAAACCUGACCGGCCCGGUAGGUUUACUGUUACCUUUUACCUUUUAUAAUUAUGAUUAUUGCCUUGAAUAUAUUAUUUGAUUAGUCCAUUUAUAGGUUGACUCUACUAUUCCUGCCUUGCAUUGACAGUAAAUUUCACUAGAAAUUUCAAGUAAUUUACACAGGAAAUUUCCUGGUGAUAAACCUGGAAUCUGAUUUUCAACUUUCGUAGGCACUAAAGUCCCAAACUUCAAGAAUUUCAGAAUAUCAAUUCAACCGUACUCCAAAGAACACUCAUACUCCAAUAUCAGCAACGACCACGAAAGUUACCACUCUAAAUUCCAGCUCAAUAAUUUGUUCUUUGACAAUUAUUGCAUUGCUAAUAAUUUGCAAGGAAACAUACUUUUAACUACAAGAGUCUGUUUGAUAUUUUUCCAACUUUUACUGUUUCACUUCAAAGUUUCAAUAAUUGUUUUUUCAUUACAUAUUCUUUCCAACGUGUAAUAAUUCGGAACCACUCGCAAUAAAUAAAGCCAGCAAAGGCAGAUGUGUUUGUCUAUAUAUACAUGAACCUGCUGAUUCGAUUUGAACACCCCAUUUCUCCGAUUCAAUAACUUCAGUUGCAAAACUUCUCUCUCCGAUUGCUGCAAUUUCAUAGCUAACUCUUUGUUAUACACAGGUAUAUAUGGCUAACUCUUCUUAGCUUCUUUCUUGUUUUAAUUUCAUGUCUCUACCAUUAACAAUAAUGUGAAAGCUUUGCUUGUUUCAUGUUUAACUUCAGUUGCUAUUGUCCUAUGCUUUCUCAUUAUUAAGCUUAAAUUGCUAAUUGAUUGUUCCUUAAAUUCUGCAGCUGAAAUGAGAGAGUCAGAGUCUUCUCGUUCUAUACCAGAAGGGGCCUAUGAUGUCUUCUUGAGUUUUAGAGGAGAAGAAACUCGCAAGACGUUUACUGGUCAUCUAUAUGCUGCCUUAGAUGAAGCAGGAAUCCACACUUUUCUAGAUGAUGUUGAACUUCCUAGAGGAGAAGAAAUCUCCGAGCAUCUUCUCAAGGCAAUUCGAGAAUCAAAGAUAUCCAUAGUUGUCUUCUCAAAAGGAUAUGCUUCUUCUAGAUGGUGUCUCAAUGAACUUGUAGAGAUUCUAAAGUGCAAAAGGAAGAAAACCGGUCAGAUUGUUCUUCCUAUAUUCUAUGACAUUGAUCCUUCAGAUGUGAGAAAACAGACUGGCAGUUUUGCAGAGGCAUUUGAUAAGCAUGAAGAGCGUUUUGAAGAGGAGUUGGUGAAGGAGUGGAGAAAAGCUCUUGAGGAUGCCGGAAACCUAUCUGGAUGGAGUCUCAAUGAUAUGGCAUAUGGGUAUUCCUUUUCUCUCUAAGAUUCACUUGCAGACGUUUAUGGAGUAAUUUUACAUUACAUUUUUCAAUGUGAAGUUAUAAAAUAUUUCUUUUUAGCAUACUUAAUUGACUUGCUAUCGAUGACUUGCCUUUUUUUCUGUGAGCAGGCAUGAAGCAAAAUUUAUCAGAGGUUCCUGAGCACCUCGUAGGUAUGGAUCGGUGUACUCACAAUAUUUAUGACUUUCUAAGUAAUGCAACAGAUGAUGUACGCAUUGUGGGCAUACAUGGGAUGCCAGGAAUAGGAAAGACAACUAUAGCAAAAGUUGUAUUUAAUCAACUCUGCAAUGGAUUCGAUGGAAGCUGUUUUCUUUCGGAUAUCAAUGAAAGGUCAAAACAAGUUAAUGGUCUGGCUCUUCUACAAAAGCGACUUCUUCACGAUAUUUUAAAACAAGAUGCUGCAAACUUCGAUUGUGUUGAUAGAGGAAAGGUUCUAAUCAAAGAGCGACUUUGUCGCAAAAGAGUUCUUGUUGUUGCUGAUGAUGUUGCUCAUCAGGACCAGCUAAAAGCUCUGAUGGGAGAUCGAAGUUGGUUUGGUCCCGGAAGUAGAGUAAUUAUUACAACAAGAAAUUCAAAUCUUCUUCGUAAAGCGGAUCGAACAUAUCAAAUUGAAGAAUUGACAAGAGAUCAGUCCCUUCAGCUUUUCAGCUGGCAUGCCUUUGAGGACACCAAGCCAGCAGAAGAUUAUAUUGAGCUUUCAAAGAAAGCAGUUGAUUACUGUGGAGGACUUCCUUUAGCUCUUGAUGUUAUGGGUGCUUGUCUGUCCGGGAAAAACAGAGAUGGUUGGAAAUCUGUAAUUGACAAAUUGAAAAGAAUUCCAAACCACGAUAUUCAAAGAAAGCUUAGAAUAAGUUAUGACUUACUGGACGGUGAAGAACUAAAAAAUGCAUUCCUUGAUAUCGCAUGCUUCUUUAUUGAUAGAAAGAAAGAGUACAUCGCAAAACUGCUAGGAGCCCGUUGCGGUUACAAUCCAGAAGUUGAUUUGCAAACUCUCCAUGAAAGGUCUCUGAUUAAAGUAUUGGGAGAGACGGUAACCAUGCAUGAUCUAUUACGAGACAUGGGAAGGGAGGUCGUUCGUGAAUCGCCUCCAAAAGAACCUGGAAAGAGGACCAGAAUUUGGAAUCAAGAGGAUGCAUGGAAUGUCCUUCAGCAGCAGAAGGUAAGAGCUCAAUGCAUACAUGAAAGCAUAGUCAAACUUAUUACAUAUAAUUGAAUGAAAGUUGUAUUGAUUUUAUUUUUUUAGGGUACGGAAGUUGUAGAGGGUCUUAAACUGGAUGUCAGAGCAUCAGAAACUAAAUCACUGAGCACAGGAUCAUUUGCAAAAAUGAAAGGCUUAAAUUUACUCCAAAUCAACGGAGCACAUCUCACCGGAUCCUUCAAAUUGCUUUCUAAAGAGUUGAUGUGGAUUUGUUGGCAUGAAUUUCCUUUGAAAUAUUUUCCAUCUGAUUUUACUUUGGACAAUCUAGCUGUUCUUGAUAUGCAGUACAGUAACCUCAAAGAAUUAUGGAAGGGAAAAAAGGUGAGAAACAUGCUGCAAUCCCCAAAAUUUGUCCAGUAUGUAAUUUAUAUUUACAUGUUAUGACUUUCUAUGAUUAAUUUUCAUUAUUUUUCUCUCUAUUAUAACAGAUUCUCGACAAGCUUAAAAUUCUUAAUCUCAGUCAUUCUCAGCACCUUCUUAAAACACCAAACUUACACAGUUCAAGUCUAGAGAAACUAAUUCUGAAAGGUUGCUCGAGUUUAGUUGAGGUGCAUCAAUCAAUUGAAAAUUUGACGAGCCUUGUUUUCUUGAAUCUGAAGGGAUGUUGGAGUCUGAAGACUCUCCCUGAAAGCAUUGACAAUGUAAAAUAUCUUGAAACUCUGAAUAUAUCUGGGUGUUCACAACUUGAGAAAUUGCCGGAACGCAUGGGUGAUAUGGAAUCCUUAACCGAGCUGCUAGCUGAUGGGAUUGAAAAUGAGAAAUGUCUCUCUUCAAUUGGACAAUUUAAGCAUGUCAGAAGGUUAUCAUUGCGUCGAAAUAGUUCGGCUCCACCAAGUUCUUCUUUGAUUUCAAUAGGUGUUUUGAAUUGGAAACGUUGGCCGCCAGCAUCUUUCAUUGAAUGGAUAUUAGUGAAACAUCUUGAGCUUUCUAAUAGUGGUUUGUCUGAUCGCGCAACUAACUGUGUUGAUUUCAGUGGUUUGUCUGCUCUAGAAAAAUUGGAUCUAGAUGGAAACAAAUUCUCUAGGCUGCCUUCUGGGAUCGGCUUCCUUCUCAAGCUAAGGGAUUUGUCUGUUGAGGGAUGCAAAUAUCUUGUAUCAAUCCCAGAUCUUCCCUCAAGUUUAACGCGUUUGGGUGCAUCUUAUUGCAAAUCAUUGAAAAGAGUAAGAAUACCAAGCGAGCCAAAAAAAGAACUAUAUAUAUUCCUAGAUGAAAGUCAUUCGUUAGAAGAGUUUCAGGACAUUGAAGGUCUAAGUAAUAGUUUCUGGUAUAUUCGUGUUGAUGACCGCAGUCAUUCACCAAGUAAAUUACAGAAGAGCGUUGUUGAGGUACUAUUUCUUUCUGUCUCUCUUUCGCACAAAAAGAAACACACAUAAUUGGCACAUACAUUGAUUAAUGUCUAAGAUCCUAGCAUUUCUUGAAAUCAAUAUGUAUACAGGCAAUAAUCAUUAUUAUUAUUAUUUUAUUUUAAAAAAUAAGUAUCAUCUUUAAUAAUAUUUUUUAUUUUUCUUAUUUAAUCUAAAAAAUUAAAUAUUAUCUUUAAUAAUAUGUUUUUAUUAAAUAUUUAAAGUCUGAUUGGUUUUAUUUUUUAUUUCUUGAUUUUAUGAUAAUAUAUUUAUACAGGCAAUGUGCAACGGUCGUCACGGGUAUUUUAUUCGCCACACUCCUGGUCAGAUGCCAAAUUGGAUGAGCUACAGGGGAGAAGGACGCUCAUUGUCAUUCCAUAUACCUCCAGUCUUCCAAGGCUUAGUUGUUUGGGUUGAUAAGGAUGAUAAGGAUGCUCACAUUAUUAUUAUUAUAAGAAAUAAUAGAAAUGGUAAUCUCUUGUUUCAAUGUACGAAAUGGUAUUAUCAUCCAAAAACUGGAAGUAUAAGAUACAUAAGAAGAAGUGAAAUGGCAAUGGAAGAUUACUGUGCAGAUGACGAAUUGGAACUAUACAUUUAUUCAAAGCCAUCACCGUUGGCAAUGGCAAUGGCAAUGAAGGAUGCUGUGAUGCCUUCAUUUGAACCGUCUACACCUAAGCAAUGUGGGGUCCAUGUGAUCGUAGGAAAGUCAGAUUCAUUUGAAGAGUUGGCAGUGGGAAGAGAUGCAGUGAUGCUUCCUCAUCCUCGUUGUGGUUCGAUUACAGCGUCUACACCUAAGCAAUGGAUUGACUUUUUAUUUGCGAAGCUGCAAAACCAUAACCUCAAUUUAAGGCUUUUUGGUAAGAAUACAUAUUUCCUUUAGUUAUUUCUAUUUUAAUAUUCUAUUUAAUUUAAGAGAUUAAAUAUCAUCUUUAAUUAUUACAUUUUUCUUAUUUAAUCUAAAAAAAUAAAUAUUAUCUUUAACAAUAUUUUUUAUUAAAUAUUUAGAGUCUGCUUGGUUUUAAUUAUUUCUUUUCUUGAUUUUAUGAUAAUAUUUUUCUUAUUUAAUAUAAAAAAUAAAUAUUAUCUUUAAUACUUAGAUCUAUCGAAUAUCACUUAAAAAAUAAAUUGUAACUUUAAUAAUUAUUUUUUGAAAA
RNAcentral lists this long non-coding RNA (94494 nucleotides) under Populus trichocarpa (black cottonwood). Its description in RNAcentral is "long non-coding RNA (PTRI_LNC004305)". The stretch from base 87365 to 87454 matches the Rfam family "MIR478 microRNA precursor family". Lineage: Eukaryota; Viridiplantae; Streptophyta; Magnoliopsida; Malpighiales; Salicaceae. The record is from RNAcentral.